Molecule: long non-coding RNA, 93191 nt
Filed under: Ananas comosus (pineapple)
Lineage: Eukaryota; Viridiplantae; Streptophyta; Magnoliopsida; Poales; Bromeliaceae
Description: long non-coding RNA (ACOM_LNC009393)
Source: RNAcentral
ACCUCUUAAGUAUAGUCGCUGCUCAAAUGUUAUAACCAGGUUAAGAAAUUCAUAAACAUUAGGCGAUGUGAGACUUGUCUUGCUAACCUGUAACACCCUAAUAGUCCUAUAUCGGAUAGUUAUGACUAGAUGUAGGAGUAUAUAAGUUUGAUUGGACUAAACAUAAUAACUGGGCUUAAGCACUAGGCCGGUGGUUUUGGCCCAACGAGUUAUUAUUAUUAGCGGGUCGGGUCGUUACAUUUGGUAUCAGAGCCAGUUCACCAGCCGGAAGUGUGAGAUGAGUCUUCGCUAAGACAAGAUUAGAAUGACAAAUUAAGCCAGAGUCGAUGAUUGACAGGCUAAGUUAGGAUCGGAAUGACAAAGACUAGCGAGACAAGUCUGUGACACCCCAAUAGUCUCAUAUCGGAUAUUUAUGGCUAAAUGUGGGAGUAUAUAAGCUUGAUUGGGCUAGGCAUAAUAACUGGGCUUAAAUAUUUUGUGCCGUUGGUCUUGGCCCAACAAAUUAUUAUUGCUAACGGGUCGGGUCGUUACAUAAUCUUAGACGAUUUUGUAGGGAACCGCUCUCCAGUCACAACGAACAUCAACCGCAACGAACAUCAGCCGGUGAGAUUGUAACACACUGGACCUAUGCAAAUUGCGAGGUUCGAGUGUUUGAUUUGGAUUCCGAGCUUUUCCACACUUUGUGGAGGGUCAUAGACGGUGUUCCAACCCGUAGUUCGAAAUUCUGAAUUUUUUGGCUAAGUUCUGAGAGUUUCACUCUCGGGGACCGGUCCCUAGUGGGAGAGACCGGUCCCCCUGAGGCAACCGGUCCUCUGGGUCAGAGAGACCGGUUCCUGAACGCGUGGCCGCGAGAGAGUCCUGAGGGACCGGUCCCAUGUGGGGAGAGACCGGUCCCUCCACCCGAAAUUUGCCCAGACCUUGCUGUGUGCAGGUUGCAAAGUUGAGGGACUUUUCUGAAUUUUGUUGCUUUAGAGGGCCUAUAUGGCUUUUCCUCUCUCUCUCUCCCUCAUUUCUCUCCCUCACACUCUCUCUUACACUUUAGAAAGAGAAGAAGAAGGAGAAGGAAGGAGGAGAAGGAGAAGGAGAAGAAGGAGAGUAAGCUUGGAGGAGCUUUGGACAUCUUCCUCUCCCUCUUUUCUCACCAUUGGAGACUUGGAGCUUGUUGUUGGAGCUUUGUGGAGGAAGGACCUUCAACCCUUGAGCACUUUGAGUGUGGUUUGAAGCAUCCUAGAGGUGAGUAGCUAGUUUCCUUCCUCUAUAUUCUAGUUUUUGAACUUUGAGCUAGAUGAAACUCUAAAUUUGAAUUUUAGGGUUAGAAAUGGGAAUUUUUGUUUGGAGGGCUUUGGAACCUAAUUGAUGGGUUUAAAACCUUUGUUUAGGUUGUAUUGGAAGGAUUAUAACUCCCAUUUGGAGAUUAAGAGAGUUUCCUUCGCUUUCGGUGAGUUUUUAGCCCUAUCCUUGAGUUGGUUUUUAAUCAACCUCAUGGUUGUUCAUUAGAUUCAUUUAACUCCCGUUUUGAUGCUUCUAGGGUAUUAGGAGGCUUGUGGGCACCUUCGUUGGAGCAAACGAAGGGUUUGGAGAAGUCCGGUGGGUUUGACUUCAUGAAAUCGGGACAAAACGGCCCCUAUGUGUAUUAUACUUGUCGUAACGUCAAUUUGAUUGCAUAUUCAUGCUAAAUGGGAUUUAUGUGAAUUUUAGAACACUUAAAAUACAUGUGUUAUAUAUUAUAAAAAUUUCACUCUAUAUAGUAGAGCUAUAUGUGUAGGCUGCAUGCAUGUGGAAGUGUUGAUCUAUGCGAGUUGAUUACAUGUCUCGUGCAAGAAAAAUGAUUAGAAUUAUAUAUUCAUGAACAUAAUUAUCAUGCUUUGACUUAGUGAACAAAAUGCCAUAAAGGGGCACCUGAACUAGUAAACUAUGAAGCUGCAAUAUAGAGACAUAGAGUUGGGCCAUUGACAUCUACUACAUUCCAUGUUUAGACAUGAUGAUAUAGAGAUAGGCCCUUGAGACAUAUGUUAUAUUUCAUGUUUUAGACAUGAUGACUUGAGACUUGAGACGGAUCUUACGCUUACUGCCAUUGUGCUCAUUCGCACACGCUUGUGAGGGUCGCUCCCUACAAGCCGGCACUCCGGAGAUGGCCAUCGCGAUACAUAUUCGCCGUGCGGGAUUGGGCUCCGAAGUAAAUUGCCGUGGACAAGGCUCAUUCCUAGAGUGGGGAUGUUGACUACCACGGGGCCAUUAGGCUCGGCACCGGCCAGACAGCCUACGGGUGGGUCUACAGGGCAGACAGCCUUCGGGCGGGUCUUCCAAAAUUGAACUUUAAGUAGUUAACAUGCAAGUGAACAUUGACUAGAGUAGUAAACAAUGACAUUUUACUAUUACAUUGUGGAUAUUAUGAUGGUUGUAUACUCGUGCAUUUUCAUGAUAGUAUAGCUUUCUUACUUAUGCAAUUCCAUGCUAAAUAGAGACCUCAUGUAGUAGCAAGUACUCAUAUUUAUUUACUUGUCGUAUAUAUCGCUUUUGCUUAUACUCGUACUUACUCUUUUUGUAACUUUUGAGCCUAGUGACGCAUAUCACUGAAGUCAGUAAUUGCCCACCGGGAACUAUUAUUUAAUAAUUCUCAUGUCCCCUGUUUUAUGGUUUAUUUCAGAGCCUUCGGCACCGGCGGAGGUACGGGAUCGCGGAAAGGGUGUCGCCUAGCUAGAUAGCGGGGAGCUACUUGCUCUUAGGUAGUUACUUUCUUUUUCUAUUUUGGAGAGAGAGAUUUUUGUACCAUAUAUAGAGACCACCUAUGUACUUUUUUAGUUCUUGUUUUGGGAUAUCUAUUGUAUUACUUAUGACUUUUAUUUAGUGGUUUUGGCUUCUUUCAUCUUUUCUUGUUGCAGAAAUCUAGAUGUACUUUGCUCUGAUACUCCUAGAUGUUCUUCUCUCAUUACUCUAUUUAUCGAUUUGUUGUAGACACCUUAUAUGUUUUAAACAUAUGGCGGGUCUGGACACGCGCCGGACGGACUUUCGCUGGGCCCCGGGGCGUGACAGAGAUUUCGCUUUAUGUUAUUUUAUUUUAUUUCAUAGAAACACUAUUCUACUCUAAACAAACCUGAUAAUUUUAUUAAUACAUCCAUUUUAGAUAAAAGGAAUCAAAAGUUGGGCAUAUAUCGAUUAAAGUAAUGGACACAAGUUGGGAACCCAUUACAAAAUAACCAAAGUAUUUUUUUGUAAAUUUUUUUGAGAGAAAGAUAGCAAGUUAUCUACUGCGCUCAUUUAUUUUUAGAAAUAAAUUCAGAUAGAAAAAUAAAGUACUAUGCUUCAAAUUUGAAACCUCAAGUGUCAACCAUCAAGUCCUUAGCAAACUGCACUGGGUACCGUCUAUCAAAAUGACAAAAAUGUUGAGGGGAUCUUCAUAUAUGUAGCAUCUAAAUUAUAAUUAGUGAUGGCAUUGUGGAAUGCAUGUUACAAUAGCUAGCAACAUUGUCAAGUACUUGGGAAGCAUCUUUGUGGGGCAUUUUAGAUAUGUCAUAUGUGUAGAUCAUCAAAUAUCUCCAUGUGGAAACUCCAAAUAAUGGACCCAUUUGAUGCCAAAUAUAUAUACUUCAAUGUUACAUCUUUGCUGACUAAAAGAAACAGCUUUGUAGGUAACAUUUCUCUUUCUCCAAAGUGCUCGACAUCUUGUUCAAAUUAUUCGCUAGAAAAUAAAUACUUUCGUGUACUCCUUUCAUUCUCCGUAUAAUUUAGAAGAAUUUAAAGUGUGUCAUCAGAGCUAGGCAGAAUAUAUUCAUUAUAUCUAAUCAAAUUUAGCCAGUAAAUGGUGACCAAAUUCAAUAAAACUAUUGAUAAAAUUCUUGAGUUCAGGUUUUCUUAUUUUGUGCUUGGCAAUAGUUUUAAAUACUGAGAUUUAGAUAAAUUAUAAUUGAAAUGAACAUGAAAAUAACAUCCAAAUGUUAUAGUUUAGUUUCAAUUGUUUGAGCUAACACAUUUUAUAUUUUUUACUACUUGAAUAUUCAUUACAGAAGGGGCAAAAAUCAAGUAGGACUCGUCGCACAAGAUAACUGAUCGAGAUAUGAGACAUUGGAUAGAUUAAGUGUCCUUGGACAACUCGCACCGUAGUUAUUGUAAUCCUUUUAAUGUAGGGUUAAUAUAGAUAAGAUAUGUUCAACAAGUACCAAAACUUACAGACCGUCACUAGAGCAAGUGGCAAAGGGUUUGGUGGUUGGUACCCGAGACCCAAGUUCGAAUCCUAGUUGAUUCACAUUUCCAGCUAAGUUUAUUUCUAAAUUAAAUAAACGAAGCGGGUAGCGUGCUACCUAUCUCUCAAAUAAAAUAAAAAAAAAAAAACAAGUACCAAAACUUUGUGUUGGAUUAUUAUGUCCUUUAUUUCAACAAAAAAAAAGUGGGUUAAUUUCACUGGUGCCCUUCAAAAGGUUGAUAAUAUCGUAAAUACCCUCACAAAAUCAGUAAUAUCGUAAUUACCCUUUUAAAUAUAUAGAUUCUUUCAAAUCUACCCUUAUUUGCAAACUCCGUUAAAUUCAUAUAAGAUUAAAGAUUAAUUACCAAUUUUGCCCUUCAUCCUUGAAAGGUGUUGGGGGUUAUAGUGAGAAAAUAUAUGUUCAACUUCCUCAACUAUAGACUAUUUUGAAAAGGAUCCCUAAUUUUUUUCCUUGUGUAAAACACCCAUUCAAUUUUCAUUUUUUUGAUUUAAAUUAACUCCACGAAUUAAAUUAUAUACGUUGUUCAAAACUAAAACACUCCAUUAGCAACUAACUAUUAAAUCUAUAAUGUCUUUAAACAAAAAUCGUUAAAGCCGUUAUAUUUGAUGAAAUAACUAAAAUUUUCAUUCAACUUGCAAAAAUAGUGUAAUUCUAGAUUUAAUAAUUAGUUGCUAAUGGAGUGUCUUGACUUUGAACAAAAUAUUUAAUUUAAUUAAUGAAAUUAUUUUAAACGAAAUAAAUAAAAUUUGAAUGGGUCUUUAUACAGGAAAAAAAAAUUAGGAAACUUCUUCAAAAUAGCCUAUAGUUGAGGGGGUAGAAUGUAUUUUUUCUCACUAUAACCUUCAACACCCUUUAAGGAUCAAGGGCAAAAUCGGUAAAUAAUUUUUAAUCCCAUAUGAAUUUAACGGAGUUUGCAAAUAAAGGUAGAUUUGAAAAAAUCUAUAUAUUUAGAGGGGUAAUUAAUUAUGAUAUUAUUGAUUUUGUCAGUGUAUUUACGAUAUUAUCAAUCUUUUGAAGGGUACCAGUGAAAUUAAUCCAAAAAAAGUAUUCAAACUAUUGCAAAUCCAUGUUGAUCACGAAAACUAUUAAGAGUAUCUAAUCCACCCUCUCACCCAUGUGGACAAAGUACAUGUAUAACUAAAUUAUAUAUAUAUUCAAACACUCAAAAACAGAAUAAUGAAAACUAAGUUAAAUUGAGCCUUUUUAAAUACUUGAGUAAAAAUUUCAAGUUUGCAAAAAUUCGUAAAUCAAUUUAUGUUUUAUUCGGAUGACAUAUACAAAGCGUGGGGUGGAGAAAAUCCAUUUAUCUUUUUGUUUUUUUUUUUUUUUUUAAUUUUCUUAAACCUAAGAAGUGUAAUUUUAUAAUCCGGAUGUAGGAGUUAGACAUUUGAUUGUUUAAAUAACAUCUCAGAUAACAAUGAACUGCUCAAUAAACCGAUCAAAAUUUAUCAGCUUUUUUUAUUCAAAAAUAUUUUUAUAUUAGCUUUUAGGCAAAAUUACAGAAAAUUAUUUUGUUAAUAUUCGCUUUUUCAUUUCCUCCCACUCUAUCAUUCAAAACCUACACUUUGCUUUCUUAAAAAAUAAAAAAUGUUCAUUUUGACCCCGCCGUCAGUAUUGCGUUAGGAUUUCGUUUAUAUUCUAUUUUUGAUACCCAAAAUACUCUUAAAACCCUCAUCCUUCCUCAUCCUCGACCGCGCCGUCUCGCCUUCCGCCGCACCGCCUCGCUCUCUGCUGCCUCACUCUCGCCUACCUCUGCUGCCUCACCCUCGUCCUCACCCUCGCCACCUCUACGUCCAUGCCCAUUCCGAAGAGGAUGAAAGGUAAUUUGAUCAUUUUGUUACAAUGUAUCUUCCUGUAAAUAUUUUUUAUAUUUUUUAAAAAAUAAAAUAUAAAGCUUUGAAUGAAAGAAAAAUAAAAGUAAAAAUACGAAUAUUGACAUAAAGAUUUUUUAUAAUUUAGCAUAGAUUUUAAUAUACGGCAGUAAGUUCUGUUAAAAAAGACAAAGAAAAGGAACUUUUUUUUCCCUUUUUUUUUCUCUUUUAUUUCCAAUUUGUCUCUAGUUUUCUUUUUCUCUCCUUUUUCCUCUUUAUGCUUUUUUUUUUUUUUUAUUUCCUGAUCAGGAUUAGGAACAGCAUCCCUAUGUUUAACACUUCGGUUAAAAAUGCGCGAGAACACCCUGUACUAUCCAAAUAUUGCGACUAAACAUCUAUGCUUUUCACUUAAAAAUGUUUAGCUUUUCAAACUUUCCUGUAGUAAAAUUAUCUUCUUUUUUUUCACCAAAUAGUUAAUUUUCUCCUUCACGAAUUUUUAACGAAUCACUUAUUUUAGUUUACUUUGCGUAAAUAUUCAAAAGCUAAAGUAUUAAUUUUACCAACUAAUAAUCACGAGAACCAAGUUGCUAUAUCGAGAGACUAGAGGGACUGUGCACAACAUUGUUUUAACCCCCACGUGUUGGAAAAUGAUUGGCCCUUAACUAUGUACGACUUUAAUGCGUUGUGGCCACGUGUCGCUUUAGAAAGAUAGGAUCUGCAAACUCCUCAUUGGCCCAACGAGAAUCUAAAAAAUUUUAAAAAAAAUAAAAAUAACUCAAGUUAUUAUAAUAAUACUACUAACUAUGCACUUCUUUGUCGUUCUCCACCAGCCCCUUCAAUAUUCGUGCACGAAGCAUUUAUAGUCCCCAUCAUUAAAUGACUAAUUUUUGCUUAUUAUUAUUAUUAUUAUAUAUAUUAAGGGAGAUCAAGCAUUAAGAUACUAUUCUUCUUAAUUAGAUCUAAUUAGGGAAAUAUUAUUAAUUGGUAGUACCUAUACUAUCCUGAUAUUGAACCUUGGUCCCUGUAUAUUUAAUAUAAAAACUUGGACAAUUUACACUUUUGGUACUCAAAUUUUAAUUUAUUGUAAUUUUUUGUGCAAACUUUUUGAAUUAUUACAAUCAAGUUAUAUAGCUAGCUCAAUUUAAAAAUAUUGACAAAUUGUUGAUGUAGAAAUAAUAUAUAUAUAUAAAAGUAUUGUAAUUGAUAAUGCGACAAUUAAUCACUAAGAUGAUAAACUACUUCUAUGUUAAUAAUUUGUCAAUAUUUAGUCAAUUAAUAAAUGUGAUUGUGAUAAUUUGGAAUGUUCAGAUCAGAAAUUAUCACAAAUUAAAAUUUUAGGACCCAACUGUCAUGCGUUGUAUAAUCUGAGGAGCAUAAGCCUAAUUUACCCUAAAAACUAUAUACUAUUCUAAAAUCUUUCGUGUGUAGUGCUUAUUAGCCCUAAUAAGACUAAACAUCUUCUUCUAUAGAGAGAUAAUUAAAAUUAUCGUUUAAGGUGAUUAAGACCAAAUUUUUGUAUUUAUAUGUGUAAUUUUUUCUGAGACUAUUUUAUUUAAGGAGGAAGUGUAGAGAUCUAGUUGCAAUACUAUGAUAGUACAAGAAGCUACGCGCAAAUUUUACGCGAAAAAGCCCAUUUCUUCAAAAUAUAAGUUAUGAAGGUCAUUUCAUAAUAAAAGGUAAAAUUUUCUAUCCACAAGCGACUAAAGUGUAUUUAUAAUAAAAAAUAAACAAAUUUCUACUAUCUAACACAUAAUCAAUAUGAUAUGAAAUUUUAGUCUUGUAUCAUAAACUUUUGUGAGAUUUUAUAUUUUCAGCCAUUAAUUUUUUAGCCUUUUCAAUCAUUAAAUAAAUUAUAUCGAAAUACUCUAAAACAAGUUUAAUGAAACUGAUCGUCAAUUUGAAAAUUUCAUUAUCAAAAUCAACUUAACAAAUAUUGUGACAUUCGUGCUUCUAAAAGAACUCCAGCUUACACGCACGUAUAUUUAUCUCCACCUUAACUUAGUAGAAUUAAUGAGUCAUUAUUAUUGUUCGGAAAUUAAUUAACUAAUUAAAGCUUAUUUGCUACUAAAAAUAAUUAAGUCAAAAGUACUACCCAACCAUGUUUACCCAAAAGUCUACUCUUCUUAUAUAUAAACCAAGUAGGAUGAUUCCCUACUGUUAUUGGAAGUUAAAUAUGCACUUUUGACUAUAGUUUGAAUUAUUACUUAAAUAAAGUACAUAUAUAUAUAUAUAUAUGAGAAUCAUUAAUUGAACAUGCAUCUACAACAUAUUUCCUCUUCCAAAGUUAUUAUAAGAAACAACAUGCUAAGUAUUUGUGUAAAGCUUCUUCUGCUAUAGUCGUCGCGAAGAUCGAGUUUGAAAGGGUGGUGCAUGGUGAGAUCGAUCGAGAAGAUACGUAUCGAGAAAGUUAGGGUUUGGGGGUGAUGAAGAGCUUGGCUCGAAGCUUGUCGAAGAGCCAUGUCGGUGCGGGGUUGCUCGCGGGGUUCUUCUUGGUCUUGCUCACCUACUUCACCAUGUCGGAGCAGUUCGCGAUCCGCGCUCCGAAUCGUGAGUUGUAGUUACCUAUGCUCUUGAAUCAUUUUGAUCAUUUCAUGAAGGCUAGAUGAGUUCAAGCAACAUAUUUUGGGCACUACUAAUUUUUAUGAGAGCUUAUUUGAAUUUUGUAGUUUUUUCGCAACCAUCGACGGAACAUGAAGUUAUAUCAACUCCAUCUGCACAGGAUGUAGAGCAAGGUGAGACAAAUUAACAUAUAAUUACCUUAAUUAUUUUUCAUUUUUUUCUUUGUUUUGUGAGAUGAUAGUGGAUUAACUAAAGAUGGUUAAAAUUACUGUAACUAAUAGAUUAGUUUUUAAGGAAAAAAAAAACCUUAUAUAUAUAUGUAUAUAUCAUUUUAAAAUUUUAUAGUUUUAAUGAAGAAGUUGAUUAAUUAAAUGUCGAAUGAUGAAUGGCAGGAUCAAAAGAUACGGUAGAAGAAAUCGACGCGGGCCGUAACGAGCAGGAGCCAAAAUCAGAUAAAUUCAAAAAGGAAGAAGAGAUCAAAGAAGAGGAAAAAACAUCAAAAUCUUCAAAGAAUACUCAACAACUAGGUAAGACACUUAACAUUCCACACACUAAUGAAAUUUAAUAAUUUUCCAUAUUAAAUGAAAUAAAUGAUAAAGAGCUUGGUGGUAAAAAGUUUGGUCGUUGGUACCUGAGUUUCAAAAUUCGAAUCCUAAUUGAUUCAUAUUUUCAACUAAAUUUAUUUUUAAAUAAAAUAAAUGAAGCAGAUGGCAUGCUACUUAUCUCUCAAAUAAUAAUAAUAAUAAUAAUAAUAAUUUUUCAAAUUAUCUAAUGCUACAAAUUUAGAAAGUUUACUUUUAAUUUGCUCGUCUAAUUAAUUUCUUUUAAAAAAAUUACUAAAGGUCAGAAAAGUUUCACUUUGCCCUUAGUCCCCUACAAGAUCAUCAUAAUUUGCUUUACUUCUACUUAUAUAUCGAGUGAUCUCAUAGUCCAGCUAGCAAAAGACAAGAUUUUUAUCAACCGCACAUCCUUUCAUCCAACGGCCGAAAACUCAAUAGUACUAAGGACUUGAUACUGUUGAUAGUAUAGUAGCAUAAUUCUAUAUACAUAUAUAUGAAUUGAGCUCCUAUACUUUUAAAAGUACCAAGUGAUUGGUAUUUGUAAGUUUUCGGCCCUUGGAUUAAGGGACAAGCGGCCGGUUAGGAUGAUGUAGGCCACAUAGGGUUGAGUGGGUGGUUGGUUAAAUAGUAUAAUUUAGCGGAUAAAAAUGAUCAAAUGUGUAGAUCUAACGAUAAAAAAUUUACAAGCACCAAAUGCUUGGUGCUUUUACAAGCACCAUAGCCGGACUCCAUAUAUAUAUAUAUAUAUAUAUAUAUAUAUAGAGAGAGAGAGAGAGAGAGAGAGAGAGAGAGAGAGAGAGCUAGGCUGGUAUACUAUCGGUAGCACGGAGACCUCCGUGCUACCAAGUUGUUUUCAAUGAUGUGGCUUUCAAAUCAACGAUCGGUUUCGUUAGACUUGAUCUACACUAUUGAAAGUAUUUGGAAAACUAAAUUUCAUAACUUUUUGACAUAUUUUGGUUAGUGAUCAAAAGGUGUCAAAAUUAACAAUUUUAAUGAUAGAUGUGAUGCGUUUGUGAAUUUAACGGUGUAAAAUAAUCCAAAUCUGAUAAAAUUUUUAUAGAAAAUUCUUUUCACUAUUUAGAGUAAAAUCAGUACAUCUGAUCUUAAAUUCAAGUCUUUUAUUAUCAUUUUUUAUGAGAUUUUUAUUUUCAGCCGUUUAUUUUUAAACUACUCGUUUGAUAGGUAAAUAAUACAGAAAAAUUAUGAAAUUUAGUUUCCAAAUACUUUCAAUAGUGUAGAUCAAGUCUACCGAAACCGAUCAUCGAUUUGGAAGCCGCAUCAUUGAAAACAACUUGGUAGCACAGAGGCCUCCGUGCUAUCGAUAGUAUACCAUCCUAGCUUUUAUAUAUAUAUCUUUCACAUGGAUGAAAGAGAUGAUUGCGUGUAGCAAUUUUCUGCAUAUUGAGUUAUAGGACUUUGAUUUGUUUCGAAGAAUUUCUAAUUUACAUGUAUUAUUUUCUAUGUUAAUUUUCUUUUUCUUUUUUUUUUUUCCACAUGGUAUAGGGAAAUUAAUUUUGGCUUUGUCCCACAAAACAAGCUUAACUUAUUCUUUAGUGAUUGAUAAUUUUGUACUGUGAAAGCUCCAAUCCACAUAAAGACAUGUUGCUUCAGGACAAGUUUCUUCAUAUUUUCUAUUGAAAUUUCUAUCUAUUAUCUUACCUUCCAUUAAGAUCUAGUUCGAGAACUGCGUCGAAAAACGCAUCCGCUUUGGGAUUCGGGUCGGGUUCGAGCCGGCUUUGGUUUGGUAAGUUUGAAUUGAAUAAAAAAAAAACAAAAUUAUUUGGGACCCAUUUAUGGUGGCCCAACCCUAGCCUAAAAUUCUAUUUUGGAUAUCCAAACUAUUCGUGUUGCGAGUCUUUUGAACCCUCUAAAUUAUAAAGCAGGUAUAUUUGACGAAUAUAUUUUCAAACUAAGACAAUGUAAAACCACCAAAAAUAAAAAUCGGAAUCUUCGGACAUAAAGUGUUUAUUCUGUAUUUAGAUUAUUAAAUUUAAUAAUUUUCUACACAGUAAUAAAAUGCAUUUUGUUCAGUUGCGCGCGAUCGACUUCGUUUGGUCUAAUAUAUAGCUCAACUUGUUCAAGUCGCACCCUUAUCUACGAGUCUUUUAGUUUCUUUUUUUUUUUUUUUUUGAGAGAUAGGUAGCACGCUACCUGUUUCGUUUAUUUCAUUUAGAAAUAAACUUAGCUGGAAAUGUGAAUCAAUUAGGAUUCGAACUUGGGUCUCGAAUACCAACCACCAAGCCCUUUGUCACUUGCUCUAGGGACGGUCGGUGAGUCUUUUAGUUUCUUGCAACUUCAAAAGUUUAAAUCUAUGCUGAUUUUCAAAUAGAAAAGUUGCUCAAUUUUUUUUAUCGCUAUUUUUUUCUCACUAUGCAUAAUUUUUCGUACGGCAAUGGCCAGAAAAAGGAAAAAACUCUUUUUGGUUUCUUCAUAUCUUUAGCUUAUUUCAUUCUAAAAAUUGAAUGAAGCAUUUCGAUACGUUUUGGAUAAUAAUCAGGUAUUUGGGACCUAAAACCUAAUUUUAACUUUUAUUUUGAUUCCUAAUCGCCAUGUCACUAAUUUUUCUAUUUCGUUGCACUUCUAAUGUUUUCAUUAUUAAAUUUCUCCAUUUCUUUAGAGUAAUAGUGUCAUGUACGUUAGGUGAUAAUAUCUGAUAUGUCCUUAAAAACUUCAAAAAUAUCUAAUAUACACCUGGUUGGCUAAAAUGCCCUCUUUGAUUUUUUUUAAAAAUACUUUAAAAAUAUCCCCAAACUCUAGGGAUUACUAAUAGGCUUUGGGAUUUAAAGGGGAAUUUUGGUAAAAUUAGAGUAAAUUUGAAAUUUUGAAUAGUAGUCAAGGAUAAACUAAUAAGCCAAAGUCUUAUUAAUAUGUAUAAGGCUUAGUAGAGUUAAUUUACUUUUUACCUAAUGGUGAUAUAUUAAUUUUAGUGAGUUAAUUUCAAACUGUAGAGAAUUAACAAAAAUUAAGGAACACUCAAAUGAAGAUUCUUGCUCUUUUCAUGUAGGUGGAGGCAACGACAAAUCCAACCAAUCGGUAGAGCUGAAGCCGAUAUGUGACACGUCGAAUCCACGAUGCGACGUUUGCGACGUGACAGGCGACGCUCGAAUCCUCGGGAGCCACUCGACGGUCUUAUACGUCCCUCCCCCCGAAAUCACCAAUCCUGAACCUCAAGAGUGGAAGAUCCGAGUACAAUCUCGCAAGUACCUUCCGUGGAUCAAAUUCGUGACAAUAAAAUCAUUACGCGGCCCGUUCGAAGCCCCUCCUUGUACGGUCCGGCACGAUGUCCCUGCAGUCGUCUUCGCGCUCGGUGGCCUUAUAGGGAACGUGUGGCACGACUUCAGUGAUGUGAUCGUGCCCCUCUACCUCACUUCUCGUCGGUUCAACGGCGAGGUUCAAUUCCUUAUAACCGAUCUCAGACCUUGGUGGGUCGAAAAGUAUAGUGUGAUACUCAAGAAGCUCUCGAGGUACGAAAUUAUCGAUUUUGAUAGCGAUAAGGAGUUCCGUUGUUACCCACGUGCUCUCGUCGGCCUUCGGAGCCAUCGUGAUUUCGGGAUCUUACCCGAUUUACCUCCAGAAGGAUACACAAUGCUGGACUUCCGGUUGUUCAUUCGAGAAGCUUACUCGCUUCCAAAAGAUGUACCGAUAAGUUAUCGAGAUAAGCCGGAAAAAAAGCCACGACUGAUGCUCAUAAAUAGGGGGAAAACUAGGAGAUUAUUGAAUGUGGAGGAAGUAGCGAAAUCGGCCGAGGAGUUAGGGUUUGAGGUCAUGGUCAUCGAGCCAAAGAGGGACCUAAACGUGACGGAAUUCGCAAAAGCGGUGGACUCGUGCGACGCGCUGAUGGGGGUGCACGGUGCGGGGCUUACGAACAUCGUUUUUCUCAGAACGAACGCCACCCUGAUCCAAGUGGUGCCCUACGGCAAAUUGGAGUCCAUGGCCGAGGGAUUCUACAGUUGGCCCGCAAGGGAAAUGAAAUUGAGAGAUGUCGAGUACUCGAUUGGCGCUGAGGAGACCACAUUGUUGGAGAAAUUUGGGAGAGAUCACCCUGUGAUCAAGGAUCCGGAUUCAAUUCACAACAGUGGGUGGCAAAAGGUGGCGGAGUUCUACAUGUUCAACCAAGAUGUGAAGCUAAAUGUCACAAGAUUUGCUCCCACACUAUUGAAGGCUCUAGAGCUUCUUCGCAAAUAGUGGGUGCAUGUGAGGAUCUUUAUUAACAUUUAAAUUUUACUAUUUAGUAUUUUAAUUUGUUUAAUUUGAACAAUUUAAUGUUUUUUUUCAUUGCAUAUUUUGGUUCUGGCGUUUGUGUAUGACACAGUGAAUUACUCAAAUAUGCAACAAAAAAGAACCGGCCAUCAUGUAAUUAGCUCAAGUGCAUUUAAAUUGAAAAUUUUUAAAAAUUGGUUGUUGUUUCACAGUUAAUGGAUGAGCAAUAAAUCAAAUUACCUUUUAUUUUCUUUUGCAACUAUAGGGCAAUUUGUUCUUGUAGUUCGGUUUCAAAAUUAUUCUUUCAUCCAUCUCUUCUUUAAAUUCAAUCGUAUAUUUACUCUAAAAUCGACCAAAAAAAGAACAAAAGAAAAAUUGAAAUCCAUUUGUAAUUAAGGGAGGAGGUUUGUUUACAUAUAAAUCCAUAUAUUUUAAGGGAUUAUAAGAUUUCUUGAAACAUUUUAAAUCCUAUUGCGCCAUAUAUUCCUAUAAUAAAAUAAAUAUGAAAUUUAAAAUAUACUGUGAAGUAAACAGACUCUUAAACUAGUUUUGCUAUGAUCUGCAGCCCAAGACAAUGCAGGUGGUGAAGCAAGGUAGACCAGUAGGCCCUUUUGACUUAUAUCUAUUUACAAAAAUAUUGGCCCAAAAAUUUUAUUCUUAUUCUCAUUAUUUUUUCUAGGAUUAAUUUCCUACAUAUCCCCGCAAAUAUAUAUAGUGAAUGACAAAUAUAUAUCUAUAAAGUUUAACUUUUAUAUGUUGUCGCUACAAAAGUUCUAAUGUUUUUAAAUAUGUUCCUCUGGUUUGUUACCAUUAGAGAAUCGUUAGAAAACUAUUUAUAUUUUCAAUUUUGCCAUCAUAAAUAUAUCCCUUCCAAAGCCAUACUAGUAUUAUAUAAAGAGGUAAAAAUGUCAAAAACUAAUUAGGAUUAAGUAUUUAACCGAUGGUUAACUAACUUUUUCUAACGGAUUCUAACGGCAGGAACAUAUUUGAAAACAUAAGAACUUUUGUAAGAACAAUAUAUAAAAGUUCAACUUAAUUUCUAUGGAUAUAUUUAUUAUUCACUAUAUUUGGAAAGUCAUGUAUGAAAUUAACCCUUUUUUCUAUAUAUAUAACGUGAAACUUAAAAAAAAAAAGUGAUCAAUGUAUGGAGUGCGCUAGGGGUGUCAACGAGCCGAACACCAGUGAGCUGAGACUGGUUCAUGUUCGGCUUGUUUCAUAAACGAGCCGAACACGAGCUGGCGCGUUAAAUUAAGUAUCGAGCCGAGUAUGAGCUGGCUCAUGAUUAGCAAAAUAAAAGAAUUAUGAAGGAUAUGUAUAGAAAAUAAAUUCAUGAGAUCUUACCUAUUUAACUUGGAUCUAAUAGUUGAAAUUUUACAUAUAAAUGACCUUUUCAUAAUUGAGUUGGGUUUUAUAUUUAUGUUACAUUAAAAAUUUUAUAUAUAUAGAGAGAGAGAGAGAGAGAAGAGAGAGAGAGAGAGAGAAGAAGAGAGAGAGUCCGGCUACUAUACUUUAUGAGUAUAGAGCCUAUUAUACUCAUAAAUUUUGGCCGUUAAGAUCUACCCUUAAUCAUUUUUAUCUGUUAAAUUAUACUAUUCAACCAAACUACCCCAGUACUCAACUCUAGGGGGCCCACUAUCAACCUAACAGUAAUCAACUUUCAUCCUAAAUGUAUAUUUUUUCAUCGCUGAACUGUCGAUAAACUUAGAUACAAAGAGCUCUAUACUCUCAAUGAGUAAGUAGCCCCAUGCACAUAUAUAUAUAGUAGAACUAUAUAAUAUAUAUGAUAAUAUAUAAUAUUUAUAUAUAUAUAUAUUCGAGCUGUUAUCGAGCCGAACAUGAGCGAGCUGACCUCAGCUCAGCUCGUGAUCGACUCGUUUAUUAAACGAGCUAAAAAAUUUAGCUCGCUCGUGUUCGAUUAACGAGCCGAACACAAGUCAAGCACGAGCUAACUCAUGAACAAUAAGUUAAAACAAUUACGAAGGACACGUAUAAAAAAUAAAUUUAUGAGAUAUUAUCCAUUUAACUUUGUUCUAAUAGUUAAAACUUUACAUAUAAAUGACAUUUUUGUAAGAGUUAGACUUUAUAUUUAGAUUAAACUAUAAAUUAAUUAUUUAUUUAUAUAUAAUAUAUAAAUAUAAAAUAUAUGUAUUUGAGCUGUUAUCGAGCCGAACACGAACGAGCUGAUCGCAGCUCGUAUUCGGCUCAUUUAUUAAACGAGUUGACAAAUUCAGCUCGUGUUCGACUCAUUUAUUACACAUGCGAUUCGAUCUCAAACUUAUUUCGAGCGAAACAUGAAUUGGUGCGUUAACAACGAACUAGAUUCCUACCCUAGAGUGCACCUUCUAUAAAGGGGCGUUGCAAGUUGGAACUCCCGUAGCUCUGUACGAGGUAUAUUUAUUUAUGGACAUGAUGGUUCAGUUCAUAUUCACAUAUGGUAGAACUUUCGUAAGUGAGUCAUUGUUUUUUUUUUUUUUUUUUUUUUUUUUUUUUUUUUUUUUUGUGGAGAGAUAGAGAGUACGCUACUUGCUUCGUUUAUUUUAUUUAGAAAUAAACUUAGCUAAAAAUAUGAAUCAACUAUAUAGGAUUCGAACUUGAAACCUCGGGUAUCAACCACCAAGCCCUUUGCCACUUGCUCUAAAAACGGUCGGUGUGAGUCAUUGUUGUACUACCAUGAUAGUACAAGAGCUAUGUGCAAAUUUUGCACGUAAAGUCCAUUUAUUCUUAAAAUGAGUCAUUAUUAUUUGUAGUUAAAGGUCGUUUUCAUAGUAAAGAGUAAAACUUUCUAAUCACGAGGGACUAACAUAUAUUUGUAAUAAACAAAAAAAAAAAAAAUUCACUGUCUAAAAUGCGGUGCAAAAUGAUCUAAAAUUCAGUCUUAUAUCAUCAUAUUUAAUAUUAAAAAAUUAUGAAAUUUAUUUCUGAAUUCUUGAAAUAUUCUAAAUUAAUUGAUGAACAGAGAGGUGUAUAUAUUUAUAUUUCUAAAAGCACCCUAGCUUGCGCAUUAAAGCUUUCUUCGUACUAAAAAUAAUGAAAUGAAAAGUACUACUCAUGAUCCAUUUUACUCAAAAUUAAGUGUACUCUCCUUAUAUAUAUUAACCAAGUAGGAUGAUUCACUACUAUUAUUGGAAGUUAAAUAUGCACUUUCGACUAUAGUUUGGAUUGUUACUUAAAUAUGUACAUAUGAGGAUCAUUAAUUGAACACGUACAACAUUUUCCCCUUCGAAAGUUAUUAUACGAAGCAACCUGCUAAGGAGAACUCUACAAUAUCUUCCAAGAUUAUUAUAAGCUCAUCGCGGUCGAAGAAUGCGAAUGUCAUCGCAAUUUGUGUAAAGCUUCUUCUGCUAUCGUCGUCGUGAAGAGAGUUUAAUUGAAAGGGUGGUGGUGAGAUCGAUCGAGAAGGUAUAUCGAUCGAGAAAGUUAGGGUUUGGGGGUGAUGAAGAGCUUUGCUCAAAGCUUGUCGAAGAGCCAUGUCGGUGCGGGGUUGCUCACGGGCUUCUUCUUGGUCUUGCUCACCUACUUCUCCAUGUCGGAGCAGUUUGCGAUCCGCGUUCCAAAUCGUGAGUUGUAGUUAUCUAUGCUCAGAUAGUUUGAUCCUUUCAUGUUACUUAGCUAGAGGAGUUCGAGCAACAUGUAAUACUAAUGUGCCGCCCCAUUUUUCAGGAGUCGGUCAUUUUAAAAAUACUCUAACCCUAACACGCAUAAUUCUCUUAACUUAUUGGGCCUAUCCACCUCUCCAAAUUUUAUAGCCAAACUAAGAGUUUUAGCCCUAUUACCCUCUCCUCUUUAAGUCCUAAGAUUCUUAGUCCUAUUAUACCCUCCUUUUUUUAAAUCCUAACGCUCUUAGUCCUAUUAUACCCUCCCUUCCUCUUUUAAGUCCUAACAGUCUCGUCAGGCAAAAACACAUUCACAAGCAACAGACUCAACCGAGACUCAUAUCACAUUUUUGGCUGGUGAUAUGCUCCGAUACCAACUGUGACUCCUCGCUUUUCAGAGGGUCACCCAUCAUACAACUACUCAAAUCCUAACAAACUUAACCCUUUUAACCUCCUGGGCCUGCCUAUCACCUAAAAUUUUAUAGCCGAAUUAAAAAAUUUUGUCCUAUUAUAUCUCAUAUAUUGAAUUAUUCCAAAUUCUAGAGAUGUCACAACUUUUAUUAUUAUUAUUUUCCUAUUUUUGGGCAAUAUUAAUUCUUAUGAGAUUAUUUGAAUGUUGUAGUUUUCUCGCAACCAUCGACGGAACAUGAAGUUGUAUCAAUUCCAUCUGCACAGGAUGUAGGUGAGACAAAUUAACAUGUAAUUACCUUAAUUCCUUCUUUUUUUUUCUUUGUUUAAUUAUAAUAUAAUAGUGUAUUAAUUAAAGAAGCACCGUUAAAAUUAACAUAUAAUUACUUUAAUUAUUUUCAUAUAUUUCUUUGUUUUGCAAGAUGAUGGUUGAUUAAUUAAAGAUGAUUAAAAUUACAGCAAUUAAUAGAUUAGUUUUUAAGGGGAAAAAAAUCCCAUAUAUAUAUAUAUAGAGUUGGACUGGGCUACUAUUAGUAGCUAAAUCCUAUUGUUGCUACCAGUUUUUUAGCCUUUGGAUCAACUCUUUUCAUUAUUUCUAACUAUUAGAUUAAAUACUAUAACCCAGUGGGGACCACUCAACCCUAGGGGGACCAUUCAACUCUAACCGACUAAUAUCAUUCUGACCAUACAAUUUUUCAUCCAAGAGUUAAAAACUUGAUAGCAAAAAGAGCGUUUUACUAUUAAUAGUAUUCCAGCCUAAUUCUUUCUAUAUAUAUAUAUAUAUAUAUAUAUUAUUUUGGCUUUUUAUAAUUUUAAUGAAAAAACUGAUUAAAUGGCGAAUGAUAAAUGGCAGGAUUGAAAGAUGCAGUAGAAGAAAUCAAGGCGAGCCACAAUGAGACGGAGCCAAAAUCAGAAAAUUUCAAGAAGGAAGAAGAAAUCAAAGAAGAGAAAAAAACACCAGAAUCUUUGGAUAAUACUAAACAAUUAGGUGAGACACUUAAUUAAUUUCUAUAAAAUUAAACACAAUAAUAAAUUUUAAUAAUUUUGUAUAUUAAUUGUCCAAGAACUCAAAUUUAGAAAGUCAACUUUUUAAAUAGCUCUCCUAAUUAAUUUUUCUUUAAAAAAACCAAAGGUCAAAAAAUUUUCACUUUGCCCUUAGCCCUCUGUUUUGCAAGAUACUGGUUGAUUAACUAAAGAUGGUUAAAAUUACAACAAUUAAUAGAUUAGUUUUUAAGGGAAAAAAAACCCUAAUAUAUAUAUUGUUUUGAUUUGUUAUAUUUUUAAUGAAAAAAUUAAUUAAAUGGCGAAUGAUAAAUGGCAGGAUCGAAAGAUGCAGUAGAAGAAACCAAGGCGAGCCGUGACGAGCCAGAACCAAAAUCAAAAAAUUUCAAGAAGGAAAAAGAGGUCAAAGAAGAGAAAAAAACACCAAAAUCUUUGGAGAACACUCAACAAUUAGGUGAGACACUUAAUUAAUUUCUAUAAAAUUCUACACAAUAAUAAAAUUUAAUAAUUUUGUAUAUUAAUUGUCCAAGGCCUCAAAUUUAGAAAGACAACUUUUUAAAUAGCUCUCCUAAUUAAUUUUUCUUUAAAAAAUCCAAAGAUCAGAAAAUUUUCACAUUGCCCUUAGUCCUCUGUUUUGCAAUAUGAUGGUUGAUUAACUAAAGAUGGUUAAAAUUACAGCAAUUAAUAGAUUAGCUUUUAGGGAAAAAAAAAACCCUUAUAUAUAUAUAUAUAGAGAGAGAGAGAGAGAGAGAGAGAGAGCUAGGCUGGUAUACUAUCGGUAGCACGGAGGCCUCCGUGCUAUCAAGUUGUUUUCAAUGGUGCGACUUUCAAAUUGACGAUCAGCUCCAUUAAACUUGAUCUACACUACUAGAAGUAUUUGGAAACUAAAUUUUAUAAUUUUUUGAUAUCAUUUGGCUAGUAAUCAAAAGAACUCAAAAUUGACAAUUUUAAUGGUCGAUGUAAUGCGUUUGCGAAUUUAACGAUGUAAAACAAUUCAAAUCUGAUAAAAUUUUUAUAGAAAAUUCUUUUCACUGUUUAGAGUAAGAUCAAUACCUCUGAUAUUAAAUUCAAGUCUUUUAUCAUUAUUUUUUAUAAGAUUUUUAUUUUCAGCCGUUCAUUUUUAGACUACUCGUUUGAUAAGUAAAAGAUGUCGAAAAAUUAUGAAAUUUAGUUUCCAAAUACUUUCAAUAGUGUAGAUCAAGUUUAACGGAGCCGAUCAUCGAUUUGGAAGCAAAAUUAUUGAAAACAACUCGGUAGCACGGAUGCCUCCUUGCUACCGAUAGUAUACAAGCCUCUCUCUCUCUCUCUCUCUCUCUCUCUCUCUAUAUAUAUAUAUAUAUAUAUAUAUAUAUUGUCCAAGGCCUCAAAUUUAGAAAGUCAUCUUUUUAAAUAGCUCUUCUAAUUAAUUUUUCUUUAAAAAAAUCAAAGGUCAAAAAAUUUUCACUUUGCCCUUAGUCCUCUGUUUUGCAAGAUACUGGUCGAUAGAGCUAGGCUCCUAUGCUUUCGAAAGCAAAUUACGGAUAAAACGGGUGGGUACCCAUUAAGCUGUGAGUAUUUUGGGUAACCCGCGGGUACCUACGGAUACCAGCACACAUAUUUUUUAAUUACAAAAUAUUUUUUUUUCAUUAAAAUACAUAUAUAUUUAUUUAUCCUUCCUAAAAAUUUUAACUAUAAUUUCUUAUUGCGUCUUUUAUAUUACGAAUUUAAGCUCUAAGACUUUAAAUAUUUUUAUUAUAUGUUAUGAUAUUUUAAAUAAUGAGUUAUGUCAUAUAUAUAUAUAUAUAUAUAUAUAUUGCAUUUAAAAAAUAUAAGAGAAAAAAAAAUUGCGGGUAAUCCGCAUACCCAUCCGCUCACCCACGGGUGGGUAUGGGUAAUGAUGUUGGCUACCCAAAAAUUUGUGGAUAAAUUUUAUCCAUUCCCAAGUACCCCGCAGGUACAAUGACCCGCCCGCGGGUUACCCAACCCGUCAUUUGCCAGGUCUAGCCUCCGUGCUUGUAAGUUGUUUUCGAUGAUGGGAUAUCCGAUUCGGCGAUCGGUUCCGCCAAACUUGAUCUACGCUAUUGGAACUAUCUAAAACUAAAUUUCAUAAUUUUUUGACUUCGUUUGUCUAGUGAACGAGUAGCCUCAAAAUGAACAGCCGAAAAUAAAAAUCUCAUAAAAAACAAUGAUAAAGGACUCAAAUUUCAAAUCGGAAGUAUUGAUCUUGCUAUUGAUAUUAAGUAGAAUUUUUUAUUAAAUUUUUAUGUAAUUUGGAUACUUCUACACCGUUGAACUUAAAAACAUGCCACAUCGGUCGUUAAAAUAGUCAUUUUUGAGACCUUUUGAUCGCUUGGUAAAUGAUGUCAAAAAAUUAUAAAAUUUAGUUUCUAGAUAGUUCGAAAAGGGUAGAUUAUACUUAACGGAGCCAAUCGUCGAAUCGGAUGUCCUAUCAUCGAAAACAACUUAUAAAUACGGAGGUCUCCGUACUUUCAAAAGUAUAGGAGACGUACUCUAUAUAUAUAUAGAGAGAGAGAGAGAGAGAGAGAGAGAGAGAGAGAGAGAGAGAGAGAGUAGGUCUUGUGUGCUAUUAGUUGCACGGAGGCCUCCAUGCUCCUAAGUCGUUUUUGAUGAUGGAGCUUCCGAAUCGACGACUUGCUCCGUUAGACUUGAUCUAGCGUAUUUAAAGUUUCUAGAAAAUAAUUUUUACAAUUUUUUGAUAUCAUUUAUCUAGUGAUCAAAAGAAUUCAAAAUCAAUAAUUUUUAAUAGUUGAUAUCUACCGUUUUCAAGUUUAACGGUGUAGAAGUAUUCAAAUCAGAUAAAAUUUUGAUACAAAAUUCUUUAUACUAUCUACAACAAGAUCAAUAUUUGUGAUCGAAAAUUUUAGUGUUAUAUCACCACUUUUUAUAGGAUUUUUAUUUUUUAGCCGUUAAAAAUUAUUGAUUUUGAAUCCUUUCGAUUGCUAGGUAAAUGAUAUCAAAAAAUCGCAAAAAUUAUUUUCUUGAAACUUUAAAUACGCUAGAUCAAGUCUAACGGAGCCGAUCGUCGAUUCGAAAAUUUCAUCAUCGAAAACGGCUCAAGAGCACGAAGGCCUCCGUGCUCCUGAGAGCACAGCAACCCUGCUCUCUCUCUCUCUCUCUCUCUCUAUAUAUAUAUAUAUAUAGAGAGAGAGAGAGAGANUCGUUACCACCUAUUUGUUUUCGAUGACGGAGCAUCCAAAUUAAUGAUCGGCACCGUUGAACAUGAUCUAUACACUUGAAGUAUCUAGAAACCAAAUUUUAAAUCUUUUUGACAUCAUUAGCCAAAUGAUCAAAGAAUUUCAAAAUUUAUAACUUUAAUGGUCAUUAUAAGACGUUUUCUCGUUUAAUGGCGUAAAAAUAUUCAAAUCAAUUAAAUUUUAAUUAAAAAAUUCUUUAAACUAUUUAGAACAAGAUCUAUACUCUUGAUCUUGAUUAUAAGACUCCUAUCAUCACUUUUUAAAGGAUAUUCAUUUUCGGUUGUUUAUUUUUUAAUUAAAAUUUAAUUGAUUUGAAUAUUUUUACGCCAUUAAACGAGAAAACGUCUUAUAAUGACCAUUAAAGUUAUAAAUUUUGAAAUUCUUUGAUCAUUUGGCUAAUGAUGUCAAAAAGAUUUAAAAUUUGGUUUCUAGAUACUUCAAGUGUAUAGAUCAUGUUCAACGGUGCCGAUCAUUAAUUUGGAUGCUCCGUCAUCGAAAACAAAUAGGUGGUAACGAAGCCCAUUUGCUACCGAUAGUAUUCCAGCUCAUCUCUCUCUCUCUAUAUAUAUAUACCAGUCAUACCUACCGUAGUUAGCUAAGGAUUGGAUUUGGUAUUUGGAGUCCCAAAUUUGAUUACUUCAUCUAUUUAGCUGCGUUCAUUUCUAAAAACUGAACAUAGUAUAUAUAUUUGGUACAAUUUAGGUAAUAAUCAGGUGUUUGAGACCUCAAAACUAAUUUUAGCAAACUUUUAAAUUGAUUCCUAAUCACCAUGUCAUUAACCUUUUAUUUCACUGCAUUUCUUAUGUUACAUGUACAGCUCGUAUCACUGCGAGUAGAGUUAAUAUACUUUCGACCUAACGGUGACAUUUUAAUUUUAAUUAGUUCACUUCACACUGUAGAGAGUUAGCAAAAAUUAAGGUACACCCAAUGGUAAAAGUUAAUUAUUGAGGACUAGAUUAAAAUUUGGUGAUUUGAUGAAAAUUCUUGCUCUUCUCAUGUAGGCAAAGGCAAGGAAAAAUCCAACCAACCGGUAAAGCUGAAGCCGAUCUGCAACACAACAAAUCCAAGAUGCGACGUCUGCGACAUGACUGGCGACGCUCGAAUCCUCGGCAGCAACUCGACGGUCUUAUAUGUCCCUCCCCCCGAAAUCACCAAUCCCGAACCUCAAGAGUGGAAGAUCCGAGUACAAUCUCGCAAGUACCUUUCGUGGAUCAAAUCUGUGACAAUAAAAUCGUUACGUGGCCCGUUCGAAGCUCCUCCCUGUACGGUCCGGCACAAUGUCCCCGCGGUCGUCUUCGCACUCGGUGGCCUCAUUGGGAACACGUGGCAUGACUUUAGUGACGUGAUCGUCCCCCUCUACCUCACCUCCCGUCAGUUCAACGGCGAGGUUCAAUUCGUCAUAACCGACCUCGCACCUUGGUGGGUCAAAAAGUAUAGUGUGAUACUCAAGAAGCUCUCGAGGUACGAAAUUAUUGAUUUUGAUAGCGACAAGGAGAUCCGUUGCUACCCGCGUGCCGUAGUUGGCCUCUGGAGCCAUCGCGAUUUUGGGAUCUUACCCGAUUCCCCUCCAGAAGGGUACACAAUGCUCGACUUCCGGUCGUUCAUGCGAGAAGCUUACUCGCUUCCAAAAGACGUACCGAUAAGUUAUCGAGAUAAGCCGGAGAAGAAACCACGACUAAUGCUCAUAAAUAGGGGGAAAACUAGGAGGUGGAUGAAUGUGGAGGAGAUCGCAAAAUCGGUCGAGGAGUUAGGGUUUGAGGCGGUGGUCGUCGAGCCGAAGAUGGACGUAAACUUGACGGAAUUCGCAAAGGUGGUGGACUCGUGCGACGGGGUGAUGGGGGUGCACGGCGCAGGGCUAACGAACAUCGUUUUCCUCAGAACGAACGCCACGCUGCUCCAAGUGGUGCCCUACGGGAAACUGGAGUUCAUGGCCGAGGGAUUCUUCGGUUGGGCCGCGAGGGAAAUGAAAUUGAGAUAUUUCGAGUACACGAUUAGCGCGGAGGAGAGCUCAUUGUUGGAGAAAUAUGGGAGAGAUCACCCUGUGAUUAAGGAUCCGGAUUCAAUUCACAGGGGUGGGUGGCAACCAGUGGGGGAGAUCUACAUGUUCAACCAAGAUGUGAAGCUAAAUGUCGCGAGAUUUGCUCCUACACUAUUGAAGGCUCUUGCGCUUCUUCGUGAAUAGUGGGGCGUAUGGAGAGCAUUCGAAACAACUAUAUAUUUAACUUUUAAAUUUUACUAUUUAAUAUUUUAAUUUGUUUGAUUUGAAUAAUUUGAUGAUUUUUUUCAUUGCAUAUUUUGGUUCUGCCCUUUGUGUAUGAUGCAUUAAAUUAAUCAAAUAUGUAAUUAUUUCGAGAGCAUUGCAAGGGUAGGUAGUUAAAUUAAAAAUUUCUAAAUAAUUGGUUGUUGUUUCAUAAUUAAUGCUUGAGCGAUAAUUCAAAUUAUUUAAACUUUGUAAGAAUAUAUUUGCUAUUUGAUAUGUUACUUUUAAAGAGCUGUAUGAAAUUAUCUCUAAUUUUAAAUAUGUCUACGUUGUUGUAUUAUUUCUUCCAUGCUAGUAUCAUCUUGGGUAGAAUCAUUAGUAGAAGAUUAAUUUUCCGAUUGGAUUAAUAUGGCUCAUUAUAACUUACAUUUGAAAAGACAUUCGGCGAAACCAAAUAUUUCGAUCUAUCAAAUCUUAAUUACUAUUUCUUAGUAAUGAUCGAACGAAGUCACCAUAACUUUUUGAGACAUGAAUUUGAUGGGUAAUCUUUGUUUCCCUGUUGUUAUUCAUACUGUUCUAACUAAAAUUUAGUUUACUCUAAUAUCACAAUAAUUUCUUACUGUUGCACAAAUAAAGAAUAACUUACUACUUACAUGUCCAGAUGAUUAGGAACAAGUAAGCUUUUUUUUGUUUACAAUCUUUUAUAUUUUUCUCAAAUUAUGCAAAUAUCAUCUUAUAUAUAUAGCUAGUAUUUCAAGAUAAAGUCAUAUUAAAUGCAUGACUAGAAACAAAAAAAUCAUUGAUCACCUGAUAAAUCUAACUGAAUGAUAAAUAUUCUAUGGUAAUGAUAAUUCGCGUGACAUUUCUAACUUAAUUAUUAAGAGGUUGUUUGGUUGUAUAUAUGUAAUUGAAACCAAAUUAUUAUAGUUAUAAUUACAUGCAAAUUUAAAUAUGAUAUUUGUUUCAAUGUAUUUAAAUCCAACUGCAGCAAUUGGAGCUGGAUGGGGAUGCCCAACUGCGAUAGUUGGAAUUACGCUUAAAUUGACCGUAAUUCUAGCUGCAGCAGCUGAAGAGAGUAGCUUUAAACAAAAAAUAAAUUUUUUCUCCCAAAUCACUCUUUAAAUAGAAAAUAUUUUCGUUUUUAUUUUGGAGGUAACCUCAUCAAAUAAACGUAUAAAGUGAUAAAAUUGACAAACAUACUUCUCAAUUAUAUGCAGUAAAAAAAUUUACUUAUUAUUUUAGCGCUUUUUACUGCAUUCAACCAAACAAAAUAUAUAUAUUUAUAACUGCUUUAGUUCAUUGUGCCCAACAAUACCAUUUGUUGUCAUAAAUCAUAAUACACCACGCAAAUCAUUUUUUAUAAUGUUAUAGAUAAAUAGAGAAGCGUAUAAAAUUCUAUAUAUAUCAAUAAGUUCAUCAAAGUUAAAUAUACUUAAAUAGACUGUAUUAAUAAGUACUAUUGCAAUCUCUCCUGCUCAUAAAUAUGGGUGCGUGCCGAGUAUGUACUCUUUUGCACAUAAUUAACGCAGAGAUUGCUCUAUCACCCGCUUAUUCCAAAUAGUGUCAACAUAAGGAUAAUGUAAUGUUCCAGACUCGUCGCAACUCGUCAGUGAUGAGAAUGCUCUGAGACACUGGUGGCGGUGGGAAUGAUGGUGAGGCUCGGAUUGAUGGCAGCGGGAAUGAUGGUGAGGUUCGGAUUGGGGAUUUAAGGUAAUUGAGAUAAUUGAGUAAGAAAAUUGGAAAAAUAGAAAAGAAAGAGAGAUAUUAGAUGGGAGUAGAUUGGAGACACAGAAUAGAGUGAGAGGAGAGAAGAAGAGAGAAGGAAGAGUUAAUUAGGGAGAAGAGUAGAUUGGAGAUAGAGAAUAGAGAACAGAGGAGAGAAGAACAGAGAAGGAAGAGUUAAUUGGGGAGAAGAAUCUUAAUUCAUUUCAUUCAUUUAUACCCAUUUACUAUUUUUAUACUAUCCUUUUAUAUAAAAGGUACUGAAAUAUAAAAUAGUAUAACAUAGAAGACUAAGUUGUAAAAGUUAAAAAAUGGUAAAUGGGCCACUAAUGCACCAAUCUGUGAGGAAUUUUGUGCUCUUGGAUUGAACUGAAGCACAGAGGAACGUGCUUUUUUGGCGUGGCCUCUUCUCUUAAUAAUCCGGCCUAAGCUUGGAUGCAUAUUUUGGCUGGCCUCAUUGGCUUUACGGUCAGAUCCGUCGCUCCCGACCACUCGAUUUGUUAACUAGGUUUAAGUACUUCCGCCCAUCCACUUUAUCUGCCUAGAUCCUGUUAGCUCGUGUUCCGGAUAAGCCUAAGUUGUCGCCUUCUCGUUCUUCGCCGCUGUGACCGUCUUUCGCCUUGGCUGCUACCUCCAUUAGCGGCCUUCGUCAGACUUCCAUAAGCGCUGUCUCUCAUUCUUUUAUUUCCCUUUUUAUGCUUGCUAUUUGCUAUUACUCUUCAGUAUUUCUAUCUAUUAACUAUGUUGUUAUAGAUACAGAAGUAACAAUUAUUUGUAGUUUAGACUUCUAUAUUACUAUCUAUUAACUAUGUUGUUAUAAAUACAAAAGUAACAGUGCAUUCUUUGCACAGUGCGAUUGUGGAAAGCUGCACUCGAGGACGCGGACGGCAGCUAAGAGUUUGCGCUUUUUUCUUGGUUUGGGUGAUGAAUGUUGUUUGCUCGUCUUUUUUGUUCGCCUUUGCCGCUUUGGCGCCUUUGCUUGCUUCUCUAUUUUGUUCGCCUUCCUAAAUUUUUCCUGAUUCUCUUUGUCCUUCUCCUGUACUUGUUCAAAUAGGGUAUAUCCCUUUUUAAUCAAAAAAAAUAAAUACAGAAGUAACAAUUAUUAAUAGUUUAGAUUAGGAUGAAGCUAAAAUUCAAUAUAAAAUAAAAUAUAAUACUUGUUCAAAUUUUAUUUUAGUUUGCUCCAAUAUCACAGCUAUUUGUAUUUAUAUAGAUAAAUUUUUUUAAAAAAAACACUAGUUUCAAAACUCAUCGAGUAAAAUUUCGGUUUAAUAUUUGUCGCUAUCUUUUAUUUCCUUGUCAAACCUAGGCAUCCUUUUAUAGCUAGCAUUGUAAGGAGAAAUAUGACAUGAUGCAUGACCAGCAACACAAAAUGCGUGCAUUUUAUGAUUUAAUAGUGUGACGAGCAUUAAAUUAAGACAAGUGAUUAUUAUUAUGUUAAUUAAGUAACUAAAGGUAAAACCUAAUGAGUUAAAGCCCACCAUUGUCUCCUACAAUAGGCCAUUUUAUUAUUAUUAUUAUUAUUUUUUAAAGGCCUCUAUAUAUAAAAAAAAAAAAAAAAAAAAAAAAAUGGUAACUAGAGGAUAAAUUUUUGCAUCCUCUCAUAUACUAUUUAGAUGUGACCGCUUGUUUAAUAAUUCUUUAUCACUAUACCAAACUUUAUAAUUCAGAUAAACUAUUAACAUAUCAUCCUAAAGAGGCUCUAAAUAAAAUAUUGAUCAAAACAGAGCUAGAAUUUUAUUGAUAGUAUAUACACAGUAUUUAAUUAUUAUCAUCUUUAUUUUAUUCCUGGAUGUCUAGUAUUUACUAUUUAGCUUUAUCGAUCAUCUCUAUAUAAUAAAUAUAUUGAUCAUCAUGUAAUCUCAGUUUCUCCUUUUUUUUGAUUGAACAGGGAUAUACCCUAUUUACAUCAUGUAAUCAUCAUGUAAUCUCAGUUUCUCCCCUUAAUAAAGAUUUUUUAAAAACAAAAUUGAUAAAGAUUAGGUAAGUAUAAUGUACCGUGAAAUUCACAACCUGUUUGCAAAAAUAAAAGAAGCCGAAAAACUCUAUUUCCAAAACAAAAGAAUUAUAAUAAAAGGGUGAAUAUAAAUUUAGGAUUUCGGAUAGAAAUUGAAAAUAUUCACUAAUAAUUGAACUACUGAAGAAAUAAUGACACCGAAAACUUUCGAACUACAAUUGGGCCAUUACAAUAUUGAAUGUUUGUAUGUUUUUUGAAAAAGGAAUUCUCUGCUCAUCUAAAUAUUUAGCCAAAUUUAGCCAAAUUUUGGAGAUCUCCGAUCGUAGUUUUUUUUUUUUGUUACACUAAACGAUAGAAAUCACCAGUUUACUUCAAAUCCUAUGGCCACAAUUUCUAUCCCCUAAUCAAACUAAUAUCUCAUCAAAAUAUUGUCACGCUCCGAGAUCGCCCAGUUUGGAUCUGCUCAAGCACGAAGCGGUAACAACCAUCAACCUGUAAAUUCAUAUACGAUAUGCGCUAGAUUUUAUAUAUAGGUAUGUAAAAUAAGACAGAAAUUAAAUACAUACCAAAAUCCAGGAUCAAAAUAAAAUAAGAUAACUCACAGAGCGCCGCCGAGAAGAAAUUCCUGAUCAAUCUGAAGCGUGAAGUCCGGCUAUAAUCUGGAAGUCACGAACCGAACUUCGGUGAUUUGGUUUCUCCCCCUACCUCAGGCACUCUACCGUAUGGUGUGGAACCGAUGGUAAUUCUUCACCAGAAUACGUAUGAGAAUGUGGCAGGACCAAUACCCCUUUAUAUAGAGUCCAAAUCGACUUCCCAUCAAAGUCUGAUUAGAAUUCUAUUUAAAUUUAAAAUAGAUGGGAUAGGAUAAAAUAUACCAUAUCAAGUAGUUCUAUAUCUGUUAGGAUUAACCUUUAUUUAUAGUAAAUCCAGAUUUGAAUAUAAUUAAUUGGGCCACAAUAUAUGGAAAUACUAACAAUAUGUUCACAAGUACAAUAUCAAAGUGCACCACUAAUCUGAACAUUCAACUAAAUAAACUUUCUUAAGUUUUACUAUCAUUUGGCCUCCAAAAUAUUACUAGUUUUUUUCUUGUUACAUAAGGGGUGCGAUAGAUCUUACUAGGUCCUCUACUCCACAAUGCCCUUGCCACAGUGUGACACUCUACUUUCUACGGGGGUCAUCUAUCCUAAGAUUACUCUAGCCCUAAUAUGCUUAACUCUCUUAACUCUUGGAUCUAACUACCGCUCAAAAUGUUAUAACUGAGUUAGACGUUUAACUGCGUUAUAUCCCAUUUAUAGGACUAUUCUAAAUCGGUGUUACAUUCUUCCUACUUUUAAGCCCUGACGUUAUCGUCAGACUUAAAUACAUUCACAAUCACCAGGCGAUGUAAAACUCAUCUCGUUAAUCUUUAGCUAUCCUUAUGGGGAGCCGCGCUCUACCCACAAUGGUCAUCAGCAUGGGGAGCCACACUCUACCCGAUGUAUAACCCUGGGUAAGCCGAGACUCUCAUAUUUUCUGUUGGUGAUUGACUUUGAUACUCACUGUGAUGCCCCACUUUCCAGGGAGUCACCUAUCUUAAGACUAUCUAGUCCUAGCAGGCUUAACUCUCUUAACUUCUUGCGCUUCACAACUAUCCAAAAUGCUAUAAUUGGGUUAAGAGGUUUAGCCCUAUAACAUCUCAUAUAUAGAACUAUUCUAAAUCCUGAGUUGUCACACGUAGUCACGUUCCUUGCUGGUAGUGUUAGAAUCUGAAAAAGGGGUAAACUACAAAAAGAUGGGAACUACUGAAAGUUCUCAGUGAGUGCAAUCACCAAGAAUUGAUGUUCUAUGCUCACACAGUCCAGGGAAGGCAUUAGUAGAGAGAUGAUAAUAAUAACAAAUAUUUCUAUACUAGAUAUGUAGUGAGUGAAUUUACAACUACAAUACCUCCUUUAUUCAAGAUGCUAUUAUGCCACUUGUUUAAAGGUUUACCCAUCUAUCUCAUGUCUCUAACCAUUUAAAUGAUCGAUUAUGUUUCACUUUAGACCUCACGGAGAGCCGAAAAAGAUCGAACUACUCUCUAAUUGAUUGACACAAACCUCAUGAAGCGCUGAGGGAGAUCGUACUACUUUCCGAUCGGUUUAUACACACCUUACGAAGAGCGGAAGGAGAUUGUACUACUCUCUGAUCGGUUGACACACACUUGAUGGAGAGCCGAGGGAUGAUUGUACUAUUUUGCGAUUGGUUGACACACACCUCAUGGAGAGCCGAGGGAUGAUCUUUCUACUCUCCAAUCGGUUAACACACACCUCACGGCGAGCCGAGGGAUGAUCGUACUACUCUGCGAUUGAUUGAUAUUCAUCUCAUCGAGAGCUGAGGGAUGAUUGUACCACCUCCAAUCAAUUGACACACACCUCAUGGAGAGCCGAGGGAUGAACACACUAUUCUCCAAUUGAUUGGUGCUUGUAGUCAAGGGAUAUCGGCACUCUAGUACAUAAUAGGAGUUGAGGGCUGAUUGGCCCUCACAAUGCAUAUGGCGGAAUCGAGGGAUGAUUGGCAUUCUCGUGACACUUUUGGAAGGUUGCAACAAGGGAUAAUCAGCCUUCCCAAUGCAUAUGAGGAAAUCGAGGGUUGAUCAGCAUCACGGGAAACUUCUGGAAGGUCAACCAUACACAUCAUGAUACCCUAAGCUCAAUAACCCCUUGGGUUAUACUACUAGACCACACAUCUCAUAGAGAGCUGAGAAAGAUCGUGCUACUCUCCAAUUGAUUUGACACAUACACUUUAUGGAGAACCAAGAGAAAUUGUACUACUCUCCAAUUGGGUUAGGACAUCUUCUUGCAAGUUAGUGGAAUCAAAUUUGCUCUCUCAAGAAAUAGGAAAAGGACGCUUCUCCACCUUAUGGAGAGCCGAGAGGGAUCGUACCACUCUCCGAUCAACUGACACACGUCUUAUGAAGAGCCAAGGAAGAUAAGCACUACUCUCCAACCGGUUGAUACGCACAUCAUACUCCAGUUCACCUUUAACUUAGAGUUCACAAUCUCUAUGUUCCACCUUAGGUUUUACCUAAGUUAGAUGCCACACAAUUCAACCGACAUUUUAGGUUUCAAUUUUUGAUUUUUUUCAUUCGCAUACAAAGGGUUUAAAGCCCUACUUUCUUUUUCUUCCUAACAUGCAACUAAAUUAUAUUUAGAGUAUUAUUUACUAACUUAACAUGCUAAAUAAAUAAAAAAACUAUUGACAAAGAAAGAGAUCACCGACUUUCGAUGACAUUCCGUAUCUUAGCCAAGCUCCAAAUGGCUAGAACUUUCUCUUGAAACUCCCAGCCAGCUCCUAGUCUUCAAAGAGAUCAAUCUCAAAUUCUCUCAAAGUGAUCUAGAAUUUUUUCUCUUGUUUCUAGAGAGAAGGAGAAGAGGGAGAAAAUAAGAGAGGGAGUGGAGGGUGGUGAGUUAGAGCAAACAGUGAGUUGCCCGUUUAUAAGGUUGCAACUAUAACAAGCAAACCCCUCAAAUCAAAUCUUCUUAUUUACAUCAGACAAAUUUAUAUUUUGAUCUGAAUUUAGUUUAAUUCAAUCCAAACUCAUUUUAAUCAUGCCUAACAUGACUUAAUCCAUAUUUUGCCAAUUUAGCUAAAAUUCGUUACAUUACAAAUAUCAACGGCCCAUAUUAUCAGUCACUUGUUGAAUGUAACAAUCUAAAUUAAUCGUCAACAAUCACCUUCUCAUAGGGAUGCAAAUGGGGCGGAUCUAGGGGUGGGAGCCACCCCGCCUCCUGCCCCUUGUCCCGAAUCGGUGAUAGCUUUCGUAACCUGCCUCCUGCCGGCACUCCGAAUCCGCCCCGCCAACUAAUACUUUUUUAUAAAUUUAAAAUAUUAUUAAUAUUUUAUCAAAUAUAUAUUAAUAAUUUUUAAUAAUAUUAUAUACAUAAUUAACAACAUCAAUUAUAAAAAUUAGAAAUAUCAAUCAUAAUUCGAAGCAAAAGUCAAAAUUUUCAAAUACAUGAGAAAUGAGAGCAGUAACUUAUUUAUAGUUUGUAUUUUUUUGUAAAUACACUAUUUUUUAGGGACAUUUUUUAAAAAUAUAAAUAGUUUUCGGGACGAAUUCGGGGCGGGUCAAAAUUUCUACAGUUUCCUGCCUCGAAUCCGUCUCGAAUCAUAAAAAUUAUCCCGUUUUCCGCUCCGAAUCUAUUUAUUUUCUCCCGUUUACCGCCCCAUUCGGGACGGAUCGGGGGCGAGAACUUUACCAGCUUGGAUCCGUUUGCAUUCCUACCCUCUUAUCAGCCAAAAACAGAGUUCGAUCACAUGUUUCAACUGAAUCAUCCCUUCGCACGUGCGAGUUGAAUGAGGGUCAUCUUGACUCCUGUGCCAUGUACAUUCGGCAGUUUCUAAUUGGUUUAGUCGAAAUAUUUAAUAGUAGUGGGCCACACUCCUUCGUUACUUCUCUUCGCACUAUCUUCAGAUUUUUUCUUCUGUAAAUUAAAUUGGUUAGAACAUUUGUGACUUAUUCAUUUUGAAUUCCAUAGGUGCAGAAAGAUUUAACAUCUAACGUCUCCAUUAUGCAAAACUCUCAGAAAAAUUUUAGCCAAAAUCAGAUCAAAAACAGGUGAGAAGCCUAUUCUACGCAAAAAGUGAUGACUAUUAUUUUAUCUAAUAAAUUCAACUUGUAUUAGUGAUAAUUUUACUUAUAAUUUAGUUUGCUCCAAUAUCACACUAUACGCGUAAUUGUAUUAAGUAAAUAAAUGCUUGUUCUAAAGGACAUAGUGUCUGUUUAUCUAUCAUUUUCAUUUCUUUUUCAAAAUCUCCUUUUUUUUUUAAUUUAGGCAGAAAAUUCUAUACCAUACUCCUCCUAUAAGUAGCGUCGUUGGGAAAAAUUCUUGAUUUACGCAUGACCUGCAACAUAAAAAGCAUGCACCUUGUGUUUUAAUUGUGUGAUCAACAUUACAUUGAAUAUAAGUGGGACUAGUGAACUUUUUUUUUUUUUUUUUUUUUUUUUUUAUAACUCAGUUGGAUAUAUAAGAAUGUCAAUGGAUCAAGACAGCCCAAUUAGUUCCAGCCCAGCUAAUUUGGACCUUGUUGACACGAAUCUUAAAGCACUCAGAUUACUUCCUGUCGUGUUUGGAUGUCAAAAACAAGUCAAUAAAUAAUAAUUUAUUCAGUAUAAAAAUUUUUAUUUGUGAUUGAAAAUUAAAAUAUUAAUUUUUUUUUUCUGUUUGAAAAUAUCUAUGACGUGGUAAUAAUAUAGUACGUAUAUUUUACUUGAGAAAUAAUUUAUCUUAUUACGAAAAAAAAAAAACUCAUAUAAUUGUAUUUUAAUUUACAAUUUCGAUCGUUCCUUAUCUACAAAGUGCUAUAAGCUUUCCAACAAAAUCAAAAAGAUAUACAUAUAUAAAAUAAAAUAUUUCAUACAUUCAAAAAGAGCUUUAAUUAAGAUUUAAAAAUUUUGUCACAUGAAUUUAUGAAGUAGGCUGUUUUCAUCAAUAUAGACUUUAUAAUAUAAAACAGCCAUAUCAAAGUUUUUACCUGUUUUUUUUUUAACUUGUAUGUUCACUUAAUUUUUUUAUUUUUCUGAUUUAAUUGAGUUUUCUAAUUAGUUAAGUAGAAAAUUAUGUUAAUUGGUAGUUCUACUUGCUAUUAAUUAGCCACAAAUUUUAAAAAUUUUGUUUGCUAAAAUAUAAUUAAAGCUACUAAAUUUUAUUAAAUUAUUAAAAUAUAUAAGAAAAAUUUUAACUUUUUUGACUAAAAUCAAACAAAUUAUAAAUGCCAAAUAAAGUAUUCCAGUAUCCCAAUAAUAUCAAAGAUGAAGCCCAAAUCGUGCACUCACAACAACAUAAAUAUUCAUACAUAGUAGUUACUUUGUGCCAAUCAAUACACAUACCUUGCAAGAUCAACAAGAAGCAAACUAUAUUUCAUUUUCUCCUAUUUUAAAUAAUCCAACCAUUGUUGUUAAGAUUACACAAAUAAUUAGGCUUGUCACCCAUAUUGUGAGAGAGAGAGAAAGAGACCACAACAAAAAUAGUGUAUAGCGACACUUUUCAAUAUCGGUACAAGUCAAAAAAAAUAUUGCUAGCUGAAUUACUGACACUUUUUAAAAGUGUUGUUAUAUGUGGGAUCGCUAUAUGUGGGGUCGUCUUAAUGUUUGGCACUGACUCCUCCAGCGACUUAUGGCGGAGGGACAUAUCGCAAUCGUAGUUCUCUAUGGUCCCUACGAGAGCCUCAUGGCCGAACUCCAGCCGUCAGAAUCCUAUCUCGUCGGCUACGGUGGCGAAGGAGAAGAAAGAGAGAUCAUGAUCAAUUUUUCUUUUUUUUUUUCUAUUUGUAAUUGGGCCGAGUGAGUUGGCUGGGGUUAGUUGAAUAGAGAAACCUUUUAUUUUUAGCUGAAUUGUGCUUUAUAUUUAGGCCUUAUUAAAUUUUUAAAAAAAAAUUAACAUAAAUGGAACACUUAUACAAUAAUAUUUUAAAAAAUUGUCUCUAUAAUCUAAUUAUAUUGUAGUAAGAUGGCAAUAUAUUUGUACCUAACUAAGGAUUUGAGUACACCAAAAGAUUCCCCCAAGUAUUGCUGAUGAAUUAGCACUUCUCUAUAUUAUAAUGACAGUCGCGUAAUUUUUGAGUCUUUUAUUAGUUAUUACACAUAAGAUCAUUUAUUAGGAUACUCAAAAUUAAAAGCAUUACUCUGCACGAAAGUAAAAAUUUAUCUUAUACUAUCACACUCUUAUUAUUUAAGUAUAUAUUGUUGCUAAUAUUUAAUUUGUUGGGAUUAUUGAAGACUCCAUUAUCUAUACAUUAAAUAGUUACUAAACACCACCAUUAAGUUAGUUUUUUUAUGUGUUAGAUCCCCUAUGCAUAAUUUUUUAAACUUUUAAGGCUUAGUUUGGUAUUGAGGUCUAUCUGACGCUGUUAGAUAAAAUAAGUUAGGAAAAAAGCAUAUAGGGUUAUGUUUCUGCGUUUUCCGAUGGGACUGCAGAAAAUAUAUUAUAACCGACUCAUCGCAAUAUGUGGAACACAAUAUUACGUACGAAAAUAAACAGAAUAUUUUUCCAUCGUACUUUUUCACCGCACGUAAUCGCACUUAACACAAUCUGAAUGUCAGAAUAAAUUGUUCAGGAAUAAUAAUUUAUCUGAUAUAAAGCUUUUCUAAUAUGGUUGUAACUAAGAAGUUUGAUUCUUUGUCUAUUCAAAAGUCUUGCCAUCAAUGAUUUAAAAGGUGUUUCACCUCAACAAGUGAUUUUGGGCAGAAAAGUGAUUUUUGGCUCAAUAAAACAUUUGACAAACUCGUUUUCAAGAUCUAAUUUUGAUUUUUAAGAUCCAGAAUCCUGCUUCUGAAAUCUGCUUCUAAUUUUAAACUCAAACUUCAAAUUCUUUAUUUGAUUUUAGAUUCAAAUUUUAAAUUUAAAUUUCAAUUUUUUAAUUUUAUAUUUGAAUUUUUUAAAUUUCAAAAUUUAACAUUUACAUUUCAAACUUCAAAAUUCAAAAUUUUAAAUUUAAAUAUUAAAUGUCAAAUUUAAAUUUUCAAUCUAAAAUUUAAAAUUUUAAAAUUCUAAAUUCUAAAGUUUUAAUUUCACAGGGAUAACAACUGUUUUUAACAGUUUAUUAAAAAAUUUUAACUUUAAAAAAUAUAUUUGAAAUAACUUGAAAUAUUAAAAAAAUAAUUUUAAUAUUAAUUUUUUAAAAGGAGAUAAAUAAGAAAGUCCAAAUUUUUUUAAGGAUAGGUAAUAAAUUGCCCCUUAAAAAACUCUCUUCAACUACCUUCUCAUUAUUUCUUGUAGACUGUGCAUUGGAGACUCUGAUGUGUCCUCACUGUAUUCUAUAUUUUUCAAACAUGUUAUUAAAUUUCUUACUUAGUACUUUGCCUCGAAUAACUAAUUAUUCACAUAUUAAUUUCCACAUGAGGUUUCCAAGGAACCAUCCUAUAAUCAAUUUCCUCAAAAGUAACAAAAAUGGUACUGCAAAAAAGAAAUAUGCAAUGCCUAUACUCAACUAUGUACUAAAUCAUCUUCUGAAUACGGAUCGUUCCUCGCACAAGUGGCGAAGGGUUUGGUGGUUGGUAUCCAAAGUCCUAAGUUCGAAUUCUAGUUAAUUCACAUUUUCAGCUAAAUUUAUUUCUAAAUGAAGUAAACGAAGUGGGUAGCACGCUACCUGUUUCUCAAAAAAAAAAGAAAAAAAAUCAUUUUCUGGAUCUAAUACUCAGUUAUGUACUGAAUCAUCUUCCGGAUCUAUUCUAAAAUUUCCCUAGUUUUAGUUUGAUGCAGAAACUUCAAAUAAGGUUUUAAAAUGCAUGAUUUGUUGCUUUUUUAUCGAGUGUUAAAUUAUAUGAAACAACCAUUAGAUUUGAAACAUUUUAAUUGGACUAAAAUGUAAAUUGAAAUUAAAUGCGAGGAAAUUAAUAGUACUAAAAGUCUCCUUGCUCUGUUACAAUAUUGAAUUAUAUGACACCAUUAUUUUUCUUCAAGAAUAUAAGCUUUUACUAAACGGUGAUUUUAAUAUUUAGGGUUAAUUUCAUACAGGACCCUGCAAAUAUAGUGAAUUGCAAAUAAAUCCCUACAAAAUUCAACUUUUAUAUGUUGUCUCUACAAAAAUCUAAUAUUUUUAAAUAUGUUCCUGUUGUUAGAAUCCAUUAGAAAACUUUAGUUAACCAUAUCUUAAGUACUUAAUUCUUGUUAAUUUAUGAGAUAACUUGAUAUUUUUGCCUCUCUUAUAUUAUACUGUUGUGGCUUUUGGAGAAAUAUAUUUGUGAUGGCAAAUUUGAUAUUUCACUUAAAAUAUAAGUAGUUCUAUGACGGUAACAAAUCAGAGAGACAUAUUUGAAAAUAUUAGAACGUUUGCAGGAACGAUAUAUAAAAGUUGAAUUUUGUAGGGACAUAUUUAUAAUUAACUAUGUUUGCAGGAACAUAAAUGUAUUUAACCCUAAUAUUUAUAUCCAACAUCAAUAACAUCAAUAAGACUUAUUCAUCCAAAAAAAAAAUAUCAAGUAAAAAAGAAAAACAAAAAAAGCAUUGUUGUGAGGAAAUGGUCUUCAUAACAAAGCUAUAGAUUGAAGAGAAAAUAGCACGUCAACUCACAUAUUUCACACCUCAUUAGAGUAAUCCAACAACAAAUAGUUGAAUAUGGCAUUCCCCCACAAAACUACUACCAUAUAUGCAUGCCUUUGCACAACAAACUCAUUAUUAGAUCAUAAUUUCUAGCUAUUAUAGAGUUUACAUCUCUUAAGCCUCCUCUCAUGAGGUUCUAAGUGGCCUUUAAGAAGUCAAAAUUUAAGUAGAGAUAUUGAGAUACAUCAACAAGAUCAUGGGCUCUGAGAUCAAGAUCCUCAAGAAGUUGACCCGCGCCGCGUCGCAAAGUUACCUCGGGUUCGGAUUGCUCGUCGGGUUCUUCUUGAUCUUGCUCACCUACUGCAUGGUCUCCGAGCAAUUCGCGAUUCGGGCUCCGAAUGGCAGUAAGUCUAUGAACUUCAAACAACACUUGAACUUUAAAAUUUGAGUUUUUUGCUCAAGGUUUAUGCUAAAUUUCGCAGCUUUUUCGCGAUUAUCGCCGAGUUACGGAGCUAACAUGAGCCCCUUGGUGCAAGAUAAGACUAGUGAGCCAAAGCUUAUGAUGAUCUUUUGAAUUGUUCUUUUUAUUUUUUUGGGUCUUUGCUUUGGUGAAUGAUGUAAUUGUUUGGUAUUGAGAAGAUGCAGGAUUGGAAGAAGAUCGAAAAUCGGAGCCUUUCGAGGAGGAAGACGACAUCGAAGAGCAGAGGAAAACAUCGGUUUCUUCGACUGAUCACGACACCGGUAGUAAAACUCUACAAUUAGACAAAGAAAAUAGUUUAGUUUAAAUUUUGUUUUAAAAUUUACCAUCAAAAUUGUAACUUUAAUUAAAAUCUCAUCUUUUUUUGUCAGAGAAUGAAAGAAAACCACAGGAUCAACAGGGAGAAGAUCAAACAGAGAAAUAUGAGCAGGAUCCGGACUUUUUCAAGGGUGAUAAUGCACCGACUACGGAUGCGAUCGAAUCGAAUCAUUUCGGUACGCUCUUUUUUAAUCUUCUGAACUAUUUGUUGCUUCAUUUUUUGCAAUGAAAUGUUGGAAUUGCUGUUUUUAAUUAAAACAUCAUCUUUUUAUGCCAGAAACUGAAAGAAAACCAGAGGAUCGACAGCAAAAAGAUCGAAUCGACAAGUUUGGAGAGGAAUUGAACCCUUUUAAGAAUGAUGAUGCACCGAGAAAGGAUCCGAUCGAUUCGAAUCAAUUCGGUACAUCAUUAUCUUUUGCGAACUAUUUAUUGUUUCAUUAUGUAACUUGUUUUUUCUCCACUACAUUUGCUUCUUCAAUUAUAGUCACUUUUUUUUUUCUUAUUUUAGGCAAUGAAAGAAAAGCUGAGGAAUGGCAUGAGAACAAAGGAAAUGAGAAAACCCCCCAACAAAUUAAUCCUUUCAUGACAGAAGAUGCGCAGAAAAAAGACGCGAUCGAUUUCAUGCCCUUCGGUAUCUUCAUUUUCCCUCCAAAUUUGAUUUUGAACAUAGAGAAAAAAAAAGUCUAAGUUUAAGUGUUCAUUUCUAUAUAGGUGGAGGAAAUCAAAAUACCAACCAAUUUGGCCCUCAAACAAAGCCGAUUUGUGACAUGUCGGACGCGAAAUUCGACUUCUGCGAGAUGAACGGCGAUGUUCGAGUCAUUGGAAGUGCCUCGACGGUGUUACAUGUACCUAACCAAAUGAGCUAUCCAAAUCCUCAUGAGUGGAAAAUUCGACCUUACUCGCGAAAAUAUAUGCAAGAUAUAAAGGAAGUGACCGUAAAAUCCUUAAAUGGUCCCCAUGAAGCUCCCCCUUGUUCGGUUAAAGAGCGCAUUCCCGCUGUUGUAUUCGCGCUCGGUGGGCUCACGGGGAACUAUUGGCACGAUUUCACCGACAUCAUAAUCCCCCUCUUUGUGACUUCUCGACAAUUCAGCGGAGAAGUUCAAUUCCUCAUAACCAACAUCCAACCUUGGUGGAUAGGCAAGUACACUACAAUCUUCAAGAAGUUGUCGCGCUACGAGUUCAUCGACAUGGACAAGGAUAAUCUUAUUCGGUGCUACCCGCACGUCAUCGUCGGUAUAUUAAGCCACAAAGAGUUUAGCAUCGAUCCCGCAAGAGCUCCGAAUGGCUACUCCAUAGUGGACUUCACAAAGUUCAUGAGGCUCACUUACUCUCUAGAGAGGGACAACCCUAUCAAGCUAAGCCAAAACCUUAGUGGCAAGAAACCGCGCCUUUUGAUCAUCGCGAGGGGCCUAAGUCGGCGGUUCACCAACGUUCCGGAGAUUGUUGGCUCCGCAGAGCGGCUAGGGUUUGAGGUGGUGGUGGCAGACGCAAAGUUCGACGUGCAACUUGGAGAAUUCGCGAGGAUCGUGAACUCAUGCGACGUGCUGAUGGGCGUGCACGGGGCGGGGCUAACGAAUUGCGUUUUUUUACCAACGAACGCGGUGAUGAUCCAAGUAGUGCCUUACGGGAAGCUCGAGCACAUGGCGAAGAUGGAUUUUGGCGAUCCGGCGAUCGACAUGAAGUUGAAGUACUUGGAGUAUAGCAUUAGUGCAGAAGAGAGUACAUUGAUGGACAUGUUUGGGAAGGAUCAUCCAAUUAUAAAGGAUCCAAUUGCAAUUCACAAUAGUGGGUGGGAGAAAGUAGGGGAAUUUUACUUGGGGAAACAAGAUAUAAGGCUUGAUACAAGGAGGUUUGAACCUACUCUUUUGAAAGCCCUAGAGCUUCUCCAAUAAAAGAGUGUGUUUGUUGUAGAAUUUGGUGCAUUCACUUCAUUAAUUUGACAUUCUUCUUCUUUUGAAACUUUUCUUUUCUUUUUUGAACUCUUUUUGGAGAGGGAUUUUUUCCUUGUGUUGUAUAGAAGAUCAAAUAGCUAGUUGAUAAACCAUUAAGUUUGGUUUUUUUCAAUAUGGAAUAAUCAUCUAUCUCAAGAAUGCACAAAUGUUCACUUGUCAUCAAUUUCUUUUUUUUCUUGUUCCUCAUUAAGAAUGUUAUUUAUUUUUUUUCUUGAGAAAAAGGUAGCGAGCUACCUGCUUCAUUCAUUGGGUAAAAUGAACUAGGCUUACAUAGUGGAAAGCAGCCGAGGCUUCCAAAAAAAAGUAAAAAGUAAACCAAAGAAAAAAGAAAAAAAGAAAAAAGAGAGAGAGAGGUAGCGCGGUAAGUGAAGAGCUAAGUGAUAGGGGAGAGAGGAUCAGGGUUCGGCGGAUAGGUCAUUCCACGCUGUGAUCAAGUGUUUGACAUGCUCCAACGAGUGGUAAGGAAGAGGAUAGUUGUCGUUGAAGAUGUAGUUGUUCCUUUCUAUCCUGACCACCCACCAAAUGGCCGACACGAGGGUUGAGCUUUUAGAGCUUUUCCCAGCAUCAUCUAGGCCCUUGAUAUAUGGAAAACGCAAAGAGAAUCAAGUAGAGGAAAGAAGAAAUGAGGAAUUUACGUCGUGCCUCUUCAAAGUUUAUGUCCACAGGCAAAGAUGAAACAAAAAUUUCACUAGAAAAGGAGUAUAUAUCUAUAUAUAGCUCCUAAAGAUAUUUCAACAUUCGCAAUUUAAAACCGACCGUCCCUAGAGCAAGUAGCAAAGGCCUUGGUGGUUGGUACCUGAGACCCAAGUUCGAAUCCUAGUUAAUUCACAUUUCUAGCUAAGUUUAUUUCUAAAUGAAAUAAACGAAGCGGGUAGCACGCUACUUUUCUCUCUCAAAAAAAAAAAAAAAACAUUCGCAAUUUAAACAUGCAAAUGGAGUAUGAAUACUAAAAGGGCGAAUCCAAAAGUUCAUCAAAACUAGAGUGGAAAAUAUUGUCUUAAAUGGGCCAGCAUCUUAUCCUAUGGCGGGAGGCUAUAUUGGACCGAAUCAUGUUCGAAAUGCCGUGAGGCUGGUUGGGCCGAGCUAGUCACAAUCGAGACCCGUGGGCACUAUAUAUACGUUUUAAGUAAAUUAGUUGCGUAUUUCUAACAAUUCGAGCUUUUGAGAUUAAUGGUUAGCGCCAACAAUCCGACAGAAAACAUAUGGCCUAAAGUUUCUCUUCACACUUGCCUUAGCCAUUAACACAGAAUGGUCAAUUAAUGGUUAAUUAGGUACUCAUAUGCAUAUCUUCAGAUUGAGUAGUCAAAUUGCGUAUAAACUUAAAUAUUAGGCUCGUGACCCUUUGUUAGGUUAAUGUGAGCAUCCAGGGAUUCUCUUCCCAUUAAUAUAGCAUCAAAAUUAAGGAACUAUUGAAGAGAUCAACAAAACUUUUAUAAAUUCAAUGUGGAAAAGCUAACUCAUUUAUUCUCUCCUAGAUUUUAUCAACUUGGUCUACAAUUCGUGUUUGCAUAUAUUGGACUUAAAUCAUAUAACUAAUUACAUUAUCUAUAAGCAAAUUUUCUCAAAAGGUGCACCUAAUUAAACAAGCACACACACAUAACUAGGCCCAUUAUUUUUCUAGUUUUCACAAACCCCAAAACCAACUUACUAAGGAGCUAAUAAGGACAUAGAAAAGAUUGAAUUGGAUAAAAUACGACGAGAAAAUGAUGAUGGGACAAAAGAAGAGUUUAGUGACUCAGAAAGUAUUGUGAGUAUUGCGAUCGAGAAGAUAGAAUUAUCGAAUCUGGAUAGACUAAAUAAUAACGAAAUCGGAUUCGAAAAAUCUCCAAGUAUCAAACCAGGGAGAUCCCCCACACCACAAAGUUGUAGCUGUAGGGCUUCAAGUUGUAGUUAAUUUUUCACUUAACCCUAUUUUCUAUUUUAUCAUUUAAAUUUUUUUAUAUAUAUAUGAGGUACUUAGUUCCAUUAAUUUCUUUCCAUUUUUUUGACGUAAUUGCUUUCAUCACAUCUAUUAACUAGACCGGACAAGUUUGAUUUAUAUAUAAUGCUUUAGUUAAUUGACUGAUUAAAAACUUAGAAUAUCAAGCGAUAUAAUUCGCGAUACAUGCUUAAUUAAUUAAUAGACCAAAUAAGUCUUUUUUUAUGUUGGUUAAGUAAGUUGAAAGUGUUCGAUCAAAUUGACUUACAUUUAAGGACAUGUUAGUGUGUCAGAACAAGUUAUCUACCGAUAAUCAAUAUUGGAAUUACACGAUUACGCUGAGGGAUUAAAUUUUGACGGUCAUGAUUUGUCAGGGCGCGCAGCACAUGCAUUUUACGUACAAGGCGAUGAUUUAUCUUAUUCCGAACAAAUCAUGACUUGCAUGUCGAAUAUAGUGUAAUUUCAUAGGCAUUUAAUUGAUCAUAUAUUGCUUUAUUUUUGGUCUAGCUAGUGAUUGGAUUACACAGGAGAGAAAACUUAUAUAAUUGGGCAAUAAUUUCUCAACCGAGAUAAAAUAGUGACUAUAAAGUAGCUAGGUAUAAUACAAAAUUUUCCUCAUGCUCCCCAAACUCAUUGACUAUGCAUUAAUUUGAAUGUAAUUAACCCCACGAAGUCAUAGAGAUUCUUAUAUAAUGUUUUGUUUGCAUCUCUUGAGACUGUUUCCUCCAAUCCCCCACCACAUCUAAUCCAUGAUACAUAUUCUAUUGAACUUGCGCAGUUGUGGGAAGAGACAAGUUGCCUAUUAAUGAAUAUCUCAUGCAUCUCACCAAUGCAAUAAAGAAAAAAGGGUUAGUACCACAUACCACAUGAUUGUGAUGUACAUUAGGGCUUUGCAAGAGCCGUGGGAGCAUGAUCCCUCUCUCUCUCUCUCUCUCUCUCUCUCUCUCUCUCCAAAUUAUUCCGGUCCUACACUAGUCGAUCGUAUUUGUACAUCUCAUACACAGCUCUCCAGAAGCAUUUUACUUACUAAGUUUGGCGUAUAUAAGGGACAUACUGAUACGUAUGCUGUGAGGGCUUAUCUGCACGUACCACAUCUCUCGGUAUUAAAAAAAGCGUAAUUUCUAGUUAGAUACAGUAGUAAUAUGAGAAUAAAAAUUAAAAUAUAGGGUUCCAAAUGGAGCCUUCAUUCUUGAGCAGAACUCCUAGCUUGUUGCACGCCUUUGAUAUCCAGCCAUCCAACUUUUAUGCAGAUUGUAUUUCUAAACUGUCUUAUCAUAUCUAACUUUUGGAUUAGUAUCAGAGUCAGUACUAAUUAAGAUCCUAAUAUUUCGAGACCUCGUUUGUCAACUUUAAUCCUAUUUGUAUCCAUUAUGAACAUAAAUAGAGUGUUGAAUGAUCAUAUGAGUCACAGUAGCUAUAUCUCGUGAUUAGAAUUGAAGUAUCAGAUAAAAUAGAGCUAACAGAGAGUACGAUGCAACAGAAUACAGAUGCACCAGAAAAUAAUGUCCUCUCUCUCUCUCUCUCUCUCUCUCUCUCUCUCUCUCUCUCUCUCGGAGAACCUAAAAUUAGGGAUUUGGGCUUGGCAAAAGCCCAUGCGUUAAGUUUAAGUCCAGUAGCCAAUAGAUUCGGCCCGUAUGACAUCGACAUUUGGUGUCACAUCGGGCCGGGCUUAUUUCUAUUAGUAUAUGAUUUGAAAAUUAGNCUCUCUCUCUCUCUCUCUCUCUCUCUCUCUCUCUCUCUCUCUCGGAGAACCUAACUCAAAUUUGGAACAUGUCAUUAUAGAGUGAUGGCUAAAUCCCUAAUUAGUUGUUCAUUGGACUUUUUCUACUGCAUAUUAUUUGGACGUUCUCAUUCCAACCACCAUCCCCAUCUUCUCGACAUGUUCCAUGUGUUAGGCCCAUUAAUUAAAAAUAGACAAAAAUGUAUAUGACGUCUCUACAUUGUGUAGAAAAAUUUAAGAGAGAUAGCAUAUUUACCAAAAUACCCUUGUACAAACUUUUAAUUUUCAUGCACACAUUUUCAGUUGUCAGUUUCAAUAUUUCUUUCAGUGAAAGGAAAGGUCAGUUUCAUACAUAUACAAAAAAUAAAAAAAUAAAAAAAUAAAAAAAUUAUAGAUGAUAAUCAUUGUUGAAUUCAAAUGAUUAAAAUAAAACUCCCUAUCAGCUUAUGGUAUCAGAGCCUAUAUAAAUUCAUAGCUCAAAUCCCAUGAGACUUCUAAUAUAAUUUAAUUUCAUAUUUUAAAUUUAUUAAAAAUAAUUUGUUUAAAAUUUUUUUUAAAGUAAAUGACUUUUACAGCACGCGAACGGCAUAUAUAUAAUUUUGUAUUUUGUACUAGACCAAAAAUAUUUGCAACAUACAUAUAUAAUUUUCAUGGAUACAUAUGAAUCUAAGAUCCCUUUCAAUCAGUAGAGAAACUAUGGGUUCCCUCAACUAGUAUUCUAUGACAAAAAUACAAUAAUCCAGCUCACCCUUUGAAAGCAACAUGAGGGGAUGAGAAAAGGAGGAAGCAAAAACCAACCACAGUGUUGUUGAGUCUUCAUUUGGGCACCUAGAGGUCUGAUUUGACUUUUCCUUUGCCCCAAAAACAAAAAAAGAAAAAGAAAAAGAGCAAACAAACUUAAACAAAUACCAAUAAUCAAGAUCAUCGACCUAAUUAAUAGUAUUAUUUUCAAUCAGACACAGUCAAUGAUGUGGGAGAACCUAACUAAUAUACUGUGAAUAUGAAUACCCAAGAAACCAUUACAAAGCUCUCUUCUCUUCUAUUAAUGGUGCUAUAGCAAACACCAUUUGUGAUCUCUUCUUGAUCCCUAAACUCUCUCCUAUUGAAGAAAAUUAAAGAUGGCUUCUUCUGCAUAUAGUAGAACACAGAAGAAUUCGCUGGAGCGGAAGUCGCGGUACGACGGGCGGCUCGUGAAGAAUCUAAGCAAGAUCGAGCCGAAGAAGAUCGGAAUCGGGCUGGUCGCGGGGUGCUGCUUGGUGCUCCUCACUUACAUCUCCCUCGCGAAGUUCUUCGCCAUCUAUUCGCCUGUUUUCUGUAAGCAUAUCAUAUAUUCAUUCAUAUUGCCGAUUCUCCGGUCCCGCGUAAAAUUUCAUAUUGCUGCUAAUCUGCAAUCUUGUUUUUCACAUUCAUCUUCUUCUUCUUUCUCGGUAACGAAACCGUCAUUAGGGUUAUCGGAGGAUCAGGCUCCGACGAAACUUUCUAAUACAGAAACUCUUCCAAAAGGUAAGAUCAGAUGAAUAAUACACGAACAAGAGCUUUUGAAAUUCAAAUGAUUUUAAUUGGAAUUUAAUUGUUUUUUUGCUAUAUUGUGUAGAGAUUGUUGCGAGGAAUGAAACAGUGGAAACAAAACCAGACGCAAACGAAGAAGAUGAGGAGAAAACAUCGAAAAAACCUACGGAGGUGGACCAGCUACAGCAGCGCGAACCCGAAUUGGAUCCGACCGAAGAAAACGAUUUCGUAAAUUUGGGAGAUAAAGUUUCUCGCACGACCAAUCCUACCCCCUCCACAGCUCCGGAAGAAUCCUCAAAGAGCACCAUUUCUGAACUAUGUAAUCUUAAUUUCAUUAACUUAACCUUCUUUAAUCACAAUCGUUAGUUAAUUAUUACAUGUAUAUAACUUUUUUUCUCACAAUUCACGCGCAGACGGAAAGAACGACAAGAGUAAAUCCGAACCGGCGGCGCCGCGGGCGGAGCCGAAGCUCACAUGCGAUGACAAGAGCGUGGACGAAGGAUUCCCCUACGCGCGGCCCGAGUACUGCGACAUGAGCGGCGACAUUCGGAUCAGCCCGAAGCAGUUGACGGCGUUCUUCGUCUCGCCUUCCACGCCGCCCGCCCUCGCCCCCUCGGGGGAGCGCCGGCUGCGGCCCUACGCCCGGAAGGACAACUUCCUCCUCCCGGGGGUGCGAGAGGUCGUGCUGAAGUCCGCCGGCACCGACGGAACAGACAAUUCUGCUCCUUCAUGCACCACCACGCACGCCGUGCCUGCAGUCGUCUUCUCGGUCGCGGGAUACACCGGCAACUUCUUCCACGACACCGCGGACGUGCUCAUCCCGCUCUUCCUGACCUCAGCUCACUACAAGGGAGAAGUGCAGUUCUUCAUCACGAACUACAAGCCGUGGUGGGUGCACAAGUACCAGCCGGUGCUGCGGAAGCUGAGCCGCUACGAGCCCAUCGACUUCGACUCGGACUCGGGCGUGCACUGCUUCUCGCACGCGACUAUCGGGUUGGUGAGAGACCGGGACCUGAUCAUCUACCCGAACCCGACCCGCAACCCGCGGAACUACUCCAUGGUAGACUUCACCAGGUUCAUGCGCGCGGCCUACGGGCUGCCCCGCGCGCUGCCGGCCGCGCUCGGGGAGGAGCCCGGCCGGAAGCCGCGGAUGCUGAUCAUAUCGCGGGGCCGCACCCGGAAGCUGCUCAACCUGCGCGAGGUCGCCGCGAUGGCCGAGGAGAUGGGGUUCCGCGUCGACGUCUCCGAGGCCGGCGCCGACGUCCCCCGCUUCGCCGAGCUCGUCAACUCCUGCGACGUCCUCCUCGCCGUCCACGGCGCCGGCCUCACCAACCAGGUCCCAUAUAACAAGAAUGAAUUAUACGUUUCUUAUUAGUUAAGAUACGCUGGCUGUUCAGUUUGUAAAUUUUCGCAUGACGUGGGCUUGAAUUAAAUGGGAGAAAAUUAAUAUGCUAGAAGCCUGACAUGACUCGAACUCAGGACCUCCUGUUCUGAUACCAUGUGAAACAACCGUUGUACUCUAAGAACUUAAACUGUUAGAGAACGGUGUUUAAACAUUUUUAUGUUUAACACUUUUUUGAUUACUCAGGUGUUUCUGCCGACGCGGGCGGUGAUGGUCCAGAUCGUGCCGUGGGGGAAGAUGGACUGGAUGGCGACGAACUUCUACGGGCAGCCGGCGCGCGACAUGAACCUGAAGUACGUCGAGUACUACAUAUCGAGAGAAGAGAGCACUUUGAUCGAUCGGUAUCCGAAGGAUCACCUGGUUUUCACUAACCCGUUGGCCAUCCAUGGCCAGGGAUGGAAAGCCCUGGCUGACAUUAUCAUGACCCAGGAUGUGAAGCUGGACCUGUGGAGGUUCAGACCGACUCUCCUGGAGACGCUCAAUCUUUUGCAAGAGUAGAAGGGCUUAAUUGUAAUUUUGCGCGCGUGAGUUUAAUCUUUUUUUUUCUAAUUUUUUUUUCUCUCUUUAAAAGGAUUAUUAUUGCUACAUCGGAAUUGCUGAUUUACAUUGAUUGAUUCACGGAAAAGGAAACUUAGUUUUGAAUUAUUAUUUUUCUUGUUGAAAAGUAUGGAUAGAGAUGUGCAAAAGUGACCGGUAACUAACAAGGAAAAAAUUAAAAAAAUAAAAAGAAAUGGUAGAGAUUAGCUAAUUAGGUGCAGCGUUGCAUAACGAAUGAGAUUGAGGGCUCAAUCUAAACCAAUCAUUAGCACAAAAGUAAAAUAAAUUAAUUAUAAUAAUAACUAUAGAAUGGAUUUAAUUUGGAUCAAAUUCAUUGUAUACAUACCAUGUGACCAAAAAAUAAAAAAAUAGACAAUAAUUGAACUACAUUAAGUAUCCAAUUUUCAUUUAUACUAAGGACUCGUUUUACUUAACCCGAGUUUUCACUAAGUUGCUAUUUAAGUAGAACUAUUCUAAAGGAUAUAUAAAGCUUUUCUUAAUGAGAUAGUUCAACAAUUUUCUCCCUAAAGUUAAUUAGGCCCGAAAUGAAUUGUUUGUUUUCGUACCUAAGAUUGAAAUCGUUUAUUUGGGACUAUUAAAUAGAAAAAUAUAUGAACACCAUUCUCUAACGAUUUAAAAUUUUAGAGUACAACGGUUAUUUCACAUGAUAUCAGAAUAGAAGAUCCUAAGUUCGAGUCACGUUAGGUUUCUAGUACUAUUAAUUUUUCCCAUUUAAUUUAAGUUCAAGUCAUGAGUUUUAUAAAAAAGUCUCGAGCUAAGGACAUAAGAAGGAGUGUUAAAUAGCACAAUAAUUAUUUCACAUGAACAUCAUUUCUUAACGACUGUAUCUAGUACAGCUGGCUAAUAUCUGAGAUUUUAAGUUCGCAGUUUAGUUGUUUCGCAUUUUUAGAUGAGUAAAUUGCUACUUUCUCUCUUUCUAAAAAAAAAAAAAAAGGUCAAUUACUAUCUAAUCAAAAUCUACUCCUUGUUGAGUACAAGAAGUUAGUGUAAGUAGUGUUUUCUCCUUCAUUAAAGUUUGUACCAUUUAUGUUUGGUGUUAGUUGGGGGUAUUCAAUUUGAAUAAGAGAAAAUAGAUGGAACUUUAAAAAGGUUAGAUUCCUAAAAGAAGAGAUUCAAAGCAACCAUUGGAUGCUUGUGGAAAAAGUGCUUUGAGAGGAAUAUCAGAAUGUUCCACAUAUAUAUAUAUAUAUAUAUAUAUAUAUGCCCAAAUUAAUUAAAGCACUUCUUCUUAAUUAAGCUCAUAUAGUGGUUGUUACAAUUAAGGUAGAAUAAUAUUAUAAGGAUGGUCCCUAUAUAUACUCUUUAAUUCCUUUAAUUUCUCUAGACUCUUUCUUAAUUACAUUGAAGUACUUUAGUUAGUCCCUAAUAAUUUAAAAAAUAAAAUAAAAUUUCAUCAUGAAAAAUAUUUAAUAAUUUUAAAGUAAAUUAAAAAUAGGUGAACCAAUAUAAUAAUAAUGAUUAUUUUUAUUAUGUUAGUUAGAACAUUUAAACAAAGGGCUACUACACUUGUACAAUUGCCUCCUUUUUUUUUUUUUUUUUUUUUUUUUGGUAAGAAUGUACUAAAAGCACCACCUCAAGAUACUACGGCCAAUUUUGAAAUAGACACCUCAACUAUUUCUAUUUUAAUUGACAAUCCAUUUACUUUUAAUUUUUUCUUUAAGUGGCAUUAAUUAAUUAAUUUGUAUAGUAAAUUAAGUACUUUUAAAUUAUGGUGCUUUUAUUAGCCAAACUGUUUAUUUCAUUAACCGAUAUGUCUAAUAGCUACUGCAGACAUUAAUUUUACAAAAUUUUAAACUAAAAUUAAAAAAAUUAAAUUAAGAUAAUUAAGAGAUAAAAAAUAAUUUCGAAUCAGAAGUGGAAGAUAAUAUUAGGCUUUUUGGUUUUAUAGCUAGAGUUACAGAUAUUUUACCAAUUAAAAUUUUAAUAUGAGGUGAAAACUGCAUUAAUUACACAAAAUAUCAAUCAAAUCAGAAAAAAAUAUUUGAACAAAUAAACAAAAAAGAAAUGAAAAACCUAAUUGGGAAUCUCCAUGUAAUUUUAUCAAUAUUUAUUGGCUUAAUUAUAUUAUACUAUACUGUAGUUUACAGAUUUUUUUUUUCAUUUUUUAUAUUGUUCGAUUUUUUUUUUUUUAAAACACAUCACUCAAUUAUCAAUUUCUUUUCACAUCAUGCACUAUAAGUAAUAAACCUAUAAUUUUAAAUAAAAGCUAUUAGAAAUACAUACUAAAAAUGGUGGAGUAUAUAUUCAGUUUAUUUUGAUAAAAAAAUAAAUAAAUACGUAAAAUUAGUAAAAGAUAGAUGAAAAUAAAAUAAUAAAAAUUUUUAAUGAGUCUAUCACAAAAAUUUGUUUUAACUUUUUUCUAUCAUGUAAUGCGAGCUUCGUAAUAAAUUUGCUCGAUCUUAUCUUAAAUAAUAAAUUUUAUCGAUAGUAAUGUAGAUAUAUUAAUGGAAAUGUACAGAUUGGCGAGGGACAAAUAGUUUAGUAAUAUUUAUGAAAAAAAUAGUACAAGAUAGAAAAAAAUAAAUAAAUCUAAAAUAUAGAGUAGAGAUUAAUAAAAUAUAAUAAUACAACGAUAUCUUUGAAAAUAAAUUAGUAUAGCGAAAAAAAAAAAGAAAAAAAAUUCUUUAAAGUAUAGUGUGCUAGAGUAUAGUUAAGCUAUAUUUAUUUGGAGAUUUUACUUAUUUAUCCCUGACUGCGAUUCAAAAUUUUUCAAAUUUAUUUUUAAAUUAUCAAAAUAUCUUUUUAAAUCUCAAAUUUUACUAGUAAACUCUCAAAAUUUAAAAAUAUUUGAAGAAAUUUUUGAACAUUAAUAAGAAUAUUUUUGUCAACAGAGAUAUAUAUAGUAGAUAUUUUUAAAAAGAAAAAUAUCAAAUACCAUCCCUAUGCUUUCACACUUUUUUUUUAAUAUCAUAUGAUUUAGAGUGUAUCAAUUUAGUCUUUCGUGGUUUUAUUUUUUUCUUUUUAUUAUUCUCUCCGCUAAUUUUUUUUCGUUAAAUUAAUAACAAAGUUAAAAUUAAAAGAUACUAAAGUGAUUAUUCGAUAAACAUAGGUGAGCUAUCUAAAGUUUUUUGUAUAUAAUUUAAUAAAUAUUAACGGAAAUGCUGACGAAAAGAUAAAAAUAAAAUCACAGAAUACUAAUUUGAUACACUUUAAAUCACAAGAUAUUAAAGUGGAAAAGUGCGAAACCAUAGAGAUGGUAUUUGAAAUUUAUCCUUUUAAGAUUAAGAGUAUAUUAAAGUAUUAUUUAAACAUUAUUUUUAUUUAUUUAUUUUGUAUAUUAAUUUGUAUUGAAUGGGAACGUUCUAGAGCCAUACGGUGACAAAAUUACAAGUCUCAAUGCUUUUGUCGUGCCAUCACACCAACGGCCAAAAAAGUCAUCGUCGAACGUGCCACGAAAUAUUAAUUACUGGUAAAAUUGUGUCAAGAGCCCCUCAACUGUUCGCAAACUUGAAAUAACUCCCUCAACAUUAUUCUUCUAACGUUGGAUAUUUUACUUUUUUAUUAGGAGUAAACUUCAAAUACCACCCCGUGGUUUUGCAGUUUCUUAUUUCAGUACUAUGUGAUUUAAAGUGUACCAAUUUAGUACCAUGUGGUUUCAUUUUUCUCUUUUCGUCAACUCCUCGUCAACAUUUUAUUAAAUUAUGUACAAAAAACAUCAGAUAUCCCACUUAAGUUUAUCGAAUAUUCACUUUAGCAUCUUUUAAUUUUAACUUUAUGACUGAUUUGACCAAAAAAAAUUAGUGGAGAAAUAAUAAUAAAAAAAAGAAACUACGGGUACUAAAUUGAAAUACUUUAAAUUAUAAGAUAUUAAAAUAAAAAAAUACGAAAUUAAGGAUUAAAUAUCUAAAUUCAUCAAUAAUUUUAUCUAGUUAUAUAGCUGUUAAUAUCAAAGUAUUAGAGUCACCAAAUUUAAUGAUAAAUUUGAACUUUAUUUAGUUACAAUAACUCAAAAAAAUAAUUGUAACAAAAUGGAGGGGGUCUCGAAACAAUUUUACCUUCAAAAUGUAAUGUAUGAUAUUAUAUUAUAUUAUAUUAUACUAUCCUAAUUUGUCACGCAACAAUAUAAAUAGACAAAAAAAAAAAAAAGCACCGGAAUUAAUGGGUGAGCAUGUGAGAGAAAACAUUGAAUUUUGUGAACAUGGGAGAUAACAUGCAAGUUGCAUUAAUAGCUUAUAAAUAGUUUUCUUUUCUUUUUCUUUUUUUUUUUGUAUUUUAGUUCUUUAAAUACUUGGCACAAUGUGCAAUAAUAGAUGUACUUAAUAUUUACUUUAUAUUUGUCUUCUUUGUUUCACUAUUUAAAGCUGAGGAUUUGGUUAAUUCACUACAAUAAAAAUGGUCUAUAGCGACACUUUUAAAUAUAGGUACAUGUCAAAAAAGUGCUACUAGCUAAAAUUACCGAUAUUUUUAAAAAGUGUUGCUAUAUGUGGGGUCGCUAAGUAUAUAGUGACAGUUAAAGAGUGUCGCUAUAACCUAAAAGAGUGCUGCUAAUUUACCAACACUUAUUUAAGCAUUUAGUAACCGCCGAAACUCUAUCUCGUUGGCUGCGGUGGCGAAGGAGGACGACAGGAAAGGCUCUUCGUCUAGAAUUUCAGUGGAUUGAGUAAAAAGAGAAGAAAAGAUGGUAAUUGAUUUUUCUUUUUUUUUUUCUUUUCUGUUUGUAAUCAGGCCAAAUGGACUGGGUGUGGUGGGUUGAGUAGAGUAAUCUUUUAUUUUUAGUUAGAUUAGGCUUUAUAUUUAGGCAUUAGUAGAUAUUUUUUUAAAUUUUAGUAUAAAUUGGACACUUACUCAAAAGUGUUCCAAACAUGUGUUCCUAUAACCUAAUUCUGUUGUAGUGAUUGCGCGUAUGGUCACUGCACUGUUACGACGACCGCAUAAAUAUAUAUAAGUCAAAAAAUAACGAUUGCAAAAUAGAUAAAUUAUAAAAUAAUAAAAAAAUAAAAAUUUAUGUGAAAAAUUUUUUACAGACAAAAAGGACAGGUGGAGAAGAAAAUUUUAUUAUGCGAAAAAGAGAGUACAAUUUCCGAAGAUUACAACAUGCUAUCAUGCGAUCAUGCCUCUAGGGCAAAGAAGAAAAAAUGAGGGAUUUACUCCUUAUCAAGUUCCUUCAAUAUCGGACCCGAUCAGGCAUGUCGGCCUAAACCUUUCGCUUUCUAUCACAUACAUCAACUUUUUCCUUCACAAAUUAGUUUUUAAAAUUUGUCACACCGCGAAACUAUUGGCGAACCAGGAGCACAAAAUCAAAAUCGAUAACCGAAUUUCGAAGUACAUCUAACAAUAAUUAUAUACAAAUUCAAAUUUAGUGUUCAGUUUGAUCCAUUUAAAUUUAAUCAUUGCAGUUAGAACUGCGUGGGAAGAUUUAACUACAGCAGUUGAAAUUAUAUGUCCAAAUAAGCUGCAAUUACAACCAGAGCAAUUGGAAAAAAAAAAAAAAGAAACUUUUAAACAAGAUAUAAACUUACCAUCAUUAUGACCUUUUUAAACAAAAAAAAAAAAAAAAUCAAUACACUUCUGAACUGCAUACAGUCAAACAAAUUAUUAAUAAUUCUACUAUAUCCNGGUGUCUCGUGAUUGAACUAUAUGAAAUUUGAUGUUCUAUGAUUUCACUCUUUUAUAAUAUUUUGGUGUACUCACAAUAAAAUUCAAAUGGAAAACAAUUUAUGUACUAAGAAAGUGGUGUUCUCCUAUUAAAAAACGAUAGGAAAAGAAGAAAAAGAAAAAAAAAAAAAAAAUUCUGAAUAUAAAGGAUACGGUUCGUGUCUAUGUCUUAUCGUUUUAAAAUGUCUUCGUUUUAGUUAGAAAUUAUACUUGGUUUGUUUUCUUGUCAUACCGAACAAAUCAACCUACAUUAAUUUAUGUUAUACAAAUUCUUAUAUGUACGUCAACUUUUUUUAUAUCAUUAAUAUUAAUAUACACUUUCAUUUUUAUCUUUUCGUCAGCUUCUCUGUUAAUAUUUCAUUAAAUUAUAUACAAAAAAUUUUAGAUAUUCCAUCUAGAUUUAUCGAAUAUUUACUUUGGUACUUUUUAGUUUUAACUUUGUUACUGAUUUAAUGAAAAAAAUUAGUGAAAUAAAUAAUAAAAAGAUAAAAAUAAAAUCACAGAACACAAAUUUGAUACAUUUUAAACCACAUGAUAUGAAAGUGAGAAAGUGUGAAACUACAGAAAUGACAUUUAAAGUUUUUUUUUUUAACAAAUGACAAAAUUUAACUAUUUUACAUCAUUUUCUACAGAAAUGGUAUUUGAAUAGAGCAGUGCAUAGGCGUCCCUUUUUUGUUCCUGUUCUUACAAAUUUUUAGAACUUUCGACUCCGUCAUGUUCCCGCAAAUAAGAAAAAAAUGCUCAUCCAGCCCUCGUGUCAUUUGAAAUGGAUCUACGCAAGAAUCCCCGUGAAAAAAUUUGUCAAUUCUAUACCCAUCACCAUCUUUCUCCUUUCUUUUUCUCUCUUAUCUAGUCUAUUUUUCAACUAUCGUCUCAUAUCCGGAAAGAUUCGGUAAAUAUAUUAAACUAAUCUAAUUUUAUUUACACUGACUAUCCUGACGCAAGUGGCAAAGGACUUGGUGGUUGGUACCCGAGUUCCCAAAUUCGAGAAUCCUAGUUGAUUUAUAUUUUCAGCUAAGUUUAUUUCUAAAUGAAAUAAACGAAGCGAAUAGCGUGCUACCUAUCUCUCAAAAAAAAAAAUUAUACAAAAUAAUUAAAUUAUUGAUCUAAUAAAAGUUAAAAUUGACAAAUUCAUUUAUUCAACCAAAAUCACCAAUUUUUAAAAAAAAAACUUAUGUAGUCUCAAUCAAAUUAAAGUCCAGGGUCAUUUCAAAGUGGCUUAUAGUUAUUGGGCCUCAUUUAUGUUUUACUUAAAACUUAUACAAAAACAAAUGUCAUUGUUAUAUAUAAAGGAAAAAAAAAAAAAAAAAAAAAACCUACUAUAUUCUUCCGGCUUCAAACAGUUUGAAAAAUGUUUCCUUACAUUUUUUUUCGCUCAAAAUAUUAUAAAAAAUAAAAAAUUAAUAAAGUAUCGACACAUAAGAUAAAUACAAGAAUAGAUAAGACGAUUUUCUCAAAUAUAUUCCUGAUUGUUAAGUGUUAACCAAAAUAUUUUUAUUAAUUUUUUUAAAAAAAUUUUAAUUUUUAGAAUUUAUUAAUAAAAAUUAAGAUUUAGAAAGAUACUUUGAUAAUUUUAGAAGAAAUUUAAAAAUUUUAAAUCAAAAAUAAAUAAGCAAAAUUUCAUGGAAAAAAAAAUAAAAACUAUGAAACUGGUGAAUACUAAGGACAUAAUUAUGGUUUAGUUUGGUAUUGAGGCAUAUCUAACGCUAUUAGAUAAAAUAGAGUUAAGAAAAAAGUAUAUAGGGAUAUGUUUCUGUAUUCUUCGGUGGGAUCGCAGAAAAUAUAUAAUAACCGACUCAUCGCGAUAUGUGAAACGCAAUAUUACAUAUGAAAACAAAUAGGGUAUUUUUCCAACGUACUUUCUCACCGCACGUAACGCAAUCUCCCCGCAAUCCCAAAUGAAGCCUAUGUUGGCUUGGGUUCACGUGGCCGAGUAGAUAAAUUCCAAGAUAUUUAAUUAGAUUUGGAUUGGUAAAAUUGUGUGAAACUUUAUUAGCAAUGCAAACCAUCAACAAAUAUAAAACUUAAGUAGAGCUAUUAUGUUCUUACGAAUACGGAUGCCUUUAUAUUUAUAAGUUAUUUUUUAUUAUAGAACCUUCGUAUCGACAAUUCGUACCAUUAAACAUGAUAUACAACAUUUAAAAUUUUUAAAAAAUAAAUUUUGUAAUUUUUUAAAAUUAUUACACAGUUUAUCAAACAAGUAUAAAAUGAAUGAUUAAAAUGAAACGACCUCCUAAAAAUAAAAAAUUGAAUGCUUCAAUUUAAGAUCGAAAUUAUUAAUUUUUAUCUAAAUAGUGAAUAAAAUUUUUAUUAGAAAUUUAACUGAUUCUGAUUCUUUUACACCGUUAAACUAGCAACAAGUAUUUCAUAUCGGCCAUUAAAAAUUAUAAAUUUUAGUGUCUUUUGAUUGUAUAGUAAAUAAUAUCGAAAAAUUGCGAAACUUAAUUUCUAGAAGUUUUGAAAUGCUUUAAAUUAUAUUUAACGAUAUGGAUUGUCGAUUCGAAAGAUCUAUCAUCGAAAAUAAUUUAUUAGUACGAAGACGAUCAUACAGUAGUCUGACUCUCUAAAACCUAUGUUUAUUGACUUUUGCUCUGUACUUCAACUUAUUAUUAUUAUUAUUAUUAUUAUUUACCAAAUUCUAAGGAGUUGUACCAAUUCUUAAUUUUAGGGGUGUAAAAUACAUAGUGAGAUGCAAAUAGGAUGGAUCCGCGGUGGGAGGGGUUCCUCAAAGCUCACUCCGUUUUAUUGGCUGAUCAGGACGGAUUUAAAAUGAGUUGAUUAUUAUUCUUUUUUAUUUUUCUCUUACUUAACGCUUCAUUCGGAUUGAGUUAGAAUGGGAGUGGAUGUUGAGUCGAUUUUUGAUUAAUUGAGGCGGAUUAAAAGAAGGAAAUGGGUCCUCUGACUCUUACAAUAUUUUCCUUAGCCGAUAGGGUCGGAUUCGGAAUAGAUUAUCUUUUUUAAUAUAUAUAUAUAUAUUUUUAGUCUCUGUUUGUUACCCAAUGCAAGACCGACUAGGGUAGGAGCCCCACGAACCCGAAUCCAUUUGUCAUCUAAUAUUUUUGACUGUAGGGAAAUGCUACCAAUCCACCCAAAAAGGAUGUAAAAAUUGCACUCUUUUAUUUUAGGAUUCACAAAACUCUUUAAAUUUUUAUAUUUUUAAGAAAGAAUUUAUGACAAGAUAAGAUUUAAAAGUUGGUCCUUAAAUAAGGGGCGUAAAAUUUACACCCAUUUUGUAGAGUGCACAAUAGCAUUGCUUAUGCUGCUUUUUAUUAUAUCUCGACAAAAUUGUACAGAAUUUACCUAAUUAUAAACUAUUUUAAUUCCUUAGCUUAAUUUUUUUAAAAGUUUUGAAUUUAUUAUCUAAAUUAGCAUAUUUUAAAUAAAUUUAUUACGUAUUUCUAAUAACUCGAAUUUUUUAGAUUAAUAAUUAGCGCCAACGAUCCGACAUCAAUGCCACAGCCUCAUUACCUUUUGUAAUCAAUGAGAAUAGCACUUCUCUAAUGUCCUGUGUCUUUCCAAUAAAGCUUUAAACAGUCCAUUUUAUAAUCGAUAGGGUUUCUGUGGGGUACUCUCCAACCUGAAUUUUAAGUGCAAAGUAGUUAGCUUCAUUUUUGUUUGCCCUUCAUUUUCAUUUCCACAAGUCAAAGAGGGGUUUCAUUGAUGCCAAUUGCAAAUUAGUUGGUUACUUUCUUGUUAUUUGGGGCAGUCUAACAUGUGAACUAACUGAAAAUGAGAUAAUCAUAAAUCCAUUACAAAAGAAUAAGCAUGUGGUACAUAGAUGUAUUUUUUGCUCCUAAUCUUACAUUUUAUUGACUAGUUUUCUCCCUCUAGAUAAUAAUUUAGUAUAAACUAUGUACUAAUCAUUAAACAAGGACAAAAAAAUUUCCUAUUAAAUCAUUUGUAAUGAUCAAAAGUCCAAAUUGAUAAUCGGUACCAUUGAAAUUGAUCCAUAAUAUUUGAAAUAUUUAAAAAUAGAAUUUAGUAAUUAUUGAAAGUCAUUUACAUCACAAUUGAAAGACCUCAACUGCAACAAUAUUUUUAGGCCUAUAUAAGUCAUUUGCUCGUUUAACGGUAUAAAAAAUCAAAAUUAGUUGAAUUUUUUUUGAUGAAGAGUUCUUUUUUUUAUUAUCUUAGAUCAUAUUUGAUAAUCCCAACCUUGCAUUUGAUAAUCCGUCGCUACGUUGUUGGAUCACCUCGAACAGUCUGUGGGGGAUAUUUGGGCACGUUAGUUCAAUUAUAUUGGACUCUCUACUUUCUAGAAAGUCAUCUAUCUUAGAACUAUUUUAAUCCUAGCAUAUUUAACAUUUUUAAUCUCUUGGGCGUAACAACCACCCAAAAUUUUAUAGCCGGGUUAAGAGAUUUAACUCUAUCAUAUCUUAUAUAUACGAUUAUUAUUCUAAAUUCUAGGGUCAUUAUAUUUUUCUCUCCUUUAAACCCUGAUAUUCUCGUCAAGCUUCAGUACACUCACAAGCAUAAUACGAUGUGAGACACAUCUCAUUAACGAUAGACAACCUUGUGGGGAAUCAUACUCCACCUAUAAAAAUCAGCAGCCGAGGAGUCGUGUUCUGCCUACUAUGUUACCCUAACUCAGUCGAAACUUAUAUCACACUUCGGACUGGUGAUUGAUUCUGAUAUCAAUUAUGACACCGUACUUUCCAAAAAAUCACCCAUUCUAGAACUACUCUAAUUCUAGCACGUUUAACCCUCUUAACCUCUUGAGCCCGCCCAAAUUGCUAUAGUCAUGUUAAAAGAUUUAGCCCUAUUAUAUCUUAAACGUUAUAACAAGCGAGGUACGUUAUUGUAUUACUCCGAAUGAUGUACGUCUGAGGUGAGUGUUAAGUAUGUUAUGAUGAGCCCUAGGGGGUGGCAAUCCAGCUCGCUGUUUGCGAGCCAACUCGUGCUCCGCUCAAAAUAAACUCGAAAUCGAAUCACUCAUUUAGUAAAUGAAUCAGACACGAGCUGAAUUUUUUAGCUCGUUUACUAAACAAGCCAAACACGAGCUGGAGUCAGCUCACUCGUGUUCGGCUCGAUAACAGCUCAAAUACAUAUAUUUUAUAUUUAUAUAAUUUAUUUAAUUUAUAUUUUUAUAUGUAAAUAAAUAAUUAUAUAUAAUAUAUAUUUUUAUUAUUUAAUUUUUAGCAAACUAAAAAUAUAAAUGCGAGCUUAAUUAUAAAAAGACUCAUUUAUAUGUAAAGCUUCAACUAUUAGAUCAAAGUCUAAUGGAUGAGAUUUUUUAAAUUUAUUUCUUAUGUAUAUUCAAUCUAAUUUCUUUUAAUUUAUUGUUCGUUGGCCAGCUCGUGGGCUAGCUCGUGUUCGGCUCGUUUAUUAACGAGCCGAACACGAGCUGAAUUUUUCGGCUCGAUACUUUAACCAGCGAGCUCGUGUUCGGCUCGUUUACCGAACACGAGCCGGCCCCAGCUCGUUUGUGUUCGGCUCGUUUACACCCCUACAUUAUCCUAACCACACAUUUCUCAAUCGAAAGGCUAAAAAACUAAUAGCAUCAAUAGUUUGGUGCUAUUGAUAGUAUUCCAGCCUAUAUAUAUAUAUAUAGCAGUGCUACUGUGCUAUUAGGAGCACAACAAUUCUUGUGCUACUAAUUUUCUAACCACCCAUCAAGUUUGAGAGAACCCGUGAGCCUUGUUUUUAAAAAAACGAAAAGGUGUCAUAUAGGCUAAGUAAAUGUGAAGGGCCCAAAUGUGUUCUAUGGAUUGGGCUUAUAAUUUCGUGGGCUCAUACCAUCCCAAUUAAACGAACUAUUAUGGCCCAUCCAAUGACCGCAUAUUUAUUGUAGUCUUAUUUAGUUAAUUAUUGUACUUAAUUAUCCUGUCGUAACUAUAUUUGCUAUGUGGUUAGAAGCUCCUCUAAAUAGUCAAUUAGAAUAUAUAUAUAUAUAUAUAUAUAUAUAUAUAUAUAUAUAUAUAUAUAUANACGAUCCACUCCGUUAAAUAUGAUCUAGAGUAUUUGAAACUUCUAGAAAAUAAAUUUCGUAAAUUUUUGAAAUCAUAAUAAAGUCCAUCAAGUGGGCAUAAAAUGAACGGUCAAAAUCGAACGACGUCCUUAAAAAGGAUGAUCGGAACCUUCAAUUCAAGAUCGGAGUUAUUGAUCUUUAUCUAUGUAGUGAAUAGAAUUUUCUAUCAAAAAUUCAACAAAUUUCGAUUCUUUUACACCGUUAAACUAGCAAGUAUCCCAUACCGACCAUUAAAAAUUAUCAAAUUUGUGACAUCUUGAUCGUAAGGUAAAUGAUGUCGAAAAAUUAUAAAAUUUAAUUUCUAGAAGUUUUAAAUGCUGUAAAUAACAUUUAACGGUGUGGAUCGUCGAUUUGGAAGCUCUAUCAUCGAAAACAACUUAUGAGUAUGAGGGCGAUCAUAUUCAUAAUAGUAUAGUAGCCGGACUCUAUAUAUAUUCAAUCUAAUCAAUUUAAUUUAUUGUUCAUUGGUCAGUUCGUGAGUCAGCUCGUGUUCAGCUCGUUUAUUAACGAGCCGAACAUAAAUUGAAUUUUUUAGCUCGAUACUUUAACGAGCCGAACACGAGCCGGCCGCAACCCGCUUGUGUUCGGCUCGUUGACACCCCUAAUGUGCCCGGGUAGAAUAGCACAUAAGGGUUCGAAAGUGGAUGGUAGGACGUGGAGAUAUUGUGUUGUUCAAUUGAUCAGUUGGUUAGUUGACUUGGUGAGUCUAGGCCUGGGGCAUUGGAUGUGCAAAGUUGUUUUUUUUUUUUUUUUAGAGAUAGGUAGCACGCUAUCCGUUUCGUUUAUUUCAUUUAGAAAUAAAUUUAGCUGAAAAUGUGAAUCAAUUAGGAUUCGAGCUUGGCACCUCGAGUACUAACCAUCAAGUUCUUUGCUACUUGCACUAGAAAUGGUCAGUGAUGUGCCGAGUUGUUGCAUACCAAAUAUUUAUAGUACAUAACAUGGUUCUUUAAUAGGCAUCCUGUUGCGCCAGUACUCUUUAAUUUCUCCCCUCAGGUGUCAAUAGAUCUUAUUGCCUUCCUAAAAGCAUUACAUUUUUACAGAACCCAAAUUUGAAUUUGAAUUAUAUGAAGGUGCGACGAUAACAAUCUGAAUAGAGGGGAUUUGGAACGCAUCACUUUAAAUAUUGUAAAUCAUAUUUUACCGUAUUGAUUACUGAUUUGGACUCUGAUCAUUGAAAUUAAACGACUUGAUAGGAUUAAAAAAAUUAUUUCUUUUAGCAUAGCAAAUCAAUAAAUCUAAGCUUAAAUGUAUCAAACACGCAUUUUUCCAUUUGUUUUACCAUGUAAUUCUUUUAUGAAUAAUUAAUUUACAAACAUUUUGUUGCCCUAAUGAUUUUCUAAAUUAUUUGCUAAUACAUAAAUAUUAACAAAAAAAGGCCAAUUUGCAUAAAAAAUCCACUAGUUUUGCACUUUUGCAAAAGUUGGCCACUUUUUUCAAUUUUAUAGAUUCGCAUCGGAUUUUCAGCAAACUGACCAAAAUACCCUUAUUACUUUUUCUCUUUCCUCUUUCUCUCUCCUCUUUUUUUCUCUCGUUCAUUUUUUUUUUCUCUCGCCGAAGAGGCAGCGGAGGCAGAGGCGGAAGCGGAAACGGCCCGCUUCGCCUCUCACCCUCAUGCUCUCGCCCUCGCUCUCGCCCGCGCACCCCCUACCUUCCUCGCCUCCGACCCUCCCAAGGCCGCGUCGCAACUCGUUUUUUUUUUUUCCCCUCCGACUCUCCUCCACCGUCUCCGACGAUGACGCCUCUCGCGCCCUUCCCCGCCCUUUACGUCCUCUCCCUUUCCCUCCUCCUCUGCCGUCUUUGACGACGACGCAUCUUCGCCGACGACGCAUCUUCGUCGACGCCGACACCGUGGAGGUUGCUGCAGCCUCGGAGUGAGGGGUCCUUAGCGGCGUCGUCGCCGGAGCUGGCUGAGAGGGGUGACAAGAAAAAACUAUAGAAGAAAUAAGAAAAAAAAAAUAAAGAUAAAAAAUUAUAGAAAAAGAAAUAUGAAGAUAAAAUUGCACCGUUAAAAUAAAAUUGCACUGUUUUAGAAAACGUUGCACUAUUUGGAUAUAAGUUACACUACUUAAGAUGUAAAUUGCAGCUUUAAGAUGAAAAUUACACUCUUUAAACGAAAAUUGCACUCUUUGGGAGAUAUUUAUAAUGUUUCUCCUCUUAUUUCACUCUUUUAGGUGUAAACUACAUCCAUUAAGAUGAAAGUUACACUCUUUAAAUGAAAGUUGCACUCUUUGAGAAAUAUAUACACUGUUUCUUCUCUUGUUACACUCUUUGAGAUGUAAACUGCACCCCUUUAAGAGAUAUUUAUACUGUUUCUUCUCUUGUUGCACUGUUUCUUCUCUUGUUGCACUAUUUCUUCUAUUGUUACACUUUUUUUCUUCUUAAACUGCACCAUUUAAGAGGAGAAACAGUGUAACUAGAGAAAAAAUAGUACAACAAGAGGAGAAACAGUACAGCAAGAGGAGAAACAGUAUAAAUAUCUUUUAAAGGGAUGCAGUUAAAUCUCAAAUGGUGUAAGAAAAGGAGAAACAGUAUAAAUAUCUCUCAAAGAGUACAACUUUUAUUUAAAGAGUGUAACUUUCAUCAUAAUGGAUACAGUUUAAAUCUGAAAGAGUGCAAUAAGAUGAGAAAAUAAUGUAAAUAUUUUUCAAAGAGUGCAAUUUUCGUUUAAAGAGUAUAAUUUUCAUUUUAAAACUGCAGUUUACAUCUUAAGUAAUACAACUUAUGUCCAUAAUAGUGCAACGUUCUUUUAAAACAGUAUAAUUUUAUUUUAACGGUGCAAUUUUAUUUUCAUCUUUUUUUUCUAUAAUUUUUUAUCUGUAUUUUUUUUCUUGAUUCCUCUAUAAUAUUUUUUGGUCACCCCUCUCUGCCAACGGUCACGGAGCCGGCGACGACGCCGCUAAGGACCCCCCGCUUCGAGGCUGCAGUAUCGCAGGGACCUCCAUGGUGUCGGCGUCGGCGAAGAUGCGUCGUCUUCGGAGGUGACACAGGAGGAGGAAGAGGGAGAGGACAAGAAGGGCGGGGAAGGGCGAGAGAGGCGUCAUUGUCGGAGACGGUCGAGGAGAGUCGGAGAGGAAAAAAAAAAAGUUGCGGCGCGGCCUCGAUGGGGUUGGAGGCGAGGAAGGUGGGGGGUGCGCGGACGAGGGCAAGGGCAAGGGCGAGGGCGAGCGCAUAAGGGUUAGAGACGAGGUAGGCCGUUUCCGCCUCUGCCUCUGCCUCUGCUGCUUUCUUCGGCGACAGAAAAAAAAAUGAACGAGAGAAAAGAAGAGGAGAGAAAAGAAGAGGAAAGAGAAAGAGGAGAGAGAAAAAGUAAUAACGGUAUUUUGGUCGGUUUGCUUAAAAUUCGGACCGAAUCUGAAAAUCAAAAAAGGUGGCCUAAUUUUGUAAAAGCUCAAAAUUUAUGAAUUUUUUAUGCAAAUUGGCCAAAAAAAACUACAACUUUAAAUUACUUUUUCUAAGUUAAUUUUUGUUUUUUAGAAAAAGUUUAUUUGUUUUUAAGGAACUAUUCAUGUUUUCAGAACUAAACUAUUCUUUUUCUUUUAUUUUGAACUUAUCAAUUUUCUUAUGAAUGCUUUAUGCAAAAAAUAACUAGUUAUAUAAACUUAGGGCAAAACAAUAUAGAGAUUGUUAGAACUUCGCAAGAAUGAAAUGAAAUAAGUUUGAAAUCUAAGGGCAUGUUUGGUUCACCUAUUUUAGACUAUGGAAUCGGAAUGGAAUUUAUUAAUUCCGAUAGUUGCCGUUUGUUUUGGCUAAAUCCAUUUAUGAUCCAAUCCGGCUUUGAAUCCAGGAUUAGCUCAUUCCAAAAUAAACUAUUCAAAAUUCUCUUUCACCAACACCCACCUCCAAUCCGUCACUUUCCUCUCUCUUAAUCAAAACCCUCUCUUAACAAUUGUAAAUUUUCAUUCCGAUUUCCAUUUCAAUAAUGAACCAAAUAUUUUUGAAUGUUUCAUCAUUCCAUUUUCCAUUCCAAAGCAAUCCAAUUCCAUUUUUCAUUCCUAUUCCAAUCAUGAACCAAACAUGCCCUAAAUCUAAAUCCAAAUUCAAUAAAAAUUAGUAGGCAAAUAGAUCAAAUUGUGUCGAAUUUUGAUCAAAUUGACUAUGCUCCACUAUCAACAUCAUUUUGACCAUUUCUACUACUUUAAUAUUGCAAGUAGAAAGAAAAACAAAAAACCAAAUUUUCUAAUAAAAUGAUAAUUUUACACUUCUAAUAUAUGUUUUACUCAUUUCAUUUUAUUCUAAAAAAUCAUUAAAUGUUAUUUGAGAAUAAAUGUACAACUUUUUCUAAUAUUAAGAGACCAAAGUGCAAUAUAUGUGAUGAUUCAAAAAAAAAUAUUUAUAAAUAAAAAGAUUUCAUUUGGCAUUUUAUUAGCCAAAAUUUCGGAAUAAGGAAUCAUUUGCACCAGUCAAAACCUAUUGGUAAAAUUGUAUAGAAUUUAUUUCAAUUAUCAUUUAUUUUGACUUGACUAUCCAAUGUUUAAAAUUUUUAAUUUUGCUAUCAAAUCUUUUAAUUUAUUUGAGUUGAGCUGGUUAAUGAUGCUUUUACUUUAAAAUUCGAAUGCGUCAUUAAAUUAGAUACUCAAAUUAAAAUUUUGAGAAACUGGAUAGUAAAAAUUAAAAUAAUCUAUAGUUCAAAUAAAACUUAUGCAUAUUUACCGAAACUAUUUUAUUUAGAGGUGCAAACUUGGCGAAUCUGGACGUGCAAGCCCCGCUCCGCCUCCUGCCUGACUACCAAAAUUCCAUCCCCCUCCUACCUCGAAUUUGCAACAAGGUAAAAAAUAUAUCUCAUAAUCCGUCCUGCCUCAUAACUUACCUUCCGCUAUCGCCUCGAAUCCAUUCUGCCAACUAAUACCCUUUUUUUUACAAAUUAUAAUAUUACUAAUAUUUUGUAAAAUAUAUAUUAAUAAAUUUUUUAAUAAUAAUGAAUAAUAUUAUCAAACUAUAUAUAUAUAUAGGGUCCGGCUACUAUAUUAUUAUAGGUACGAUCGCGCGCCCUCGUACUUAUAAGUUGUUUUCGAUAAUAGAGCUUUCGAAUCGACGAUCCACAUCGUUAAACGUUAUUUACAGCAUUUAAAACUUCUAGAAAUCAAAUUUUAUAAUUUUUCGACAUCAUUUACCUUACGAUCAAGAGGUCACAAAUUUGACAAUUUUUAACGGUCGGUAUGGGAUACUUGCUAGUUUAACGGUGUAAAAGAAUCAGAAUUUGUUGAAUUUUUGAUAGAAAAUUCUAUUCACUACAUAGAUAAAGAUCAAUAACUCCGAUCUUGAAUUGAAGGAUCCGAUCAUCCUUUUUUAGAACAUCGUUCGAUUUUAACCGUUCAUUUUAUGUCCACUUGAUGGACUUUAUUAUGAUUUUGAAAUUUACGAAAUUUAUUUUCUGGAAGUUUCAAAUACACUAGAUCAUAUUUAACAGAGUUGAUCGUCGAUUCGGAAGCUCCAUCAUUGAAAACAACUUAUAAGUACGAGGGCUCCAAUACUCACAAUAGUAUAGUAGCCAUGACCUAUAUAUAUAUAUAUAUAUAUAUAUAUAGGGUUAAUUGCAUACAUGUUUCUGUAAACAUGGUGAAUUACAAAUAUAUCCCUGCAAAGCUCAACUUUCAUAAGUUAUUCCUGCAAAAGUCCUAAUGUAUUCAGAUAUAUCCCUACCGUUAGGGUUCGUUAGAGAAAUUUCGUUAACCACAGUUAAAAUACUUAACUAUGGUUAAUUAAUAAUGUGAAUUGACAAUUUUGUCCUUAUUCUUCUUCAUUUUCCUCUUCCUCUUCUUCUUCCUCUUCCUCUUCCUCUUCCUCUCCUGCUUCUUCUUCUUCUUCCUCCAUUUCUCCAUAUCCUCUUUUUCCUCCUCCUUUUCUCCUCUUUUUUCUUCUUCUUCGUCGUCGUCGUCAAUGAUCCGAUUGUUGUCGCCGUCGUGGUGCGCACGUGGGCCGUCGUCAAGGGCGCCUCCGACGGUAUCGACCGCGCCUUCGCCUUCCGCCUCUUCCUCGUCCUCGUUGGCGGCAACCCCAACAAACUCCGCAAGGUCGCCGUCGUCACCGUCCGCUCCCACAGCCUGAAAAGGAAGAGGAAAAGUAAGAGAGCAAGGGCAAAAUUAUUAUUUCACAACUCUACUGUUAAAAAAUUAACAGCUCUCUAAUGGAUCCUAAUAAGAGGGACAUAUCUAAAUACAUUAGGACUUUUGCAGCGAUAACUUAUGAAAGUUGAGCUUUGUAUGGAUAUAUCUGUAAUUCACCAUGUUUGUAGGGACGUGUAUGCAAUUAACCCAUAUAUAUAUAUAUAGAGAGAGAGAGAGAGAGAGAUAGAGAGAGAGAGAGAGAGAGAGAGAGAGAGAGAGUUGAGCUAGAAUACUCUCAAAAGCACCAAAAGGUUGGUUCUUUUGAGUUUUUAAACCUUAAAUAGAGAAAUAUAAGGUUUGGAUGAUGGUGGUAGGUGGUGGUAGGUGGAAUAGUGUUUGAUCCAAAGGCUAUUAGUAAUCAAGGAGUAGAUCCAAGGGUUAGAAACUUAGCAGUGCCAAGGGAUUGGUGCUUCUAAAAGUAUUCUAGCUCAAUUAUAUAUAUAUAUAUAUAUAUAUAUAUAUAUAUAUAUAUAUAUAUAUAUAUAUAUAUAUAUAUAUAUAUAUAUAUAUAUAUAUAUAUAGUAGAGCUACUAUGCUAUCGGAAGCAUAGAGUGUCUGGUGCUUCCGAUUUUUUGGACCUUAGAUCAACUUCUUUGAUCAUUUCUAACCUUUGGAUUAAUACUAUUACCCUGUAAGGACCACUCAACCCUAGGGAUACCACUCAACCUUGGGGGGACCGCAAUCAUCCCAACCGUAUAAUUUUUGAUCCAAUGGUCAAAAAGUUGGAAGCAUCAUAUCCUCUAUGCUUCCGAUAGUAUAAUAGCUCUACACUAUAUAUAUAUAUAUAUAUAUAUAUAUAUAUAUAUAACUAGGCUGGUGUAGUAUUCCAGGCGUUCGGUUGCCCGUAAGAUUUCAGCAUCUAAGGCUUGUCGACACAUCUGGAGAGUGUCGGGACAAGUCUGAGUCGUUUUGGAGCGAAAUAGAUGCAAAACUCUUAGAAUCUACACUGUCACUUUCUGAAAAUUACCAGAUUUAGCUUUAGAAGCUAUGGUUCAUUUGUAUCGCCGUUGUUCGUAUGCGGUGGAUAUCCAGAAUAGUGUAGAAUGAAUUUAUGCUCGUGUUAGGAUACCGAGCUUAUUUUACAGUAGUGUGUAGACUGUUUCGGACUAUCGGAUGCCGUCGCGGUUGACGGUGGACCCAAUUUGCUGUUUUUGCAUCGGAUUGUGCCAAGGGCACGUGAGUUUUGGUUGUAGGACCAAUUAGACCUAUUUACUUUGAUUAUAGCCUAUGAGAGCCUGAUUGAGCUCUGCAAAGAUACGGUUGCAUACUUGGUUGGGUAGCGCCCACGAGUGCCACUCCGGAGUCGGGCUUUGUGCUUUUGUGUUGUUGUCGUUGUGUCCUGGUUGCACUCGCUCUCCACUGACAACCCAGCGUGGUGGUCGUUAAUGUAGCUUCGACAGGCGGGCCGAGUGUGUUCAGUCCCUAAUGAGAUUGGGUCAAAAAUUGCAUCUUGCUUAUAUCUACUGACAGCUAGUGUUGGUUAGCAAUAGUAUAGUGGCAUGUAGUUGUAGAGUUUUUUCAGCUUCCUUUACUAUCCUUGAGCAUACUUUCUGUAAACUUAGUAGGUGAGCCGUUGAGGUCGGUAGCGGUACCCACUGAGGACUACUUCUUUUUGUAGUAGUUCUCACAUCCAGUUGUUGACCCUUUUUUGUAGAGCCUUCUUCUGCGGCUGCUGCUGUCGCUGAUACUGAUCGUGGAAAGGGAGUCGCGAGCUAGAUCCCUUCCAGUCUUGUUGCUAUUCUAGAGGAGUACCAGCUACAGGUAGUUUUAAUUUUUGGUUCAUGUACAUACUGAUAUUGGAUACUCGCUGGAGCGAGUGAUAUCUGUAUCCUGGAGAUUAUGUAUGUAUAGUGAACAUGAUGGUUAUUUAUAUUUGUUUACAGUUCUGUUAGUAGCUCUAUACUUCUAGUUGUAGUUUUGUAUGAUUACAUGUACAGUUACAGCUAUCACUUCGUAUACAGAGAAAAUUCUUUUGUAUACGGGUCUAUUUGCGUGCCCAGAAAAACGUGGUAAUUCGGGGCGUGACAGCUAGAAUACUAUCAAUAGCACCAAGCAAUUGGUGCUAUUAGGUUUUUGGCCCUUGGAUCGAGAAAUGUGCGGUUAGGAUGAUGUGGGGCCCCUAGGGUUGAGUGGAUAGUUGGUUGAAUAGUAUAAUCUAACGGGUAAAAAUAACCAAAGGGGUUAAUCUAACGGCAGAAAUCUUGAUAGCACCAAGUGUUUGGUGCUAUCGAUAGCAUACCAGCCGGACUCUAUACAUAUAUAUAUAUAUAUAUAUAUAAAAUUAAUUAAUUAAUAACAUUAAUUAUAAAAGUCAAAAAUAUCAAUUACACUUCAAGUAAAAUUCAAUAGUUUUCAAAUGCAUGAGAAAUGGGAGCACCAACUUAUUUAUAUUUUAAACGAUUUUCGGGACGGAUUUAGGACGGAUCAUAGCGGGGGAGAUUCAAAGUGGGUCAAAAAAAUUUUUGUUUUCUACACCAAAUCCAUCUCGAAUCACAAAACUCAUCUCGUUUUCUGUCCCAAAUUUAUUUAUCUAUUUAUUUAUUUUUAUUUACGGUCCCAUUCGCGAUGAAUCGGAACGGAAGCUUCACCAACCUAAAUCGGUUUGCAUCCCUAAUUUUAUCCUUCAAAACAAACUCGACAACUUAGUUAUAAUAGUACACUUUAUUAAUGAUUCAUAGAACCCAAUGUCACUGCAUAAACAACCUACAUAUUUAACCCUUUUCUCUAUAUAUCAAUGAGUGUUAUUAUUUGGUCCCACAAAGGUGACAUGAGAUAUGCCAAAGCGGAAAAAAGAAGAGAAUAAAUUAAUUAAUGCUCUGCGUCGGUGGGCAAUUUAAUAUUGUUCAGAAAAAGAGAUCUUGCUCCAGCAGUUGCACUUUAGUUAGAAGCAAUAGAUGGAAAAAUGCCAAAUUUAUAAGUCCCUGUACUUUUACCAAAUUAAAGUUUGCUGCUCUAUUAUUUUCACUUUUAAAUUGAGUUGUUAUUUGUCCCUACUUAGUUUUGUAAUUGUAUCAUUCUGUGGUUAACUGAUCUUGUCCAAAAUAUCAAGCAUUUAUUAGGCUAUGUACUUUACAUGUGAAAUAAUAUAUAUAUAUAUAUAUAUAUAUAUCGAGUGAGCUGGUAUGCUUCUGAAAGUAAGGAGUCUUUCGUACUUUCAAGUUGUUUUCGAUGUUGGGACUUUCGAAUCGACAAUCGGCUCCGUUAGAGUUGAUCUAGAGUAUUUGAAGUAAUCAGAAAAUAAAUUUUGUAAUUUUUCGAUAUCAUUUGCCUAGUGAUCGAAAGAGCUCAAAAUCAAUUAUUUUAAUGGUCGUGGUGAGCCGUUUGCAAGUUUAAGGGUGUAGAAAUAUUCAAACCAGGUGAAAUUUUGAUAGAAAAUUUUUUAUACUAUAUAAAACAAGAUCAAUAACUUUGAUCUAAAAUUUUAAUGUUAUAUUAUCAUAUUUUGUAAAAAUUUUGUUUUCAGCCGUUGAUUUUGAACCCUUUCGAUCACUAGGCAAAUGAUAUUGAAAAAUCACAAAAUUUAUUUUCUAGGUACUUCAAAUACUCUAGAUCAAGUCUAACAGAGUCGAUCGUCGAUUUUCGAAAGUCCCAAUAUCGAAAACGACUUGGAAGCACGGAGCGCUCGUUGCUUCCUAAGGAUACCAUGCAGCACCACUAUAUAUAUAUCCUUAUAAUAUAUAUAGUAUAUAUAUAUAUAUAAGAGAGAGCAGAGAUGGAGAGAGAAUCGGAGACGAGAGAAGACCACUUUGUUCCGACAGAUCGCGAGAGAGAAGUCUUCAUUUGACGAGAGAGAAGAGGCAGAGUUGGGCUAGAUAAUACCUAUCGAUAGCAACGGGCUCCGUGCCAUCAAUUUGUUUAUCGAUGAUGGAGCCUCCAAAUCGACGAUCGGCACGUUGAGCAGAUCUUAUGACCAUUUUGAAGUGAGUUUAGAAAUCAAAUUUCAAUUUUGUCGGAAUAUUUCUACUUAUCCACUCGACGUGGACAACCAAAAAAAUGAAUUGGCUGUUGAAAAUCAAGAUUCUUUAAAAAUGAUUAUAGGAGUUUUGUAAUCAAAUCAAGAGUAUAGAUCUUAUUUAAAUAGUUUAAAAAUUUAUCUCAAUAAAAAUAUUCAAUUGAUUUGAAUAUUCUUUACCCGUUUAAAACGGAGGUCGGGGAAACGCCUCGUAUCGACUUUUAAAUUACCAAAAUUUUGAAAUCUUUGAUCAUUAUUAGCAAUAUGAUUGUCGAAAUGAUUUGAAUUUAAUUCUAAAACACUUCAGAGUGGAUAAUAAUCAGUUUAACGGUGCCGAUCGUCGAUUUGGAGCUCAUCAUUACAAACAAUAAGUGGCAACGGAAAGCCGUUAGGGCUAGUAGAUUAGUAUUCUAGCUCACUUGGGUAGCACGGACGCGACUCGUGAGCGUACGAUGUUAUAGUAGCCUAGUUCGUAUAGUAUAUUAGUAUAUAUAUAUAUUAUUAAUAAUACAGAGGAGCAGAGAGAGACGAUGACUGAGACUUUCUGAAUCUUGCCAUGGCAGCGGGGGCCGUGAGUCAGAAUGGGUCUAGCCGUUCGAGGAGACAUAUGGGAGCCACAGCGUUGAGAGAAUGGAGGACGAGAGGAGAGAGAGAGGAAGUGUGGACUGGGUAACUUAUUAGUUAAGUAAAAACCUAUUGUCGAUGCUUACCAGGUUUUUAGCCUUUGGAUCAACUCUUUCAUUAUUUGCUAGACAUUGGAUUAAAUACUAGAGAAACAAUGCGGGACAUCGCAACCCUAGGGGACCACUCAACUGCUGACUGACUAAGUUAAUUAUCUGACCCUACAAUUUUUCAUCCAAGAGGUGUGUGAAAAUAUUGAUACAAAUAAAGAAUACGUGUUACUAUUAAUAAGUAUUCUCAGCUAUAUAUUAUAUAUAGUAUAUAGUAAUAUAUAUAUAUAGUAUUGGAAGCUGGAUGCUAUCGGUAGCAAGACUAGUUCCGUUGGCCAUCAUUGGUUUUCGAUGAUGGAGCUUUAUAAUUGACGAUCCGGGCGCGCGUUGGAACAUGAUCGUAAUCACCAUUUGACGAGUAUAUUAAAACCAAACAUUUCAUAUUCAUUUCGAAUUGUUUAUAGAUUUUGUUUGGACGGCCUACGAUUCAAAGAGAUUCAAAAUUUUAGAUUUUAUAUGGUAGAUAAUAAAGACGUCGUUCUUCGUUUAAGCGGUAUGUAUAAACUAUCCAAUCAAUUGAAUUUGCCGUUAGAAAAUUCUUAUAAACUAAUUUAGAUAUGAUCUUAUUACUCUUCCGAUCUUGCAUACAAAAUUCACUAUUCAUCACUUUUUAGGGGAUAUUCAUGUUCAGCGUUCUUUUUACGCUCACUUGGAUGGAUAAAAAAUCUAAUAGCGAAAAGCAUGAAAUUCGAUUUCUUAGAUAUCUUUCAAUGGAGGGGUAUAGAUUAUGAUUUCUAGUACAUCGGUUGGGCGGGUGGUGGGGACUGGAUCAAUGAUCUUUGAGCGCUCAUCACGAAACAACAAUGGUGACACAUGGUCUAUUUGCUACGGAUAUAUUCUUAGCUCAAUAUAUAUAGUAUAUAUUAAUAUUAUAUUAUACUAUAUUAUUAUAUAUUAAUGUUUAUAAUAGGAAUUAGGCUGAAUUAUCUAUUUAGAUUAUAAAACAGUUCUUAUCAUAUAUAUAGGAGAGAGAGAGGUGAGAGAGGGAGAGACGAGAGACGAGGACUCCCCGGGUUCGAGAGAGACAGAAGAGAGGAGUUGGUAGAAUACUUAUUCGAUAGCAAAACGGGCUCCGGUGCCACUAAUUGUUUCGAUGUAUGGCCUCCAAAUUCGCACGUGGACCGUUGAGCAUGAUCUGUAUUACACGUGAAGUGUUAGAAUCAAUUUCAUAUAUUUUCGAUUUGUUUCUUAUCCUCGAGUGGCCACAAUAUGAAUGCUGAAAUGGAUAUUUUUAAAAUAAUGAUAUAGGAGUUUGAUCAAAUCUAAGAGUAUAGAUCUUAUUUUUAUAGUUUAAAUAAUUUUCUAAUAAAAAUUCAAUUGAUUUGAUAUCUUUACGCCGUUAACGACGGAAACGCUCGUUUCGACCUUUAAAUUACAUUUGAUCCUUUGUCAUUAAGAAAUGAUGUCAGAAAUGAUUUGAAAUUUAUUCUAAACACGUCAAUGGUAUAAUAUGUUAAGCGGUGCCGAUCGUCGUAUUUGGAGCUCUAUAUUACAAAAAAUAGGUGGCAAGGAAGCAAGUUUGCGUAUCCGAUAGUAUUCUAGUCAAUUUUAGACGGAGCGCUCCGUAACUACGAUUAGGUGAUUGAUGAAUUAGUUCUAUAUAUAUUAUAUAUUAUAUAUUAUAGAAGAGAAGAGGGAAGGAUGCGACGGUCGGGACCGGAGUGGGAGAGGCUAUCGUGAGAGAGCAGCCAGGACAAUUUUGUGGCGGGACGCUGACUGGGGAAGAGACGCCAGCCGGGAGGAUCUCGACGAGACGGAGAGAACCCAGAGGGGCAUGGAGGGGGAAGCUGAGAGAGAGAGUGGACUGGCUUACUAUCUAGUAAUAAAAUCCAUGUCUUACCAGUUUUUAGCCCUUUGGAUCAACUCUUUUCAUUAUUAUCUAACCAUUGGUAUUAGAUUAACUAUACCAAUGGACAACUCAUCCUAGGGGGACCACUCAACUCUGACUGACUAAUAUAUCCUGACCUACAAUUUUUCUCCAAGGGUUAAAACUUGAUAGCAAAAAGAACGUCUUUGACUAUUAAUGGUAUUCUAGACCUAUAUAUAAAUAUUAUAUAUAUAUAUAUUAUUGUUGACUGGAAUCUACGUAGCAAACUAGUUCCAGUUGCAUCCAUUUGUUUUCGAUGAUGGCCAUCCUUAAAUUGCGAAUCGGCGCGUUUGAAUCAUGAUCUAUACCAUUUGAGAGUAUAUAGAACACAAAAUUGUCAUAUUGUCAUUUCGACUAAUUGAACCCUAAACAGAUCAAAAGGAUUGUCAAAUUUUAAUUGUAAUGGUAGAUAUAAGUGUUUUCUCGUUUAACGGCCCUGUAAACUAUCCAAAUCAAUGAAUUUUGGUUAGAAAAUUCUUUAAACUUAGUUUACGAAUAUAUCAUAUACUCUCCGAUCUUCGAGAUUACAAAAUUCCCUAUGCAUCACUUUUAGAGUUGCUGAUAUUCAUUUUCAAGCGUUCAUUUUUACGCUCACUUGAUGGAUAAAGAACAUAUCGAAAAAGCAUGAAAUUGAUUCUGAUACUUAAGUGGUAUAGUUAUAUUCAACAUGGGUCCAGAAUCAGUGUAUUUGAGGCUGUCAUCAUCUAACAAUGAUGAAACAGGCUGUUUCUUAUCAUGUUUCUGCUCAACUAUUAAUAUUUAGGGUAAGUUAUAAUAUAUAAUAUAUUAUAUAUAUAUUAUUAGAAUUAGACUGGAAUACUAUUAAUAGUAAAACGCUCUUUUUGCUAUCAAGUUUUUAACCCUUGGAUGAAAAAUUGUACGGUCAGGAUGAUAUUAGUCGGUUAGAGUUGAGUGGUCCCCCUAGGGUUGAGUGGUCUUCACUGGGUUAUAGUAUUUAAUCCAAUGGUUAGAAAUAAUGAAAAAAGUUGAUCCAAAGGCUAAAAAACUGAUAGCAACAAUGAGAUUUUGCUACUAAUAGUAGCCCAGUCCAACUCUAUAUAUAUAUAUAUAUAUAUAUAUAUAUAUAUAUAUAUAUUAUUUUGCUCAAUCCCUUUUUUUUUUCUUUAAUAAGUACAUAAUUUGGUUUAGACUAGUAAGGGAUUUUUUUUUAUUUUUUUAAGGAGUAAAGUCUAUAGGCAUUUUAUUAAAAAAGUAGAUCUUGAUUAUAAUAGCAUAAUUUAGAAUACUAUAUUAAACAUAUUUUCAUAAACGAAAGAAGGGAUUAACGUAAAUACACUCAAAACUAGAUAAAAGAAAAGCAAAUAAGGGUGAUGGUCCCAUACUUAUGUAAGAAAAGAAAAAGAUAUGUUUAAUAAUUAAUUAAGUUUAUGAAUGUUAAGCUCAUAAUAUAUAUAAAAAAAAAUUAGAGAAUAUGAUAGAUAAAAAUAAUUAUUCAGACUACAUCUUCAGUCCAACUAAUAUUUCUCAAUGCGUAGCAGAACAUUUCGAUCUUCGAAUACGCAAUAUGAAAGAUAGAUUUGAAACCAGUGGCAUAUGACAAAUUAAAAGAGAGAGAAGUUCAAAGUAGCGUGAGACCGGAGUCAGAGGGAGGUGAAAAUUUAGACAAUUGCGGUGUAGAUCAUAAGAACAAAUAUAGAAGGAAACAAUAAAGAAAAUGAUAUAGUCAACAAAAAUCUGUACCUAUCGGUCGAAUUUUGACUAGAUACUCGACCAAAAUUAGGCCAAGAGGUUGGAACAGAGGAAGAGGAAAAGUAAGAAGAAGAGAAAUUUAGUGCAGAGAUUUACAUAGAGAAAAAAAUAAAGACUGAAACAAAAAAAAAAGCAAAUUAAUAAGUUAAAAAAAAUAAUAAUAAAUAAUUAUUUGGUAUUUUAAAAUAUUACAAAUUAGAUAUUACAAAUUUUCUAUAUGCAUAUAUGUUUGGGAGAAAUAAGGUUUUUUAAAUAGAAAUAGCAAGUUUUAGUGCAGUUAUUGUUUUUUUUUUUUUUUUUUGAGAAAGAGGUAGACGGGCUACCUGCGUCAUUCAUUGAUAAAUGAAUUAGGCAAUACAUUAUGGAAGCAGCUAAGGCUUUCGAGGCGAAAGACGAACAGCAAGAAAGAAAACAAAGCUAAAGUAAGAAGGAUCCAAAGAUAAUCAAAAAAAGAUGAAAAAGAUAAAGCAGAACCCAAAAAACCGAAAAGGUAAGCAAAAGACAAUAACUGCAGUUAUUGUUACUAUUCUUCAAUUAGCACUCUCGAGUAUGAAGAAGCAUAUCAUCACUUUGGAGGCCAUUUGAUAAAAAAACUUUAUUAGAGAUGAAUAAUAUCGUUUUUUUAUAGAUAUUAGCAUGAAUAUAACAUGUGUUUUAUAAAUGAAAAUCCAAAAAGGCUCUUGGAUUUGUGAGACAAGCACUAUCUUUAGGCUUAAUUAGCCUCCCUUCCUCCUUCCUUCUUUCUCUUUUCCUCUAAUUUUCUCUGCCUAACAACUUUUUUUUUUUUUUUUCCUUCUCCUGUUCAACUUGUUUGACCUUUCUAUUGUUUUUCCUUCAUUCCUUAGUUUAUUUUAUUUAGGAGCGGUUUGGAUACAUGUAGUUGAAAUUGCAUUACUAUUUCAAGUACAUACAGAUCUAAAUUCAGUAUUUAGUUUGAUAUAUUUGUGUCCAACUGCUGUUGUAAUUAUAUAUAGAUUUAAAUUCGGUAUUUAGUUUCAUAUAUUUGAAUCCAACUUACUGCAAUUGAAACUACAUGAGAAAGGAAGUGUAAAACUGUAGUAGUUAGAAUCACAUUUAAAUUGGUCGCAGUUCCAACCUGCAGUAGUCGGAGAAAAUAAUUUUAAACGAAAGAUGAACUUACCUCUCUAAUUACUUUUUAAACAAAUGCUUUUCUUUUCUAUAUCCAGCGACCAUUUAACCACUAUAUAUAUAAAUUGAUAAAAUUUAAAAAACAGACUUCUUAACUGCAAAAAAUCAAAUAAACUAUUUAUACUUAAUUACAGUAUUUUCUACGACAACCAAUCAAACAAGAUACAUACAGUUGUAAUUACUAUAUUUUUAACUGCGUGUAUAUUCGACUACACUGUAUUUUUUAAAUACUUUUAAUCAAACAGUCCUUUAAUAAAUAAAGUGAGGAGCGCGCUACUUUCUUCAAACAAAUUCUUUCUAAUUUGUCUUCAUAUUUUGACGUUUAGAAUUUCAAAUAAAGCGAGUAUAUAUAUGUACUUCAACCAAUUAAGAGAGAUUACAAAAGUUAUUUUGUGUUUUUUCAUUUAUUGAUUAAUGAAUCUAACGAGAAAAAAAUAACUUAAAAAUCUCCUGCUAUGAUAAAACAUUAGUGACCUAAUUCUGCCCACCUCCUCCAAUUCCAAAAAAUAAGCAAAAAAUUGAAAAAGUCAAAAAAAAAUUCUUUUUUUAAAUAAAAUUAAAGUAAAAGAAGAGAACAAAAAAGAUUUAUGUAUCAUAUGCCAUGACACGUUCGUGAAGGCCAAAAACACUACUCAAAUGCGACAACCAUGCCAAAGAUAAAAAAAGUAAAAAAAAAAAAAAGAAGAAGAAGAAGAAAUAAAGUAUCUUUUUUAUUAUUUUUUUAGUCCAAUUAAAAGGACACAAGGAAUAAUUCCAACUCUAAAAAAGGGGCGUAGAACAAAUAAUUACAAAGAAGUGGGACCCACACGUAAAAGAAUCCCGUGGGCUAUCCCACCGCAUGUCACGGAAUACAACAGGUGAAAAUUUACGAAGAACCCCUCCACUUCGACCAUUUUGGAGUAUAAUCCUCAACUCAUUUUUUUCUGGUAAACUUCAAAUACCACCCUGUAGUUUCGCAUUUUUUAUUUUAGUACUACUCUGUGGCUUAAAGUGUAUCAAUUUAGUACCUUGUGAUUUUUUUUUUCUUUUUGUCGGUCCCUCCCUUAACUUUUUGUUAAAUCAUCAUAUACAAAAAGCUUCAGAUAUCCUAUCUAUAGUUUAUCGAAUAUUCACUCUAGUACUCUUUAGCUUUAACUUUAUUACUGAUUUAACGAAAAAAAUUAGUAGCGAAGAUAACAAAAAGAGAAAAAUAAAAUCACAGGAUACUAAAAUGAGAACGUGCGAAACCACAGGGGUUGUAUUUGAAUUUUUUUUCUUUUUUUUUUGUUGAUUUUUCUAGUUAUUUAGUAAGUUAUAAAGUUUGUUAAAUUCAUAGUUUAUUUAAACCUUUUUUAUAGCAAUGCUUUUUCAUCAAAAAAAAAAAAAAAAAAAAAAAACUACCUAUACAUGUACACCAAAAAAUAUAUAUUUUAAACCUCUCAAUCCUCGAAUUUAAAAAAUUCAUUAGAUCUUUACUAUUUUUUUUAAAACAAAUUAAUAAGAUAAUGACCAAUCCUUAGUACUUCAUAAGAGAGACAUAAGAUGCACAGUUAUUUUUAUUUUAUCUAUCAAAGAAAAAGAAAAUCUAAGCGUGAGGAGUCCCUUUCAAAAUAUUCUAUAACUGAGGGGGUCUCCACGUACAAUUUUACCCCCACUAUAACCAAUUUAAUGCAAAACACACAUUAUUAUCUCAGCAAAGAGGACUCUGUAAAACCCACCAAUUAGGCACUUUCCCACCAAUUCCCUCCCAGAGAGUCGUAAAACAUAGCGUUAAUUUCGUACUGAUCCUGACAAAUAUAAUGAAUGAUAAAUAUAUUUUUAUAAAAUUUUAUUUUUGUAUAUUAAUUUUAUAAAAAUUUUAUUAUUUUCAAAUAUAUUCGUGUCAUCAGAAUUCUUUAAAAAAAAUUAAGUUAUCCAUAGGUUAAAUAUUUAAUCCUAAUUAGUUUUUAAUAUUUUUAUUUUUUUUAUAUUAUACUAUUAUAAUUUUAAAAGGAUUAUAUUUGUGAUGGCAAAAUUAAAAAUAUAAAUAAUUUUUUAACAGUUCUCUAACGAAAACAAAUUAGAAAGAUAUAUUUAAAAAUAUCAUAAUUUUUACAAAUACAGUAUAUAAAAGUCAAAUUUUAUAGAAAUAUAUUUAUUAUUUACUAUGUUUGCAGGAAUAUGUACGAAACUAACCUUAAAACAUAACACGCAAACAAAAAUAGACCAAGUCCAUAAUUUUAGGCAGGAUUAGAUGUGUGUCAAAUUAGUUUGGCCUUUAUCACGCCAACACUCUCAGUCAACCAUUCAAACAAUCAUACAACUCACAUUCAACAAACUCCCACCUCCAAGUCAAUAGAAUUAAAAAAAAAAAAAGAGAGAGGAAUAGAUGCUCUUUGCUUCUUAUCCCCUCUCCAUCUCCUCCUCCGACUCAUCUUCUUCGUAAUAAGAGAAUAUUUAUUUUUGGGUAGUGGUGGUGGUGGUGUCUUGUUUACCGAUUUCAACUUCUUUCUAAAUUUUUUUUGUUCCGAACCGGAAUGAAGACGGGGGAGAAGUCGAAGCUGGUGCGGAGCCUGCGGCUGGAAUCGCAGCGCUUCCGGCUGCUGAUCAUCGUCGUCGGCGGCUUCCUCGUCACGCUGACCUUCAUCGUCGUCUCGAAGCCCGACGCCAUCCUCUCCUCCUCCUCCUCGCCCUCCGCCGCCGCCGCCGCCGAUGACGGUCGGUCCCUCCCACCCUACCGCCUUAGCUGCUUUCGUUCGUUUGUAGUUUUUCAUCUGUUAUUUUGAAUGCUGAUCUUUGCUUUUGUGAGGUGAUUUCAGCGAGAUCGGCCUCGGCUUUUCAGAAAUCUCCGCGGACGGAGUUAUCGGAGACGAAGAUGACGAUGGAUUUCAGAGAAAUUUGUGAGAUUUUUAUUUUUGAAUUUUCAGCUCAAUCUUUGUUUUUUUUUUUUUUUACUUCUUAAAUUGGUUUUUUNUAUUGAGGAUUUUUUUUUUUUUUUUUUUUCAGCUGAAGAUCCUCAACCAGAUACUGUGGCAGAGGAUAACAAACCAAAAUGUACAUCAACCUCUCUUUCUCUCUCUCUCUCUCUCUUUAUUUUUGGUGGUGGUGAUGGAUGAGAUAAAUAUUGGGGUUUUUGACAUUUUGAUUGCUAUAUUUUUUUAAAAAAAAAAUUUAUUUUUUUAAAAAAAAAAAAUUUGCAGGGGACAAAAAUGAGGCAGAGGAGAAAGAAGAAGAAGAGCCAAAACACAAAAUCACCCUCCCAACAGUUUCAAACUACACAAUAGAAGAUUCAGAUCAAACCAACCCAGAUCAAUUAGGUAAACCCACUUUUCCCCAAUCUUUUUUUUUUCAUUUAAAUCUUAAAUUUUGACUCAGAUUUAAUCCUUAAAAAAAAUUUUAAAAAAAAAGAGAGAAAUAGAGCAAAAGUAUACUGUUUUCCUGAAUAGCCCCAAUUUGAGAAAAGAACCACUUUUCAAAAUUCAAUUUUUCUUUGGUUAAAAAAAAAAAAAGAGAAGCACUUUUUAGAAAAGCACAUGAUGAGUUGCUGUAUCUGUGGCAACCACUUUUGAAAUUUUUGAUAUUUUUAGAAGAGCACUUAUUUUAUUUUUUCCUCACUUUUUUUUUCUUUUUUUUUUUCACUUUUUACAGGGGUUGAGAGUGAAAAAUGUGAUGACCCCCAAUCUUGUUCUCACAAGGGGAAGCAUAAACUCACUCUCCCAACCAUCUCCAAUUACACCAUAAAUGACUCAAUCCAAACUGAAUCAAGUGAGCCCACCAAAUCAGGUGCUCUAUUUAACCACCCUUUUAAUCCUUUUUUACUUCAAAUUUGUUGGUAUAUCCCCUUUUUUAGCGAAUUCUCGGUAAAAUUGUUCGCAGAGAGCAGAUUCGACACUGUAAUUACCCUCGAAACGAACCCGCUUCAGAACGACGAUGCAGCCGAUUCGAUUCAACCGAGUACGCUCGCAAAUUACGUGUUUUUCUUCGUUUAAUUCGAUGUAUCAUGUUAGUCGAUGGUGAUUUGGAAUGUUUUUGAUUGUGAAGGUUCAACAACAAGCAUAAAGCUGGAGAGGAAGCCACUCUGUGAUUUCUCGAACUUCAGAGCGAAUGUCUGCGAAAUGGACGGCGGUGAAAUUAGGGUUCACCCGAAAUCGGCCUCGAUCGUGUAUAUGGAGUCCGACGAUUCGAAAGCUGAUGAGAUCUAUAAGAUUAAGCCUUACCCGCGAAAGGGCGACGAGUUUUGCCUCAGCCAUGUUACUGAAUUGACCGUGAAAUCGAGCAAAGAGGCUCCUCAAUGCACGAAGCACCACGAUGUCCCGGCGCUGGUCUUUUCAAUAAGUGGCUACACCGGAAACCUCUUCCACGAUUUCACCGAUGUUUUGGUCCCCCUCUUCACGACCGCGAACCAAUUCAACGGCGAGGUUCAGCUCGUGAUCACCGACAUGCAUCCGUGGUGGGUGAUCAAAUACCAAAAGGUGCUUCAAAAGCUCUCGAACUACCCGUUGAUCGAUUUUAGCAAGGACGACCAAGUGCACUGCUUCAAAAGCGUCAUCGUCGGGCUCCACGCGUACAAGGAGUUCAGAAUUGAUUCAUCUAAAGCUCCUAAGAACUACUCGAUGGCCGAUUUCAACCGAUUCAUGAGGCGCGCGUUCUCGGUGGAGAGGGAGGCGACGACUCCGGUCGGGGAGAACCCUAACAAGAAGCCGAAGCUCCUCAUCAUAUCGAGGAAGAGAACAAGGAUGUUUCUCAACCUCAAUGAGAUCAUCGGGAUGGCCGAGGAGUUGGGCUUCGAAGUGGUGGUCAACGAGGCCGACGUGUCGUCCGACCUCUCUCGAUUCGCUCGAAUUGUGAACUCAUGCGAUGUGAUGAUGGGCGUGCACGGGGCGGGCCUCACGAAUUGUGUGUUCCUCCCGCCGAACGCGACCCUCAUUCAAAUAGUGCCGUGGGGAGGGCUGGAUUGGAUAGCAAGGCUCGAUUUCGGCGAUCCCGCGAACCAAAUGGGGCUAAGGUACUCGCAAUAUGGCAUCACGCCGGAGGAGAGUAGCCUCUUGGAGCAAUACCCGCGUGAUCACGAGAUAUUCAAGAACCCUUUCGCGUUCCACAAGCGCGGCUUCGACUACAUAAGGAGAACAUUCAUGGAUAACCAAAAUGUGAGGCUUGAUGUGAAGAGGUUUAGGAAGGUGCUAGUGGAAGCACUUGAUCAACUCAACCCUUAAAAAAGAACACUAGUUUGAGGCAAUUUUAUUUGAUUUGAAGGAUUUUUGUAUACCUUUUUCAUUUAGAUGUUCCAUGUUUUUAUUUAUUUUCAUCUUCUGCUGGAAUUCAGAAGAAAUUAAUGGUCUUUUGUUUAUGUAAGAUAUUGAAUUGAAGCUAGAAGAUGAACAAAUCAACUUAUAUGAUUCUAUGAUUAAAACCAAAAUAUAUUCUUUCUCAUAUUGGCCUUGGUAUCUCUAUAGUUGCAAUGUUGAAACUUUAAAUGACAUUUUUUAUUUAUUUUGUUUCAGUUCUCUUUGAAUCAUAUUUGUGUUGCAUAAGAUUUGUAUUAAAUUGACUUAAAAAAAAUAAAUUUAUAUCUAUAAACAUAAACAUCUGUGUCAAUCAUGGUUGUUUAGAGGAAGCUUCCUUGUUAGGAAGGCCAAUUCAAGUUGACAUGAGAUAGCUUCAAAAUUUUCCCAACAAUUUGUUUUAAAAGAAAUUAUCAAAAUGAAAAGGGUUAUGGUUAUAUGAAUGAGCAAACAUCAUCAAAGUUUGUCAUUGUCAUAUUUUAUUUGGAGCUACAUCACCAACCAAUCAAUUAAAACCCCAAUUCAACACAAUAUUGAGAUGAUGGAAAUGGACAUUCAAUGAAGCAUUUGAUUACUUUGUUUUAUUUGUUCUACAAAUUCAACAAGUUCACAAUUAAAUUAAGACUUAGUCCAAGUGAUUAAAUCAAUAGUUAAGAUAUUAAUUAUGAUCUGAGUUGGCCAUGCACACACUUUGAGACUAAUAAAUUAUAAAUCUAAUAAAAUACUGGUGGUUAACAUGGCAUUGUAGCCAAGAUGCUAGUAUGAGAUUGAUUGUAUACUCCAUAUUGGGCAUUUCAUUAUUUUAGGUUGGUUGUAAUGUCUCCAUCUAUAAUUUUUUUUUAAUUUUUCUUAAGAAUAUGAUGGAACACUACUUCACCAAGAUGAUACUAGGCAUAGCUAAGAAAUUAUUCUAAAGUACAGUUUAUGAAUCAAAUUAAAUAACACCGCACCUAAGUGUAGUUCAACUUUUUAGUCGACAUGCGAUGCUAAACUUAUAAUUGAUUUUCAUCUAGGUAACUAUCUUCAAUUUGUUGCAAUUGAGUCACUGAUCUAAAUUAUUUCCAAAUUGGGUCUAAAAUUAUUUUUAUACGAAUUGUUUUAAGGCUAAAAUAUACAAUUUUUUUUUUUUGUAAAUAUCUAUUUUUUACUUUUAUCCUGAAACAUAUAUUUUGCUCUUUCAAAAUUUUAAGUUGUUGUACUUAAGUCCUCUUCAUCAUUCAGCUAUUGGCUUAAAACCGAGCGGCUAGGUUGGGCUGAGUCACGUUCGAAAUAGCGUAUAGAUGGGUUGGGCCGAGUCAUAUUCGAAGUGACGUAAGGCUGAUUGGGCCGAAUUACAAUCGAGACCCAAGAGCGCUGUAUUUGUACACUUUAAGUGAAUUAAUUACAUAUUUCUAACAUGUGACACCCAAUAGUCCCAUAUCGGAUGGGAAUGGAGUUGUCAUUGGGUUUAUACGAGACUUAGACACUAGUAAUAAUAAUUGAGCUUAAGCAUUUUGGGCUGUUGGCUGGGCCCAACGAAUUAUUAUUGCUAGUGGGCUGGGUCGUUACAUUUGGUAUCAGAGCCAACAACUAGGUUCAAGUCACUCACCCAAAAAUUCUGAACCUCAAGACAACAGACCGAAACUACUAACCAACAAACCUUUUAGCUAAAUGGGAGCACAAAAUGCUAGCUCAAUUAUUAUUACUAAAUGUUCUAAGUCUGUAUAAACCAAUACAACUCCAUUCCCACCGCAUAUGGGGACUAUUGGGUGUCACGACUCCCCCCGUUAAGCCCUGACGUCCUCGUCAAGUCCAAUCACUAACACAGCCCAAGAUCACCAGGCGAUGUGAGACUCGUUCUGCUAGCCCGUAUCCAGACCCUGCUCAGCCGAGACUCUCACACAUGUCCAGCUUGCUUCACCGUGAACCGGCUCUGAAUACCAAAUAUUAACGGACCCAGCCCACUAGCAACAAUAACUCGUUGGGCCAACCACAGCCCAAAAUGCUUAAGCUCAAUUAUUAUUACUAGUGUCUAAGUCUCUUAUAAACCCAAUGACAACUCCAUUCCUAUCCGAUGUGGGAUUAUUGGGGUGUCACAUAACAACUCGAGCUUUUGGGAUUAAUAUUAUGCCAUCUUUGUUAAUAGUGUAAUCCUCUGCAAAUAUUUUUGAAAUUGUGACGGAGCAAAAUAUAGAUUUUCAAAAGUCAAAAAAAAAUUAAAAAAUGAGUAUUUAAAGAAAAAAUUUCUAUAAUUUAGCCUUUCUCUUAAUCGAGAGAGAUAGUAUAGAAGCUGUUAUAGUUACCACGCCAUUCAAUAACAAUGGUGAGGCAAUUCAUUUGAUGGUAUCAAGAUUGUGCAAUAUGUGAUUCGGCGACCACAUAAUUUAACGAAAAUAACAUGAUAGUUGAAUCACCCAUCAUAUUAUUUUCUUUCUGGAGAAUUCAAGUAAAGUUUCUUAGGCUUCGUUUGGUUCGGGAAUUAGUAGGAACUAGUUAUACCAGAAAUAGAUACAAGUAUGAAUUUUUGUAAGAAAAAGAGUAUUUUUUUGUUUGGAUGAAAAUAUGAAUAUAAGUUGGAACUAAAAAAAUUGUCUUUGGAUGGUUAUUGAAAAUAAGAGAAAUAAUUGAUGGUUAUAAAUAGAAAAUAAUGAUAUUAUCUCUAUAAUUGAAUUUAAAUUUUUAAAUUUUAAACUUAUAAUUUUAUAUUGAAAAUUUUGAACAAGCUUGUUCCCACCCAUACCCGAUAUGGGUACGCGGGUGGGAACAAGCUUGUUUCCACCGACCCAAAUGGUGUUUGGGUACAAGAGAGGGAUAACCCCUUUAUCCCCCUUCUUAUAUCCAAUCCAAACACCUCCUUAGAAUUAAAGAUAUCCGUGGACGAGGUCAGAUCUAGAUAGUUGAUAUACUAUACCCGUACCCUAAAAAAAUAUGGAUACGAAAAAAAAAAACUAUACCCUACCCAUUUGACUUCGGAUCGGAUCCGUGUCUAGGUACUUAAAUUACUAAUAUACCCAUCGGGUCUAUUUGAGCGGAUCUAAAUAGUAACUAUCCGUAUACUAUUCGCUUAAAAUCAAAUACGGCUCGGAUUUAGAUCGAGUACGGAUACCCAUAUACAUAUAUUUUUUUAUUAUACACAAAAUUAUAAACCUAUCACUAUAAAAAAAUUCACGUUCUAAUUAGUUGCACCCAGUCCAAUAAAAUUUAUUUUAAAAAAAGAUUCAGUAAAAAGCCAGAAUUAAAAAAUGAGUAAAAUAAAAAAAAAAGAGUAAACAAAGAGACCGGAUUUUCACUACGAUGAAAAUAUACAGAGAUCCUUAAUUUAUAAGUCCUAUUGAAAUUGAUUCCUCAACUUCAAAUUUUUUUAUUUACUAUCGGGUAUUUCACUGGUUCCAAAUCUGAAUCUGGUUCCGGGUCCGAAUUUGAAAUAUCUUCCGGACCCUACUCAUUAAAAGGUUGGGUUCGGGUCCGAUCAAAGUCGGGUAUGGAUAUAAACUAUCCGGAUCCAUACCCGGAACUUAAAUGAAUAUUUUUUUACCUAUAUACCAUCCAUUUUUUAUCAGGUCCGAUUCGGAUCCGAGUAGGGUCUAAAUAGGAUACAGUAUAUCGAAUAUUUUGGACAGCUUUACUUAGGAUUGAGAUAAAUACACUAGCCAACAAUAUAUAUUUUGCUUUAGACUUUUAAUUGAAAUGCUAAAAUACAAAAUCCUUUUGUAAGUACCUAAUUUUUCACCUUUUUUAUUUUAAAAAAUCGACAAUUUAGUCUCUCAAAAUUUCACACUGAUGCAUUAAACCCCCCUCUGUCCAGUUCUGUUAUUAUUCCGUCUAUUUUUUAUAAUUUAUACCGAAAAUACUCUUAAAAACAAUAUAAAUAUAUUAAAAAAUAUUUUUUCAUUGAAUAAAUGAGGUAAUUUAGUUAUUUAGCCCUCUGCAUUAACACCGUGACCCCCUAAAAUUAUUUCUAAAAUUUUAACAGUAUAAAAUAUAAAUUUUUGAAAGUCAGCGAGUACAGUAAAAAAAAGAUAUUUACAGAAGAAUUUUUCAUAUUUUAACUUGUUUCCAAUGUCAUAUUUUAAAUCUCAUUCAUCAACUAUAUUUGUGUGUUCGAUAUGGCCCACGUGAUUUAUUAAAGGCGAUUUAUAAAGAUACAGUCAAUCUAUUUAAGUCAAUCUAUAAAUAUACUACCGACCGACCCUAGAGCAAGUGGCAAAGGGCUUGGUGGUUGGUACCCGAAACCCAAGUUUGAAUCCUAAUUGAUUCACAUUUCCAGCUAAGUUUAUUUUUAAAUGAAAUAAACGAAGCGGGUAGUGUGCUACCUUUCUCUCUCAAAAAAAAAAAAUCAAUAAAUAUACUGUAGAUCGAAUGGGUAGAAUGUAUCUGAACACGUCCUUGAUGGACGGACAUGAUUUAACAUCCUUACAUUAAGCUAUAUAUAAAUAUAUAAUAUACGGGAGUCCCGAUGUAAUCCUAAGCCUAAUUCCUGUGAUGGCUCUAUUUUCGGGGAUAAGAAAAUUUAGACUUGAAACGUUCCGCUCUUUUACAGUUCGUGAAUAACAACGAACGACAAGUAAAAAUCGUCAUCUACAAUCCGAAUAUUGAAAUUAAAAUUAUAAUAGAAGGUACGAUGCUAAUUUCUAAUAAAAGCUUUAACAUUGUGUUCAAUAGAAAAGGUCUCCAUCCGCAUUUUUCAUGAGCCCUAAUUUCUCAUACGGAAGGUAUGAGCUGUUAAAUAUUGUGCAUGUGGCUAUGAACUAUAUCUUAUUUUUAGUCAAAAUUUGAGGGUUACACCACCGACGAAAUAAAAGGGUAAAAUUUAGGGAUAGUCCUUGUACUCCCAAAAUGUUGCUACUUAGUGUAUAUUCUUUUUAUUUGUCAGAUCGUUGACACUAAUUAUUAAUUCUAAAAUUCGAGUGAUUAGAAAUAUGCAACUAAUUUACUUAAAUCAUAUAUACAUAUAUAGCGCUUAUGGGUCUCGAUUGUAACUCGAUCAACCAGCUUCACGCUACUUCUCAUAUGACUCAGCUCAAUCUGACUUUUCACCAUUACGAACGUGAGUCGGUCCAAUCUAACCUCCGACCACAUCGCAGGAUGCUGGCGUCUUUAAUUUUAGAAAAUUCCAAAAUUUUCAUACAAAAUAACUAAGUUAUUUCAAUCUACAACAAUGACUCAAUAUUACUUUAUAUAAUGAUUAGAAAUUAAAAUAUAAUAAUGUAAAGAGAAACCAAAUUGUGAUAUGGGAAUAGUGCAGGGAUCAUUCAUACAAUUAAAUUUUUUUUAUAAAAAAAUUGCCAACUAAUGCAUGGAGGUUGUUUUAGCUUGCAUCAGUGCUAUCUAUAGCUGUUAGCUAGGCACGGUCACAUUCAACAAAACGUUACGUAACAAACGCUUGGUGGGGACUACCAUGCAAAAUAUAAAAUUUUUUAUUUCAUUUUUCACUUUACUUUAUUAUUUUAUUUAUUUUGCAUUUGGGUCCUUGUCACCCCAUGUGUGUUGUUUCACACCAUCACACCUUUGCUCCCUCAAAGUAAGGAAAAGAUAUUUGUUUAUUUACUGGAAAAGAGAAAGGGCGAGGGAAUCUCGUUUUGCCUCGGAAAGUGUGAACUCUUGUACUAAAAUAAAUUAAAAGAGACUUCACAUUUUGCGAACUUAUCCUCUCACAUAAAUAUGAAAGUUAACGGGUCCAAUUCGGAUCGGGUUUAGAAAAAUCUAAAUUCAAACAGAUCCGGAACUUGAAUCCGAGCUUGAGUCUGAAUCCGACGGACUUUAAAAGCCCAUAUCCAAAACUGAAUCCAAUCAAAAAUUCUAAAUUUGAACCCCAACUCGAAAACUCGAACACGAAGCAAUUAUUUUUCUUUACUAUAUUUCAAAAUAAAUUAAUAAAUUAUAAAUUUUUUUAAAAAAUUAAAAUAUAACAUCAAAUAUUUAUAUAUAGUAUAUAAUAUAAAAUGUAUUUAUCGGAUUCGGGUACUGAAAUAAUUCAUAUUUGAAUUCGAAUUCGCCGGGUUUUCGUUUUUUAUAGUCAUAUUCAACACUAUAUCUGUUUAGUAUCGGGUAAACCCACUCCAUUCGGAUUUGAGUGCGUGUUUAAAUAAAAUUUCAAGUAUCCUUACCCAUUGACAUUCCUACAUAUGAAUAGUAUGUACUUAGAGUCCGUUGGUUGCACGUAUCUGCAACUGCAGUGCAGUUGCAAAUACAUGCAACUUCAAUUCUCAUGUUUGAAUUUAGUGCAGUUGACCGUCAAUUUGAACACUCUAUCAUCUAAAAUGACAUGGAAGCAUCAUGGACUAGAUAUUUCUAAAAAUAUUCUAACUCAGUCCUAGAGGUAGUAUAAUAUUGUAUAAAUCAACAAAAAAAAAAAUUAUUGUUUAAAAUCAACUUAGAUAAAUAUAACUAAUUAUAUUAAGGUUUUUCUUUUAACUUAAAUUUUAUGCAAUUUAAAGGCCUGUCAAAAUAGAUUUCUUUAUUAUUGUGAUCACAGAUAAUCUAGCCAUAUAUCUUCCUAAAAAUAAUAAUAAGAACAAAAAUAUAUAAACUCAAUUUGCCUGAACUAUAGACCAUUUUGAUUCGACUAUUCAAUUUUUCAAAAUUUUAAUAUUAUUACCUAACCUUUCAACUUAUUUGACUUAAGUGAUAUGAUGAUUUUUCAAUUACAAAAUUUAAACUAAUUGCCCACUUUAAUGAAUUUAUAAUUACGUACAUUAAUUGCAUAUAAUAUACUAACUAAAUUCGUAAAGAUAAACAACACAUUCAAAUUUCGAAAUUAAAAGGUCACUAAUUGACUUAAAUCAAAUAAAUAAAAAAGUCAGAUAAUAAAAUCAAAAUUUUCAAAGAUUAGAUAGUCGAAUCCGAAAAGCUGAUAAUUGAUGUAAGUUUUAUACAUUUUUGCCAAUUAAAGAGAAAUAAGCACUUAAAAGCAACCAUCAUUUUUUUUUUUUUGUUUUCUCACAAAAAACAUGGAAUGCAAACAAUUCACCAUCUAUCCAUAUAUUCAAUGAUACUGAAUUUGAGUUCCAAAAAAAAUAUAAUAAUAAAUAUGAUAAAAUGGGGUCUUAAGCAACAAUUAGAUUUACCAUGCUUGAUCCAUCUUUAGAAACUAGAAAAAGUAAUUAACUUGAGAAUUAUUGUGAGGCAAAAUAAAUGCUAAUUUUACAUAUACAGUAGGGUCACAUAUAAAUAAGAAAUUAAUGUUGGCAAAACUCGAUCAACCAAGAUAAGCAGUUUCAGUUAAAUGGGUUGGUGGUUAGUUAAUGGUCCUAAUUAAUUAUUAUCUCCAACUUUUGAGGUUCUUAAUUUGCCAUUUAAUGACUUUUUUAAUUUUUUUCUAAACAAAGAGAAUCAAUCCAUGUGACAAUCUUAACUCUACAGUAGAAAUUUCCUAGUUUAUUAUAUUCUGCUUUUAUUUAUUAAAAAAGAAAAUCUGUGAUCUUGAACCAUUAGGUAGACAUUUAAUUUGAUUUAGCUGAAAAUGUAUAAACAUUUUAUCGCGACAAAAUUAAGAAAAGGAUAUAAUUUUAGUCUUGUGCUUUUGCAGUAGUAGAUAGUUUUGUGACAACUUCAUUACUCUAUUCAAACAAACUCUUUAUGAAUUAAUUAACAUUCUUUUUUUUUUCUUUCUUUUUCUUUUUUUUUGAGAAAUAGGUAGCAAGCCACCUGCUUCAUUCAUUAAGCGAAAUGAACAAUUAACAUUUUUUUCAUAAGCUUCAACUGAGUGAAUAAGUCACAACCAUGUUCAAGCAGUUUUAUUUUCCACUUAAUUUUUUGUUUAUAAUUGGUUUCUACACUCUUCUCAGGUGAUACAACAACAAAAAUUUGGCACAGGGAUUAAGUAGCUAGUAAUAAUAAUUUCCACCUCUCACAUUAUUCACAAUCUAUACAGUAUACACUACAACAAAAUUUCUCACAUUAUUCACAAUCUAUACAGUAUACACUACAACAAAAUUAGGUUAUAGGGACAUAUUUUUGGGGCACUUUUGUGUACAUAUUUCAUUUUUACCAAAAUUUUUUUAAAAAAAUCUAUAAGGUCUAAAUAUAAAACCUAAUCCAACCAAAAAUAAAAAAUUUCUCUACUCAACCAGUCCCACCCAGCCCACUCAACCCAAUUACAAAUAGGAAGAAAAAAAAAAAAUGAUCACCAUCUCCCCUACUCCUCCGCCGCCGCAGCCGACGAGGUAGGGUUCCAGUGGCUGGAGUUCGGUCGCGAGAAUCUCGCAGGGGUUGUAGAGAGUUACGAUCACCACGUAUUCCUCCACCACAGGUCGCUGGAGGAGUGGGUGCCAAACAUCGAGACGAUCCCACAUAUAGCGACUCCACAUAUAGCGGCUUUUUUUAGAAAGUUUCGGUAAUUUAGCCAACAACACUUUUUUUAAUCUGUACCGAUAUUUUAAAAGUGUCGCUAUAUACCGUUUUUGUUGUAGUACUUGUAACAAGUAUUAAUAUUCACUCCGAAAGCUGUGCCAAAAAGAAUAAAAUAUUUAUACAAUACAAAAUAUAAAUGUAGCUUGUUUAGCUGAAAGUAAAAAUGUAUAGAAUAUAUUUGAAUUAUAGACUGUUUUAAUGUGAUGGUUUUUUCGAUACAAAAUUUAACCUAAUUAUUUAUUUGAAUAAAUUUACCAAUAUAUGAAUUGUACAAAAUAUUUUAAUUUAGCCCGUAAAGAUAAGUAACGUACGACCGAUACAGAUUAAAUAAAAAUGAGAGGUUAGAUAGUAAAAUUUAAUUUUUUAAUGGUUAGAUAGUUAGAUCAAAAUUAGUGACCGUUAAAGUAAAGUUUAUAUAUUUUAGUUUUUUUUUGUAAAUAACACCACCUCAAAAUAAAAAUGGAGAAAAAAAAAAUACAGCUCAUUUUUGAUGAAACCAAGGAAAAGAUCCCCCACCUCGUAACUUCCUGUGAAGCCAAAAUCCAGCAAAAGCAGCAUGGUAAAGCUCCUAGAACCUUCUCCAUUGUUCACCUCCCUUGGUUCCAAUAAAAUUAAAUUAAAUUAAAUUAAAAUUUAAAAAAAAAAUCUACCACAUGGAUCCCAAUUUAAUUUUCUGUUCAUUGUGGUCCCUAUGAUUUGAUGAGGUGAUUGCCACCACCACAUAUUAUAUACAUAUAUAUACAGUAAAAAAAAAAAACAAAGAAAAAAGGGAAAGUGACUCGACUCUAUCAAUUAAUUAUAGUAUAAUAAUCCUAUUAUUCUUGUCUCCUUGCUUUAGUGAUGUACACAAAGAGUAAUGUAAUGGUUUCUUUAAAUAGGUUAAUAAUAGAGGCCAUCUAGGGUUAUGACAUUAAUCAUUGCACAUUAUAUCUUUAAUGCCAUGAUUUGCUCUAAAUUAUUUAACAUAUUUAUUAAAAGAUGAGAGCAUAACCAUAACCAGAAGAUAAAACUAUGAGGUAAAUAUAUAAAUAUAUGCUGAGUUUUGAAGUUUUCUUCUAGAGGAUCUGUUUGAACUAGCAAUGCGAAAAUUUUAAAAUUUGGAGUUGCCGUUGCGGUGCGGUUGAAAUGGACUUGCAAAUUAGACUUUUGCAAGAAGUCACGUCAGGAAGAAGACUAGGUCAAAUGAGUCCAGAAAUUUUAGAUGUGCAGCAAAAUAUUUGCAACCAUUCUUAACCAUCAAUCAAGAUUAAGAAAGGAAAAAACAAAUUAUUCUAAACCCUCCACAUCAAAUUUUUUUUUUGUUUUGUCCUUAUUGCCAAAUUCCAUCUAAACCAACCAUAUGGGCAUGAACUUGUGCCUAAACCCUUUUACAUCUCACACCCAAACUCUUUGAUCUUGUUACACUUAAAACAAUUCAAAUUCAAGAAAAAAAAAAAAAGGAAAAAAAAAAAAAACCAUAAUCUAACUCUCCCUAUAUAAUUCCCUUCUUAAUUAUAUAUUAAUUAUCAUUAUUUUUAUUUUUUUAUUUUUUGUUAUUGUUAUUUUCUCGUCAAUGACUAUGACUAUGAGGCAGGAGCCUCAGAGCCUCCAACAGAGUGUUCUUGAGCCUGCCCAAAUGCGGCCUCAAAUUCUGCUUGUCCAAAUACACGGUUUUGAGCGCGUCCCAGCCUUGCUUGUGGACGGAGAAGGGGUCUUUCAGGACCGGGUGGUCGGUGUGAUAUUGCUCACUAAGUGUUGUCUCGUCGAGCCGUAUCUUGUACUCGAUGUAGUGGAUCUCCAUGUCCUUGGCGGGCUCCUGGAAGGUUCCUCUGGCCAGCCACUCCAGCCCGCCGAAGGGCACGAUCUGAAUCAGCACGGCCCCCGCGGGGAGGAACACCAUGUUGGUCAGCCCCGCCCCGUGGGCGCCGACCAUCACGUCGGCAGAAUUCACCAGCCGCGCGAACUUGGCGACGUCGGUGUUGAUGUCGGGCUCGCCCACGCGCACGUCGAAGCCCAGGCUGGUCGCCAUGUCGACCAUCGCCCGCUCGUUCAGGAACGUCCGGGAGUUCUUCCGGGAGAUGAUCAGCAGCCGCGGCCGCCGCCGGAUGUCCCACUGGUCGCCGCUCGGCGCCGCGGCCGCCCGCUCCAGCCCGAAGGCGCGCCGCAGCAGCUUCCGGAAGUCGGCCGCCGAGUAGCCCCCGGCAGUCUUCCCCGCGUCGACGCCGAGCUCCUUGUGGAAGGUCGGGCCGACGACGGCGCGCGGGAAGCAGUGGACCUCGUCGUCGUUGUCGACGUCGAUUAUGUCGUACUUGGAGAGCUGCUGGAAGAUGAGCAGGUACUUGCUGAUCCACCAGGGCUUGAGGCUGCUGACGAGGAACUGCACCUCGGCGUCGUAUCGGAACGAGCUGAUGAACACCGGGACGAGCACGUCGGUGUAGUCGUGGAAGAGGUUGCCGGUGAAGCCGCCGUUGGAGAAGAUCAUGGCGGUGGCGGAGUGGUUGCGGGUGCAGGGCGGGGGAGGCCGGGCGGCGGAGAAGGGUUUGAGGGUCCACUCCUUGACGUGGGAGAGCGCGAAGGCGUCGUGCUUCCGGCAGUAGGGCUUGAUCUUCCACUCCUGGGCCAGCGGCUGAAUGUACACGGUCUGGGUGCGGCCCUGCACGCGCACGUCGCCGGCAGCCUCGCACGUGUCCGACCGCCGGCUCGACUCGUAGCACGUCGGCUUGCUCAGGUCGACCGCCUGCGCCUGCGCCUCCGCCUUCGCCUUCGUCUCCGUUUCUGCUUCGUCGUCUUCGUCCUCUGCGAACCAAAACAAUAAAAAAAGAGAAAAUGUUGAGUUUUGGUCCAUUGUUAACAAAUUUACGCACGAUUUAUGUUAAUUGAUUGAUGCAUUGGUGUAAUUCUUUUUUUGUAGAGAAAGAAAAAGAAAGAGGGAGAGAGAGAUUGAAAAGAAACCAAUUGCAGCAGAGUCAGCUGUUUCUGCUGUUUCCUUUGUUUCUUCUUUUUCUAUCUUCAAGCUCUCCUUCCUCUCUUCCUCAAACACCACUGGCUCAUCUGAUUUCACUGCUUCAAAAAAAAAAAAAAUAAUCCAAAAAAUACUUCAGAGAGAGAUAUAUAUAUAUAUAUAGAGAGAGAGAGAGAGAGAUUAAGAAUCUAUACCAUAAGGAGCAAAGUGGGACUUGAUGAUGGAGAGAACACAAAGAGAGAGGAAUAUGGCAAGUAUGAUGGUCACAUUCCCCACCCUUUUAGCCUCUGUUCUUGAGAAAUUCCUCUGAGACUUCAUCUUCCUUCUUCUUCUUCCUCUUCCUCUUCCUCUUCUUCUUCUUCCACCUUUUCUUAAAGCUCGCUCGCUCUCUCUCUCUCUCUCUCUCUCUCUCUCUCUCUACUCUUCUAUCUGGAGCACUUCAAACCUUUGUUGAAUCAUUAAUAUACCAACUUGGGUCUUCUUCUUUUUAUAUGUAUUUAUAUAUAUAUUAGAAAAAUAAAAAGAAGUGGUUAAUAAAGUUUUGAGCCAUGACAUGUGUACACCCAACAGCAAUUGUAAAUUUUACACUAUUUAUUCAAGAGACCAUUUUAUUAUACUAGUUUUACCACACUUUAAUUUGCUAAUAAUAAAAUUCUAAAAAAAAUUAUACGUAAAUCUUACCGUCUAUUUAUUAUAUUAGUUUUAGCAUGCAUUUAUUUCUCUAAUACUAAAAAUCUAAAAAAAUUAUAUGUAAAUCUUACACUCCGCUUGCUUUCUGAAGAUUUAUUGUAUUAUAUUAGUUUUAUUAUCCUUUUAUUUUUUUAAUUCUAAAAAAAUUAAAAAUUAUAGCAAAUCUUAUACUCUACUAUCCAAGAGUUUAUUUUAUAUAUUUUAUUAGUUUUUUUAUUUUUUUAUUUUUUUAAUACUAAAUAUGUAACCGUUCACACCUGACAUGAUUGGCUGCUAUGUACUUUAUAAUUUGGUAGCUGAAGUUUUCAAAUUCGAAGCUCAAUUGAUUUAGAUUUUUAGCUAAAUUUACUUUUAAAUAAUAAGCGAAAUAAAUAACUUGCUAUAUUUUUCUUAAAAAAUUAAAAAUUAAAAAAAUUAUAUAAUUUAUAUUCUAUUUUUGAAUGCAUAGAGAAUAAUUUUUUUGAAGUUUUAUAAGGGUUGGUGGAUUCGCAUCAUGGGUUGACUAAUAGUGACAAGCACUAGCAAUACAUGGAGAAGGCACAAAUUCAUUACUAUAUUUUUUUGUGUUUUAUAAUAGUAAUUACCAAAUCUCUUUAUUUUAAUCAAAAUGCACUUAAUUACCAACUCUUGUGUUUGAAUAUCAAACCGUUAGAUUUGUAGCUUUUUCUCUUCCAUUUUUAAAUACAUGUUACAAUAAACUUUAAUAUUUGUGGUUUUUAAUUAUUAGGUGCAAUCAAAACUCUAAAACUUAUCUUCUUCUCUUUUUUUUUUUUGGCUCACACUAGGUUUGGAACCCUAGAUUUUUUUUUUUUAAUACAAUCACACCAUAUAUGUAUGCAGUCAAUUAGGCUUUGCUAUGAUUAGUACAAGUGGAUUUGGAUUUUAAUGUUGUGAAAGAGAGAAAACUCAAAACCAAAUGUUGUUUUUGACCUCAUCUAAAUUGUACUUAAAUAGAGUUGACACAGUAUAAGCAUAGUGGCCUAAGAAUGUGACAUAUUUAUGCAAAGCAUAAUGGCCUAAGAAUGUGACAUAUUUAUGCAAACCAUUUUGAUUCGAUUAUCAAAUUUAAUAUUUUAAUUUUAUUUAAUUUGAGUUAGUCGAUGGCAUCUUGAUGUCAAUUUUGAAUGCAUCACUUAUGUUUACAUAUUUAAUUAGAACAUUUCAUACCAUUCUUCCAACUAUAAAUUUAUUAAAAUAAUUAAUUAGGUUAAAAUUUGAAUUCAAAAUAUCGUUGUCUAGCUGAAAUCAAAUAAAUUUAAAGGUCAAGCAGUAAAAUCAAAAUUUUAAAAGACCAAGUUGCUGAUUCAAAAUAGCAUAUAGUUCAGAUAAAUAAUGUAAAUUUUUAUCUUGUUAGAAUUCAUCCAAUUCAAUAUAUAGUUUGAGCAUGUAAAUUUAAACACUUCUAGCAUAUGCUAAUUCAUUGAAUAUUUUAAUUUAUUUAUACAAUAAUGUGUACCACAGUAACCUAUAUGAAAGGACACAUGAGCCUUAUGUACUAGUAUUAAAGCAACCUUAACCUAUUUUUGCAAGCAUCCAUAUUGUUGUUGCUUGGAAAGGGAUAUUUUUUCCUCUUUUUUUUUUUUUUUUUUGACUAUUUCAAAGUCUUCUUAAGAACAUUACAAAAAUCCAUAGAGAUCUCGUGGAAGAAGCAACCCAAAUCUAGGGUCCUCUAACUUUGACUAUUAAUUAGAAUACUAUUUUAAUUUUAUAUUUUCUUUCAAUAAACACAUGUAUUUUUAACCUUCGUUCAUUUCUUUUUAGGUAAAAAAUAAUGUAUGGAGAGACGACCCCAAAUUAAUGUAGGCCAUUUUGACAUAGACCUCUUAGUUUUCAAAUUUUUUUUAUUUAAGUUAUUUUUUUAGCCCAUAGAUCAACCUCACUGAUCAUUUCUUUUCAUUGGAUUAAUAUUAUUAACCAAUAAAGACCACUCAAUCCUAGGGGGACCAUUCAACCCUAAGGAGACCGCUAUCAUUCCAAUCGUAGAAUUUUUAAUCCAAUGACUAAAAAAUCGGAAGUAACAACUAUUUUAUACUUCCAAUAGCAUAGUAGCUCUACACUAUAUAUAUAUAUAUAUAUAUAUAUAUAUACCAUUUGGUUCGAGUAUAAAUAAGAACUAGCUAUUACAGGGAUAGGUACAAAUAUGGGAAUAAGAAAAAUAGCGUUUGGAUGAAAAUUGGGUUAUUUUCGGGGAUAAGAAAAAUAGUGUUUGAAUAGAUAAUAUGAAAUAAGAAAAAUAUUAGAUAGUUUUAUAUAGAAAAUGGAGGUGUUGGUCGGAAUAGUUAUAACCGAUUAUUAUAGGUAAUCGAGAACUACUGUUCUCGAGUAAAAAAUUAGCGUUUUGGUAUAAAGGAGGGUAUAAGGGACUAUCUCUAUCUCUAUCCCCCAACCAAACACUGCGGGAUAGUAUCUAAUAUACCUUCAGAAACUUCAAAAAUAUCUAAAUAUCCCUUGUUGACUAAAAUGUACUUAUUAAUUUUCAAAAUCCUUUCAAAUGUCCUUCAAUACACAUGGGUGUUUUGGUAAUUUAAGAAUAAAUUUGAAAAUUUUGAAUAGUAGUUAGGAAUAAAUAAGCAAAAGUAUUUUUCUUAUUAUAGCUUUCGAGGAAUUUCUUUUUUUUUUCCGCCCACUGUAUUAAAGAAAAUGUCCAACCU